This 147980-nucleotide long non-coding RNA is filed under the name Populus tremula. RNAcentral describes it as "long non-coding RNA (PTRE_LNC001190)". The record is from RNAcentral. Lineage: Eukaryota; Viridiplantae; Streptophyta; Magnoliopsida; Malpighiales; Salicaceae.
CAAAAUAUAAUGUUCAAGAUUAUAAAGGUUUUUUUUUUCUCCUCAAUGAUAGAAAAGGGCCUCGAAUUGACGUGCGCUUUAUUCUCAAGCCAUGGCCACAAUUUAGUAGAUGCUUAGUUAUUUAUAUAUUAGACAAAUGGGCACUUCUUCCUCUCUAAUAUAUGAUAUAAUGUCCUGGUCUUCCAGAAGCAGUUGACUACUCUCGUUUAGAAUAAGAUUAAAAUUAGUAGAGAAUCGUACUCAUUAAGAAAUAUAUAAGAGUCUUAAAUAUUAUUGGGCCAUGAGAUCACUAUAUAUAUAUAUAUAUAUAUAUAUAUAUAUAUAUAUAUAUAUAUAUUAUUCUAAGAAUAGAUGAAGAUGGACCUCAAAGAUCUCUCUUUAAAAGGUCGUUUUUAUUAGCCUUGUUAUUGGAUAUUAGGGGCUACAUGAUUUUGUAAUAAAAUAGGUACCACUUAUAUUUUGGGGGAUGGCUGGAAUUACUUGUACUUAAUUUAUUUUUUUUGUAAGAAUAAAUAUUUCCAAGCAGAAGAAAAAUAUAGAUGGAAGCAAAUGAUUUUUUAAGAAUAUUCCAAUUUACAUCCAAAGAUAUUAUUUGGUCUUAAGAGAAACUUGUCUUAAGAAUAUUCCAAUUUAGAUCCAAAGAUUUUUGAGCCAAUAUAUAUAAAAGAAACUUGUCUGUGUCUUUCCACCUAGCGGGAAAGGACUUGAGCAAACAGUUGAAAACAACCUGUGCAGUAAUGGAUUCAUGAUAAUAUCAAAGACUAGAAUGGUAAUGUGAUGUCAGUGAGAAAAUUUCAACCAUAGGCAAGUUCUCCUUUCAUGGAGACAGAGAGACACAAGUGCAAGAAAGGCAAGCCCUACGUAGCCAAUUCCAUGGAACAUGCCAAGCCAUUUCAAUGUCCAAUUAUGUGAAUCUCUGCUUUACAGUUUGCAACAAGAAGAUUUUGUUAGUUAAUGUAUCUGUAGCUAAUCAUUUUGUUUAUAUAAAUACAUUUAAUGUAUUAAUAAAAACUUAUUUAUUUUUUAAAAUUUAUCUAAUAUUUAAUUAAUAAAUAUAAUAUUUGAUUAAUAAAUAUCGAGUAAAUAUAAGGUUUUUGAGGCAAAAGUACAUUGCAAAAAAAAAUUAUAAUGUUAUUAUAAUUAAUUAUGAGGUCCUUAUUACAUCAAAACAUUGUUUCUAAAAUAUUUUUGGUCAAUACUCUAUUACAACUCAAUAUUAAUUAGAGUUGUUGAGACUAGUAAAUACUAUGUUUUUUUUUUUUUAUGAAAAAAAGCAAUUAUUUUUAAAAGCUGAGAUAUGAGGGAUAUCUCGAACUAAUAUGUAAGUUCUUGUUAGAUAAUAUACACACUAAAUUGACCUGCAUGAGAAUCUCUAGUGAAGAGAUUAUUUGUAUUUAUGGAAAGACUUAAAUGAGAGUUGUGUAAGCGAUCCUUAAACUUAAUAUCACUAAAUUAUUUUAUAUAAAGAAUGUUAUGCUUUGAUAUUGCUAUACGUUGUCAUAAUGAAGGGUAAUAAACAAGCAGAUAUUGGGUACAAUAUAAAAUAUAUGAAAGUAUUUGAAUAAUCAAAAGAGAAUUCAUCAUCCUUGAUGAAUUAGGAAAAUAUUUCAUUUGUUCUCAGAUAGUAUUGAUUGUAAAUCUUUAUGUAAAGUGAAAUGAGAUUUGAUAAGAGUUGUUGUAACCCAUUUUUGGGUCCCCAUGAAAAAAUAAAAUAAAUAGCAAAAAGAGUUUAGAAAAAAUAACAGAAGGCAGAAGCGCUCAGGAAACAGUCAGAAAAUUGGUCAAGAAAUUCAAAAAUACAAGGAUUAAAUUUUUGACAGUAUAUUCUUGAAGGAUGAAAGCCCUAUUGAGAAGGAAAAUUUGAAUUUUGAGGAGAAAAGCCCAAAUUUGGAUGUUUAUGGACUUAAUUGGAUUUUUAUGGACUUAAUUGGAUUUUUUAUUUGAAUUUAUAGAAGAUUUGAUUGCAAGAAAAAUUGAUUUUUAAGUCAAUUUGGGCUUUAAUUUGGAGAAAUUUAAGUUCUGGGGCCAAAAUAUAUUUUUUAGGAAUUUAUUGGGUCAAAUCAGGGGCUCAAUUGCAUAAAUAUUGAAGUUUAAGGGCCAAUUAGGGACUUAAUUGUGAAAAUCCGAAACCAGGGACCAAUUUGGAGAAGGCGCAAAGAUAGAGGGGGCUGUUUGGAUUUGUUUCAGGGGCUUAAUUGAAGAAAUUGGAAGUUUAUUGAUCAAUUAGGGGCUCAAUUGCAUAAAUCAGAGGCCAAGGACCAAAGUGAAAAAGGCGGCCAACAAGAGGGGCGGGGACCGAAUUUGGGGACUGAUUUGAAGUUUAGCCAUUUAAAUGAAACGGCGCGUUUUACCCAAAACGACGCCGUUUCAUAAAAAAAAAAAAAAAAAAGAACGGUGUCGUUUUGAACGACACUGUUCAUCUUCCUCCUUCCCCCCGUUUUAACAGAACAGAAAGAAAAAAAUUCGAAAAUCUUCCCGCGCCUCUCUCUCUCCUCGCCCCCACCACCUUUAGCAUUGGCCGACCAGCCGUUGCACCGCACUAACGAUGGUCCCCCACGGUUCGACCCCUAUAAAUAGAGAAGAAAACCGAAGCUGCAGGGGAACGGAGAGAAAAAAAAAAAACCGAAGGGAGGAGAGAGAGAGGAGGCCGAAGAGAGAGAGAGAACCGAACACCGAAGAGAGAAGGAGCCGCAGCGCCGCCCGGGAAGCCACGCCACCGCAGAGCCACCGCAGCACCGCCUCCUCCACGCCAGGUCACCUCUUCUCCCCCCUUUCGUUAGUUUUUUAUUUGUUUUCCCUGCAUGCAGAAUGAACAUUCUGCAUGCAGGGAGGAGGGGGGAAUUAAUUCCCCCCUGUUGAUGCGUAGCUGGGCCAGGUGGAUCCUGGCCCAGCACAUUUUUUUUUUGGGCCAGACUGAGUCUGGCCCGGCCUUGUAUCUGACGGGCCAGACCAGGUCUGGCCCAUACCAGCUCUCUAGGCAAAGUCCGGCCCAGAUAUUUGGGCCGGCCCAGCCCGAAUUAUUUUUAUAUUAUAUAUUAUAUUAUAUGUGUGUAUAUAUGUAUAUAUAUAUAACAUAUAAUAAUAAAAAAAAUAAUAAAUAUUUUGAAAAAUCUUAAAAAAAUAUUGUUGAUUUUGCUGCAUAUUUUUGUCAAAAAUGUUUUAAUUCUGGUUUGUAUUUUUAUACUGUAAAGAUACAAAACCAGUGUUAUAAAUACCCGGUUUUCGUCAAAACAUCAAAGAUUUUCAGAAUAAAAAAUGUUUUUGCUUUCAAAAAAAUUCUAAAAAGUCCCUAAAAAUGUUGUUGAUUUUUCUGCAUAUUUUUAUCAAAAUGGUUUAAUUUUGGUUUGUAUUUUUAUACCGUAAGGAUACAAGCUCAGUAUUAAAAUACCCGAUUUUCGUCAAAGCAUAAAAAAAUAAUAUUUUCCAAAAAUUGUUUUUGUUGUUUUAAAAUACGGCCUAGUCUCUUCAAAUAUAUAUAUAUAAAUAUUAUAACAUCAUAUUUUCACACAACAAAGAAAAUUUUCAAAACAAUAUAUGUAUUAACAUGCAUUUUGGCUUUAAUAACCAGUUUAUUCAAGCCAUGAGAACUAGGCCAAUAUUUCAAAAAUUCUAAAAAAUCUUUUUGUUUUAUUUUAGUAUUUGGGAUUACGAAUUUAUACGUAAACGUAUUCCUAAGUAUUAUUAAUAAAAUUUUGGUAUGGACGUUAGAACGGUUAGGAUUUUUGCCCGAUAAGAUAAAAGACCUUCUACUGAGGAGGAUUUUUCUUGAACCAUAGACAGAUCAACGACUAGGAAAACACAACAACACUUUAGGUUUUAUCGACAAUAAAACAAUGCAGCUUACCUUAGGUAGGGCGUAUUUGGGUGCUAAAUACCUUCCCUUUACGCAACCAGCUCUAAUACCGUAUCUCCGUACCCGAUCUCUGAGACCAGUUAGGUUCCUAGUGACCAAAAUACUAGGUGGCGACUCCAAAGAACCAAAUAAAAAUAAAAAAAAAUUCGCCAGUCGAACCCGCAAUUGAUGAAUUUGAUUUUUUUUUGGGGUGCGACAGAAUGGCGACUCCACUGGGGACCUUGUAGACUAAGCUUUGUUUUUGUCUGAUUUGUUUGUGUUUUUGUGUGUUUAUUGUUAAUGCCUUUCCUUUUAUUUGCGUAUUUUUUUUUUACGCGUAUUAUUCAUGCAUUGUAUAUAAAUUGUCUCAUGCAUCACUUGCCUUAAUUUUGAAAAGCACACACAAGCUUAAGUUAAGUGGGGAAUUAGCGAUUUACCCUAAGACUAUUGGUCAGGGUUUAAAUGCGUGAAACACCCAACUCAUAUCUGAGUGCCUGCUUGGUAAUGGUGGACAUACGUGUCUUAACUGUUCCUUGCAACGCCCCCAUACUGUCUUUACGAAGAACGUCACUGGGCAGAUAUGAGAACCUUCAAGACUAGAUAGAAAAAAUACCCACUCUCACUUAAUAAAUAGAGCUUGUCCUUAGGUUAUGUAUCUUAUUUGCAUCAAGAUUAAUAAGUAUACUCAUCGCACAUCACUUGUGCAUCACAUUUUCAUCACGCAUUUUUGUUAUCAUAUGCAUUACAGAUCGUGAAACAUAGGUCCUACAUCCAGAGUCCACCAAACCCGGUCCAGAUCAAGAAUGGAAAACGAAGAAAGAGCUCACUUAGAGUCGCACUACCAGACCGAGUUGGAAUCUGUGAAAAAUGAAGUUUCUCGACUGACCAAUCUGCUUGAGCAACUUUUAAGAGCCAAGAACGGGGAGGGAACAUCUACCCAACCACCUAUAGGAGCACCGUCAGUUCAUGUCCCGGGGAUAUCUCAGAACUUGGGGGCAGAUUCAGUGACGGGGCAGCACUUUGCACCUACCAUUCCCAUUCAGCCCCCUCAAGCUCACAUCACUGUGGAAGGGCCUUCCGAUAAUAGGUCCACCAGAUUUAUGAACGAUGACAAGAUAUCAGCCUUGGAAGAAAGGUUAAGAGCAGUCGAGGGAAAUGACUGGUUUGACCCCAUGCGAGCGUCUGAAAUAUGCUUGGUACCAAACAUCACGGUACCAAAAAAAUUUAGGAUACCGGAGUUUAUAAAGUACACUGGGUUGGAAUGCCCAAACACUCACCUUCGAUCUUAUUGCAAUAAGAUGGCUGAGGUGAUUCAUGACGAUAAGUUACUGAUCUACUUUUUCCAAGACAGUCUAUCGGGGUCGGCGCUAAGUUGGUACAUGAGGUGGAUAAUGCCAAGAUCAAGAAAUGGAAGGAUUUAGUUGAGGCUUUCCUUAAGCAAUACAAGUUCAAUUUGGAAAUUGCUCCAGAUCGAACGAGCCUUAUGUCAAUGGAAAAGAGAAGCCAAGAAUCAGUAAGGGCUUAUGCGCAAAGAUGGAGGGACGAGGCCAUGCAUGUGCAACCCCCUUUGAUAGAAACGGAGAUGGUGACUUUGUUCGCCAAUACAUUCAAGGCACCCUACUAUGAGCAUUUAAUGGGUAGCUCAUCUCAACAUUUCUAUGAUGUUGUACGCAUAGCGGAAAGAAUAGAGCAAGGGAUUAAAGCUGGACGCAUAAUUGAGCCAUUGGAGACAAAGGGUUUUUUCGGAAGAAAAAUGAAAGGUCCCGUUAACAACUUCGAAGGUGGGUCCAAUGACAAGAUAACAGAUUCAUAUAACCCACAAAUACCUACCUCUCAUGUGGCCCACAUAAACUUUAACAAACCUUUUUCCCCUAAUCGAGCAAAUGGCCAGUCAAACACCCAAAACAACCACCAAAGACCAAACACAAGAUACAUUUCAGAACAACUACCGCCAUUACCCAUGCCUCUGAAGGACAUAUAUGCCAAACUACUAGCAUUGGACAAAUAGCUCCUAUCCCUACAUUACCACUACAGCCACCAUUCCCCAUCUGGUAUAAGCCCGAGUUGACUUGCGAGUACCAUGCUGGUAUUCCCGGGCAUUGUCUUGAAACGUGCUACGGUUUCAAGAACAAGUUGUUGAAGCUCAUCAAGAUAGGAUGGGUGUCAUUUGAAGACACACCCAAUAUCAAUUCAAAUCCAUUGCAUGGUCAUGACAAAAGUGAUAGGGGAUAAAGGUUGGAAAACCUUGGUCAAGAGUCGUCAAUAAUGAAGAAGGCGAGAUCGAAGGAGAAGACAAGGAAAUGCAAGUGGGGAAGGAAGAUGAAGCAUUGCCUCGGUUGACUUUCCACACACUAGAAGAAGUUUCAGAACGGGUUGACCCAAGAACUUCUCGUAGUUUUCAAAAUGUAAAACAACUUUAUUUGCCUUAGCAUGUUUUUGUCAUUUGCUUUUGUCUUUGCUUUUAUUUUCUCUAGUGAGCAUUCAGAGCUCAUAUUGUCAGCCAGAUUUUUGUGUUUGUCUUUGAGCUUACCUUUAAAUAAAUGAUGAGUUUAUGCAUUUUUUUAACAAGUUUGAGUGGUUACAAAUAAAGUAUCAAAAAAUGGUUUAAUAUGAAAUUUAAGAAAAGCUAAAGUACAACCCUAUCUCUGAUAGCAUGGAUAAAUGUUUAAGUGGUCACUUUGUAAUUGUCUUUUAAAGAAUAGAGUUUAUCAACCAUAACAAUGGCAUUUUGAAAUAAAAAAAAAAUCAUUAUCUAUUCACUCACUAAAAAAGUUUAUCACCGGCUGAAUGAAUUGCUUCUCUAUAUAAAAACCCAGACUAAUAUCGCACCCCUAUACUAGGGGGCAAGACGGAUGUUUUAUGAAAAGUUUUACGAUUUGAAAACCAAGCUAAAGCAUUUGACAAAAGCAUGACAAAGAGGCAAAUACAAGUCAUACAUUUUGAGAAAAGGACUACUUGAAGAAAGUCAAAGACUUUUCUCCAAGAAUAUGAUAGGCAACACGAGAGAUGAAUCCAGCAUACGACUUCAAAAGCAAGUUCAUGUUAAGAGGGAGUCCCAUGAACUAGAAGAAGAGGAUGGGGCCUAUGUUUCAAAACCAGGUACGAAUGCAUGCAUUGCAUCUAAUCAUAAAUCAUUGCAUAUAUGUUUUUUUUGGAUCGUUACAGGAGGAGAUCUUAGCGCAUUCCAACAAGAUUAUGGACGAAGAAAAUCAUUGAGUUGAUUCUAGAACAACAAGAAGAGAAGAUAAUGGUUUUCAAACCCUGCCAGCAGGAAGAACGACAUCGAUAGCAUUCGGUAAAAAGGAAUCGCCAGAUGUGAUUCCAAGUUGUUGAGAUCGCCAGAAGGGAUCUCGUAUUUCGAUGGAGGUCGCCAGAAGGGACCUCAUAUUUCAGUUUUGAAUAAAAGGAAUCACAGAUGGGAUUCCAAGUUGUUUGAGAUCGCCAGAAGGGGUCUCGUUUUAUAUUCACCAAUGAAGGUCGCCAGAAGGGACCUCAAAUUUCAGCUUUGGUAUAAAAGGAAUCGCCAGAUGGGAUUCCAAGUUGUUUGGCUAAAGGAGAUCGCCAGAAGGGAUCUCAUAUUUCGAUAAGGGUCGCCAGAAGGGACCUAAUAUUUCAGCUUUGAAUAAAAGGAAUCGCCAGAUGGGAUUCCAAGUUAUUUGAGAUCGCCAGAAGGGAUCUCGUACUUCGACAUUCAUCAAGGAAGGUCGCCAGAAGGGACCUUAUAUUGAAACCAUUUCUUAGAAAAGCAUGGAGUUUACUAAGAAUUAUUCCCCUUGGGUUAGUCACCCAUACAAUGAGACCAUCAUUUUUCUUGGGUAGGUCACCCGUACAAUGAGACCAUUAUUUUUCUGGGUAGGUCACCCAUACAAUGAGACCAUUCUCCAUCAUUUUUCCUGGGUAGGUCACCCAUACAAUGAGACCAUCAUUUUUCUGGGUAGGUCACCCAUACAAUGAGACCAUCAUUUUUCUGGGUAGGUCACCCAUACAAUGAGACCAUCAUUUUUCUGGGUAGGUCACCCAUACAAUGAGACCAUUCAUUUUUUCCUGGGUAGGUCACCCAUACAAUGAGACCAUUCAUUUUUUCUGGGUAGGUCACCCAUACAAUGAGACCAUCAUUUUUCUGGGUAGGUCACCCAUACAAUGAGACCAUUAUUUUUCUGGGUAGGUCACCCAUACAAUGAGACCAUUCCUCUUUUUUUCUUGGGUAGGUCACCCAUCACAAUGAGACCAUAUUUUUUCGGGGCAGGUCACCCAUCAAAAUGAGACCACACACACAUUUUUUUUGUAUUGGGUAAAGGAAUCACCAGAUGGGAUUCCAGGUUAAAGGAGAUCACCAGAUGGGAUCUCGGAUGGAUUUCCAUAUGGAUCAAACUAAAGUAAGAAUUCAGAGGAUUGCUGGAUAAGGAUCUCGAGAUGGCUAAGUUUUGAUCAUAGUUUUUGGGCUAAGGAGGAUUGUUGUAAAGGACAAAGUUUCAGAUAAAUCAAAUCUUAUUCAAAAAAUAAUGAUUAUGGUGUUAACAACAAACAUAAUUUAACAUGGUAGGCACUUUAUGUUAUAAUGUUUAAAUCAAAAUAUUAUUGAUGAAUGAAUAAUAAUUACAAUGAGAAAUUAGUCAUUGAAAGGUUGAGUCAAAUCAUUUAUAACUUUUCUAAUAUUUAAAAGAUCAUAACAGGUUGUUAGAUAUUAUAUUUGAUUUUAAAAUAUAAAGCAAUCAAUUAUUGAAUUUAUAAUAAAUUAAUUUAUAUAAUUUAUAUAAUCCUAUUUUAUUUAGAAUUAUGAUAUAUAUUUGGGUCAACUUAUUAGGGAAUCUAAUGGAUCAUACACAUAAGAACCAUUUAUCAAAAACUAAAAUGAGAUGAUUAAUCAAAUGUGACUUGAUUGUAAAUAAAUCUUAGAAAUUAAGGACUAAAAUGUAAUUAAUAUAGGGGAUUACAAUUAUAGACCUAGAAACAAUCAAGUAAGGACUUGAUUGAAUAAAUUUCUAAAAUUAUCCUAAAAUAAUAUAUUUUAUAUUAUUUAAGCGACAAAUUAAUAUUUUUAUUUAUUUAUAGAGUUUUUAUGUUUUUCUAUAAAUAAAAAAGUUAUGUCUUUUAUUUUAAGUGAAUAGAGUGCAAUAAAUAAACUUUUAAAACAUAAAAGAAAAGAACAAGCAGUAAAAAUUAUAAUAAUCAUUAUCUUCUAAAAGGAUUUAAAAGAUUUAUCACUGCUUUUAAAAAAAUUUAAAUUUAUUAAUUUUUCUAUGUAUAUGUGUUUCGAGAAACCCAACAUAUUUUACUCUUUCUUUAACAUGAGAACGAGAGUCAAUUCUUGACCCGGUUGGAAUAAUGAUUAACAAGUUAAUAAAUCUGAUGUGAUCAUUACCAAUUUAACUUGAACAAGUUGACAUUGGAAGAGAUGAUUUUGAAUAAAGUUAGAACUAGAUAGUGGCCCGCGCGUUGCUAUGAGCUGAUUUGCUAACAAUAUAAAUUAUUAUAGUAAUGACAAUUGAAAGUUAGAUUUGUGAACACCAUGCCAGACCCAAACAAACUGGAUAUGGCAUGUGAUUUUACAACAACAACAAUAUUUUUUUCAAAUUUAUUAAUAAUUAUAUCAAUAAUAUGAAUAAUAAUAAAAAUACUAAUAUUUAAAAAAUUAAUAAUAAUAUUAAACAUGUUUGAUCCAUGUUUCUGUGGGCUUGACAAAUAUGUUGUACCCUAUUUUUUCCAAUAAUAAUAAUAUUUUUUAAGAAAAAUUUAAUAAGAAGAAGAAGAACACAACAAGAAUAAAAAAAAUUUAUUUUACUCUUUAAAUCAAUUUUAUGAUUUUUUCAAUAAUAAUAAUAAUAAUGUUUUUCAAAUUUAUUAAUAAUUAUUAAUGAUAAUAUUAGACAUGUCUGAUCCAAGUUUAAAUGGGUCUAGCAACAAUGCCAGACCUAUGCUGGUUGGGUCUAUCAAGCAUGCCAGACCCAUAUUACUUUUCAAUUUAGUCCUUUUACUUUUGUUUUUUUUCCCUUGGCUCUUUUUUGAAAGCUCUUAUAGUUUUUAAUUUUACCCUUCAAAACAAAUUUAUAGUAUUUCUUUAAUAGUAAUAAUAUUUUUUUUUUCAAAUUUAAUUCUUCUUAUUAUUAUUAUUAUUAUUUUAAAUUUACCCUUCAAAUCAAAUUUAUGAUUUUUCUUUAAUAAUAAUAAUAUCUUUUAAGGCUGGUUGCUAAAGGGUAUUCACAAAAGCAUGGCAUAGACUACACAGACGUUUUUGCACCAGUGACAAGGUUGGAUACGGUAAGGAUGAUUAUUGCUUUAGCAGCACAGAAAAGCUGGAAAAUCUUUCGGUUGGAUGUCAAAUCAGCCUUUCUUCAUGGUGAGCUAAGCGAAGAUGUUUAUGUUGAACAACCAAAGGGGUAUGAGAAAAGGGGCAGUGAACAUCUAGUUUACAAGUUGCAUAAAGCUUUGUACGGAUUAAAACAAGCUCCUCGAGCCUUGUUUAGCCAGAUUGAAGCACACUUCAUCAAUGAAGGUUUCCAAAGAUAUGACAGUGAGCAGACGUUAUUCACUAAGAAAAGCAGGGAAGGAAAGAUCAUCAUUGUAAGUAUUUAUGUUGACGAUUUAAUAUUUAUUGGUGAUGAUGAAAAUAUGUUGUCUGAGUUCAAAAGUUCCAUGAUAAGAGAGUUUGACAUGUCAAACUUGGGGAAGAUGCGGUUUUUUCUAGGGAUUGAAGUGUUGCAGGGGUCAGAUGGUAUCUAUAUAAGUCAAAAGAAAUAUGCAUUCGAGGUUUUGAAGAGGUUUGGUAUGAUGGAGAGCAAUUCAGUUAAUAACCCAAUAGUUCCUGGAUACAAAGCUAACAAAGAUGUAGAUGGCAUUAAAGUGGAUGAAACGUAUUAUAAACAGUUGGUGAGCAGCUUAAUGUAUCUCACAGCCACAAGACCGGAUAUGAUGUUUGUCUCUUGCCUUAUAAGUAUAUACAUGUCUAAACCUACACAACUUCAUUUACAAGUAGCAAAGAGGGCACUUAGAUAUUUAAGAGGGAAUGUAAACUUUGGAAUUCAUUACAAGAAAGGAGGCAGUGGUGAAUUACUUGCAUUUACGGAUAGUGACUAUGCCGGAGACAUGUAGGAUAGGAAGAGUACAAGCAGGUAUGUAUUUUUGCUGAGCUCUGGUGCAGUUUCGUGGAGUUCAAAGAAGCAGCCAAUAGUGACUUUGUCAAUCACAUAGGCAAAAUUUGUGGCAGCUGCAAUGUGCGUAUGUCAAGCUAUCUGGAUAAAAAGGAUUUUGAAGGAAUUGGGGCAUUCUAGCGAAGGGUGCACACAAGUCAGAUGUGACAACAACUCAACUAUCAAGCUAUCUAAAAAUCUGGUGAUGCAUAGGCGUAGCAAGCAUAUUGAUGUGAGAUACUAUUUUUUGAGAAAUCUUGUACAAUUGCAUUGGUUCAUUAUGGAAGUCAGGAUCAGGUGGCAGAUUUGAUGACCAAACCUCUUAAGCUUGAUGCUUUUCUAAAGUUAAGAGAGCUGCUGGGUGUCCGAGAAGUUUCUAAUGUAAACCGACUAAAAUUUUCAAUAAGUUUAAGGGAAGGAAUGAAGGGUUUUCUGGUAAUAUUAGAAUUAUUGAUUAGAUUUUAAUAAGUCCCUGGUCUUUAGGAAGUUGUUUACAGCUUUAACAUGUUGUUUAGGAAUUUUCUGUUUUUGACUCUUUCUUGUUGCACUUACCACGUUGUUGUAGACAUGGGCUGUUUUCUAGCUAUUUCAGUUAUCAUGCAAGGCUAUAUAAUAGCAACUGUUAUUCAAUAAAGUAAAUCAUUCAAUCCAGUCUUGUGUUUGAGUUCUUUGUUUAAUUUCUUGUUCUCAUUCUCAACAAAAAGGAGGUGAGAUUUUUAGAUGAUGCGAUUAUGUCGAGGCUGCAAAGGAGCCAAAUAACACUAAGAGACAUUUGGAGUACACAACAUUUUAUUAAAAAAGAAGUGUGUUGUUUGUUUUGUGAUGGUUUGUAGCUGGAGUGGAGUGGCAACAAAUGAUCAACGCACAAAUCAAAAACCCAUGUCAAAAAGUCUGAACCUAUACUAUACAUGUAAAUGACUGGGCAGUGAAUGAGCUGACAAACUUAGGAUGAAACUGGAGCAGAAGUUCAUCAUGAACAACUAGAUAAAAGCAGUAGCAAGAUGCAAACAUUCAUUCUGAGAGAAACAAUGCCUUUAAGAAUUUGGGACAAAAAGCAAUGUGACAGAGGUAGGCAAGAACAAUGGGAAAGGAAUCAAAUUAAUAAGAGCCGGCCAGACACAAAAUCAAGAUUAGAAAUUAGCAGUCUGUAAGAGGGUAGAACAACGCAAACUCAAUCCAAUAUCAUAGUUUAUGAGAAAACAGCAAGGUGCCAAUAGCAAAACAGUACGUAGUCUGGUAGUUUUUCUGUAGGUUUCUAAUUUCUAAUCAGAACUUAAUCACUUUAUAGUUCAUCCAACAGAAAAUGGCAAACAACAUAUAUUAAACACAUAAGCUGCUCGCAAUCUAAUCUAGCAUUGUAGGAAAAAGUAUAUCGGAAAAAAGAGCGUAUUUUUGUUAUGAUAAGUGGACUAAAAGUAUAUUUGUGUAAAAGUAGAGAGUUGCUCAAAACCUUUGAAGAGUUGUGGUCUCCUCGAAAAGUAGCCUCCUCCUUCUUUGUAAGGGGAAAAAAGUGUCAAGACAUGACUGGAUUGUUAAAGGAUGUGUCUGCAGCGAACCAAUGGUAACAACACAAGGUGGGGCGAUCUUCGCAACAAUUGUAGGUUUCAAUCAAGGACUUGUUCCAGAGCUUGAAGGAGCUGCUGGAUCGAUGGCUGAAACUGCUUCGCCUUGCAAUUCUUAUUGGCCAGGCAGAGCAUCGACAUCUUCAGCUAAGUUUUCAUCAAAAACCUUGGUGAUGAUGUUGUUGCAACAGUUGACUAUGGAUCGAAAAGUCCCAAACCGAAGCAUCAUAGCUGGAAAAUUUUGAUCUUGUUGAAUUGUCCAAGCAUCAUAGCUGGAACGGUGCCUUGGUCUGUGAAUUAUUUAUCUUACAUGUAGUGGUGGGUUGCAGAAGAAAUGUUUAGUAGUCUUUUCAACCAUGACGAUGGUGGCCUCAUCAUUGUCAUUGAUGAUUAUGCAUGUUGAAAGAAGGAUCGAUAAUUGUGUUAUAAGAUUAAAACAGAUUAAGUAUUUUUAAAAAAAACUCUUUUGGGUUUUUUUUUUUUUUUUUUUUGCUGCUGAAUAAUGUUGAAUUACAAGCUAUUUUAUAGAUAUAAAAUUAUAAACAAUCAAUGAAUUAAAUUAAUACAAAAAAUCUUAAUAUAAAUAAAAAUUGUAUUUUGUCAACUAAACUGGUUGACCAUUUUUCAAUUAGUCGACUACUUUAUUUAAUCCAACCAAUGGACUAGUUCCUUUGCUUUUUAGAAAAAUCAGAAAUCAAAUUUAAUUUUUAACAUCCCUUUUUAAACUUAAUUUCUUCAUAACUUCAAUAAUCUCUAAUUUUUUUAUAAAAACAUCAUUUUUUUUAGUUUUGUGAAGAUGUCGGCGACUUAGUAUUGUAUCUUCACAUCCUUGACUUUAAUUUUUUUAUUUGUAAUGCAAUUUCUUAGGUAAUGAAUCUUGUUUUAAUUUACUUACUUCAGUCAUGAAAAAAUAGAUUUUUAGCUAAGAUAAUGGUUGAGAGUUGUCCACAUAAAUUUCAUAGGUUUCUCUUGUGGCAUUUUAUAAUUCUUUUAGUAAUCUUCUUAGCCAUAUGGAAUAACAAACACAUGAUGUAGUGGCUUAUAUUCAACUUCACAUGUUGAUAUAAAGACUAUUGAUUGCUUUUUCAAAACUCUAUGUGAAUGAUUUCUUUCAUGUAGAACAAAAACCCGUGAUACUCUUUCUAUCCUCCAUAUUUCCAGCCCAAUCACUAUCAUUAUAACCCACAAGAUCAAAGCUAUUAGAAUAUCCCAAAAAAUAAGCCAAAAUCAACAUUAGUUUUGAUAUACCAAAGAAUUCGCUUCAAAGUUUUAAAGUGUCAUAGUUGAUGCCUCCAUAAACAUACUCACUUGUCUUACUCUAAAAAGAUAUCCAGAUUAGUGCAUGUCAAAUAUCUCAAACUCCUAACUAAGCUUUUGAAUGUUGUAGAGUUUAAAUUACUCCUUCAUCAUUCGUUACAUCUUUACUCCCACUUAACCAGAUAUUUACUUUUACAUAAUUUUUCAUCUUGAACUUCUUGAGAACUCCCUUACAAACUUCUCUUAAUUCACAAAGAUUUCAUAAUUCUCCUUAUUUUGAUCUCAAUCCUUGAGUAGUAUGUCAUAAAACCAAUGUUUGUCAUCUCAAACUCCUUGAUCAUUGCUUGCUUGAAGUCUUUAAACAUCUUUGGAUUAUUGUUUGUAAAAAUCAAGUUAUCCCAUACUAAUACAUACAAUAAGUAUCAUUACACUCUUUUAUCUUUACAUAUAUAGCAUAUUUGUCACACCCAGACAUUGCAGCAAUUAAUUAAAAAUUUCUUGAAAAAAAAAAUAUCUAGCAUCUUGUUCUUUUAGGGAAAAUGUCUAGUUUAAGGAGUCGCAACCUAAUAUUAUGAUCAUUAGAAACCCUAACUGGUCAACAAAGAUCUAUGGUACGAGACUAAUUAGGCGAAAAGAAGAUACUAUCACUCCUUGAACGUCCUACCUGAAACAAGCUGCAUUGAUGGUUUUGUCUUAAAUUGAUAAGAGUUUGUCUUUGUUCUAUUUUUAAGAUCAUCCUAUAAUAUUCCUGAUUCUGGCAUCAAUAAAUAUUCACUUAUGAAUAUUAUCAAUUUUUACGUUGGUAAAUAUUAUGUAAUCUAUAACUGUAAUAUUUCUAAUUCUGGUUUUAAUAAAUAAAUCUAUAAAAUUGAAUUUAAUGAAGAAAAUAUUUGUUUUUUUUUUUGGAUGGUUAGAGACCCAAACAAUAACCUGGUUUGGCCGAGGCACGCUCACAUGUGCACACCUAGCCACAUGUGAAUUAUAAUUGCUGAACAUAAGAGUGAAUUUAAAAUUACAUGUAACAAUACCUAUGCACUUAUAAUUGUAAAGGAGAGGGAAAUGAAGAUCUUCCCUGAGACGAAGCCGAUGGUAACAGAGACGAAGACGUGAGGCUGUGGUUCGUCAACACUCCUUUCUUCACUUCAGCUUCUCUCUGUCCGUUGUAUCUCAGCCUCCUGUGCCCCUGGUUUGCGUUUGUGUCCUCUGUUAGCGUUUCCAGGUCUUCCCCGGUUUCCUCUAUUCUGUGAUGUUAUGUUUAUGUUCACUGGUUCUGCCUGUCUGUAUAUGCUCUCUGUGUGCUCCUGUGGCUUCCUUCCCCCUGUAUUGGGUCUGUUUAUUCUCCCUUGUUCGUCCUGUUUUUCUGUCAAAAGCCCCUCAUCUGUGUGCCUUCUGGUUUUCUAUCCCGUGUUGUUCCGUCUCCUGUCUCUGUCGCGUCCAUCCUGUCUCUACUUAGAAGAGAAGGUUUGUGCUAUGGCGGGUGCAUGCUCUCGAUGCACAGUGCUGAUUGCUGGAGCUGGAGGAGGCGCGCAGCGCUGGAAGGAGGAGCUGAAGCUGGUACUUCUGUCAAGUGGUGUUUGUUGCAGUGGCAAAGAAAGGGUGGCUGGUACAAGGCUCGUCAUGGUGAGGGGAGAAGUUGGUUGCCUCUACUGUGUUUGCUGGGGGAGUAAGUUGAUUUGCAUCCCCUCUCAGAGGUCCCGCAAUCUUCCUUCGUCAAAGAUUGAGGUUGAUGACGUCUAAGAUUUGGUUGGCCAUGGGGAAGAAAUCUUGUUUUCUUUCCAGGUAGUGGCUGAGAAGAAAAAGGGGUGGUUCUUGUAAUGGUGCUGCUGGGAUGUGUUAGCCAGCAACGUCCACUAACCUGGUCUUCAGGGAGAUUGGUUGCUGAUGUAUUUAGAAGUUUUGGUUUUGAAUUUGAGUUAGUUUUAUCUUGUGUUUCAGUUUGUUAGUUCUCCUUCUAUUAAGGAAUUUAUCAUGGGUUUUUGUUAUUUAAAGAGUUGUAUAAAUAACUCAAUUGGGUUAAUAAUAAGACGUAGAAUUUGAAAUCUUUGUAAGGGUUAAAACAAGCUUAUCAAGCAUGAUAUACUUGACAAAGUGAUUAUCUUUUAUUUAUUGGAUUUCGUGCUUUCAAGAUUGAUACCUUUUUAUUCAUCUUGUAUAUGGGUAUUGAUAUAUUUUAUCUCUUUAUUUACAUUGAUGAUAUUUUGCUUACUCCAAUUCAAUCUUACUUCACCAUUUAAGCCGGUUGCUUAGCUUAUAAUUCAAGCUCUAAGAUUUAUAAGUUGCCUCUUAUUUUUUUAGGGAUUGAGGUUCAUCCUAUUAGUAUAAUUGUCAUGCUCCAACAAGUUAAGUAUAUUCUUGACAUACUUCACAAAGUAGGUAUCUCUUUUUACAAACUAGUCGAUACUUUUAUUUUUGCCUCCAAACUUGUUAUAGUGUCCAAUUGCAUGUUUUCUAAUCUUACAUGAUUGUCAAAUUACUGGUGCUCUUUAAUAUAUCACAUUUAGGAGACUAGAUAUUUUUUGUUUUGUUAUGAACAAAGUAUGUUAGUUUAUGCAUGUUUCUACAGAUGCGUAUUGACUUGCCGUUAAACACAUCAUGCGUUAUUUGAAAGGUAUAAUUUCUUUUAGGUUACUUAUCACCUACAAUUCUUCAUUUACUUUAGAUGGUUUAUAGAUUUUGUCUAGGUUGGUAAUGUUGAUGAUUAUAAGUCAACAGAUGGUUAUCUUGUCUAUUUUAGUUAUACACCAAUUUCUUGAAAAUAAAGGAAACAACAUACAAUUGCUCAAUCUUCGAUUGAGGCUUAGUAUAAGGUUUUAGGUAACAGGGCUUUUGAGGUCCUAUGGCUUUAAUACUUAUUGAUAGAUCUGCAAAUUACUCAUACUUCUUUGCCUAUAUUUUGGUGUGAUAAUUUAAUUGCCACUUAUUUGUCCGCCAAUUAUAUUUUUCAUGCUCGUACUAAACAUGUAAAGAUUGACUAUCAUUUUGUACACGAUAAGGUUAUUAUAUUUUGUACACGAUAAGAUUGUCAAGAAAGAUAUUCAGAUUCACUUUAUUUCCUCUAAGGAUCAACUUGUAGAUGUUCUUACCAAGCCACUUUUCAUCACUCCUUUUAAUUAUUUUCGAUUCAAUUUUCGAGUUGAACAUUCACCCUCUGCUUAAGGGGGUGUGUUAUAGGAAGUGCUAUUUUAUAGGGUAUAAUUAAGUAAUUCUAUUUAUCACUAAUUAUUGUACAAUACUCUUAUUUAUAUAUUUAUAUAUUUAUAUAUAUAUAUAUAUAUAUAUAUAAAAGAUUGACUAACUAAUUAGUUAAGCCAAUAUCCUUCUUAACUCUCAUAGUCAAACAGUUGAAUAAUAGAUAGCAAACAACGUACAAUUGCUCAAUCUUCAAUUGAGGCUAAGUAUAAAGUUUUAGGUAAUGGGGCUUUUAAGGUCUUAUGACUUUAAUACUUAGUGAUAGAUCUACAAAUUACUCAUAUUUCUUUGUCUAUGUUUUGGUUUGAUAAUUUAAUGGCCACUUAUUUGUCCACCAAUUAUAUUUUUCAUGCUCAUACUAAACAUAUAGAGGCUGACUAUUAUUUUGUACACGAUAAGGUUAUCAUUUUAUACAUGAUAAUGUUGUCAAGAAAGAUAUUCAGAUUCACUUCAUUUCCUUUAAAGAUCAACUUGUAAAUGUUCUUACCAAGCCACUUUUCAUCGCUCCUUUUAAUCAUUUUCGAUUCAAGUUUCGGGUUGAACCCUUACCCUCAGCUUAAAAGAGUGUAUUAUAGGAAGUGCUAUUUUAUAGGGUAUAUAUAUUAGUGUAAUUCUAUUUAUCAUGUGUAUAGUUUAAUUGUGUAUUGUAAACUCUACACUAACUAUUAUUCAAUACUCCCCUAUAUAUAUAUAUAUAUAUAUAGAUUACUAACUAAUUAGUUUAGCCACUAUCCUUCUCAACUCUCAUAGUCAAACAGUUGAAUAAUAGAUACUUGUUUCUGCAGUAACCCGAAUAUGAGUGUUGUUCCUUCUGAGCUAAGAUUGAUGAAAUAAUGGAGAACCUUAUCAUGUGAUCACAUGUUAUCAUUGAGUAAAUACAAGUCACACUUGGAAAUCUCAAGUUCUAUGGAAAUUUAACCAAAUCAUUGUCAAUUGCAAUACGAAUUAAUCUUCACCAUUUGAAUUUUAUUUAUUUUUCAGCUUACUUUCCUCAGAAAGAACGUAUUGUAGUGGUGAUGAUAAACCUACUGCACAUGGUCGAACGCAGCGCGCAGGCGUCAAAAUUAAGCUUUUCAUGUCUUUACCGGACUGGGAAAAGAGAAGAAAAAGGCAUGAAGUAGCAGAAGCUGAGAAAACCAAUCUAGAGACACUGAAACUGAACUAAAGAAGAAGAAAUAUUAGCCCAGUUAAAGUACUCCAAACAUUUUGUGAUUUACACAUAAGCUUUAUUGGUAUUGUGUGCUUAAUAUACGUACUGAGGGAAUUAUGCAAGAAAUCUAUAGUCUAUACAAACAUAUACACGCCUAGUUGCCCUUUUGUGCCUUCUGAUGCACAAAGAUGAAUCACUUAAUAUUUCUUCAUGCAGUCACUAAAUAUUACUGUGAUUGGAGAUGAUAUCUACUAUUCACUUUUGCGAAAGAGUAACGGUAAGCACGAAGUAACCUCCUCUGAAAUCUUCCAAGAUUGAGCCUCACAUUUUGGUUAUCAAGAUAGGUCGACUUUGUGUAUUGCCAUCCCUUGUCAGACACGCUUCUGGGAUCUCGAAGAACAGGAUCAUUCUUAUCGUAUUUGUCAUACAAUGAACUCUCUCUUGGAAGAAUUUGGUAGCCAAUAUACUUUAAACCAAGCUUCCUUGCAGGCUUACCAUAAUAAGCAUCGGCUGCCCAUUCUGUUCCUAGAGGAAUAACUUGGAUAAAAACAGAGCCAGGCUUCAUAAACAGAAAAUGAGUCAUGGCAGCACCAUGGACACCAAUCAUAACUUCACUUGAAUUAAGUGCGCGAUAUAUCCUGGCCAGUUCUGUCGUUGGCUCAGGCCUCAUCACUUCAACUCGAAAUCCGAUUUCUUCAGCCAUCUUCACCAAUAAAUUCUCAUUAGUUAUAGCUCUAGACCCAUUUCGAGAUAAAAUUACCAGUUUAGGUUUCUUCAAGGUGGCUUCAUGCACUUGCUUUUGUUUUUUUUUUGAUGAUUGAGCUUUCAGUUCAAGUUUCUUCUGAGCUCCUCGUUCUUCUUCUUUAAUCAUACUUUUAAUCCGAGGCCAGUACGCUCGGUCUAGAAAAUUGCGAAAAUCAACAACGCUUUUAUUCUCCUGCAUCAGUGAAGGAUCCACUGUGAGCUCAUCAUGGAUUCUAAGACCAGCAAUAGCUUCAGGAAAGCAAUGGGUUUUCUUGUCUCCGCUAAAAUCAAUGGCAGGAUAAUCCGAAAGAAGUGAAAGAAUGUUUCCAUACUUCAUGAUCCACCAAUUAUGAUAAUCGAGAAUAACAAACACAACCUUCUUCUUGAAAUGCUGUGAUGUAAUGUACAAAGGCAAAAUCCCAUCAUUGAAUUCAUGAUAAACAUUACCGGUGUAGCCUCCAGUCGAAAAGAACACUGCCGGUACAUCAUGCAUGACAUCGCAAUGAUGGUUAAUUCUAAAAUUCUCUGUCUUUGCAAUAAGGCCUAAUUCAUCAAUUGAGUCCAUCACACUCGUUUCCCAUUUUCGGGUGUAUGGUUUGAUCUUUUCAUGAUGGAGUUCCUCGUCUUUAUCAACUAAACUCGAAACCUUGUUCAUCACAGAAUUGGUAUUUCUUGAGGUGAAGAGGAAGAUCGAAGAAGAGGCAGAAUGUGUUCUUACAUCCCCUUUCAUAACACAGACAUCAGAACGCAUACUGCUUCGGUCACAACAUAUGGUUCCUGAAUUUACCCCAAAAAAAUGUGUAAAAAAUUUGAGGAAAUUAACAUUAAAACAUCAAUUCAUAUUACUAUACGAGCCUCACAUUUGAGCAAACUUCACAAAAUAAAAAACAAAGUAAGAAAGAGACUUUAACCCAGUAACUUUGUGUCUACUUUUUUUUUUUACAGAAACUAGAUCAUUCACUUCACUCACCUUGAUUGAGUGACCACUUAAAACUCCAAAAGAAGAAAAAAGAAAAAAUCAGUUCCAUCAUUAAUUCUCCCUAACUUUCUUGGUUACGUAAGUACGUAGCCCAAGGAAAUUCUAAAUUAAUAUCAGAAAGCAACAAACUUCAAGGCUGUUAAUACCUAAUACUGUUUGAUUCAAUCAAACUUUUAAAAAAAGAAAUAGAAGAAGAAAGGCAAAAAGAAUAGAACACCGCAAAAAAGAAAAGAAAAAAGAGAGUACUAACCAUUAGAAAUCGAUGAGCACAAAUAAGCUUUUGCAUUUACAUUAGUAGCAAACCCAUCACUUUCUACAUCAAAAGAAUCUGCAAAAACCAGACAAACAUCAGCAAAUGCAAAGAAGAGGAAAAGGAAAAAAAAAGAAGCAGAUAAAAAAUAGCCAAAACCCAUGAGAGAGAGGAGCUUACACGAAAGAGAGGAAGAGCAAAACAAGGGACGAGAUAAAAUAAGACAGCAAGAGAGAAGGGAAAGAAUGACAAGAGAGAAAAGCUUGGGCCUUGUCCUAUUGAAAUAAACCGAGCUUGCUGCACACAUCAAAGAUGACAACAGCACCUCCUCUUCUUCAACAUGUUGACGAUCACCUUUUUUUAACUGAUGAUAUCUAUAGGAGUGCACCAUUGCCACCUAUAUAUUCUCAAAUGUAAGGCUUCUAUCUUUUGGGGUUUUAUAAAAAACCCAACGACGACUAAAACAAGAGAAAGAAAGAAUUUUUUUGAGUGAACAAAGUUUCUCAGCAAACCCCAGUCCUCUAUUUAGUUAUUUAGUUUUUUUCCAGAGGUUCUUCCUUUUCUGGGUUGUAAAAGUGCUGAACUAAAACCCAGUUUUGAACGGAGAAAAGAGAGCUGUUCAAUUAUUUGUAGAGAGAGAGAGAGAAAACACAAGUUGCAAGGUUUCUACGUUGUCGUAAUGGUUAUGCUGUGAAGGUGUUUCUGGGGGUGUUUACGUUGCUAAAUUUGAAAGACAGAGAGAGAGGCUUUUGUCUAGUUAUGCUAAGGAUGUUUCUAGGGACGUGUUAUUUGCGUUUCUAUGAGAGAGAGAGAGAGGAGCCAAUGAGGAACGAAGGCGUCUAAAAAGGAGGCUAUAAUAUUCAACUUUCGAAAAAAUUGAAGAGCUGCAUAAGGUAUAUAUUUCGUUUUCGGCAGUCAAAUUCCGUGUGGAGAGCAAAUCAAAGAGCCGUCCUUACUCUUUUCAGUAGUGAUUCAUCUACAAAAUGUCAUCAUACAACAUUUAUGGUGUGAUUGUGAACCCCAAAUUUGAUGUAGUUUUGUCAUUCAAGUGUGUGGUUGGUUUAUCCUUCUAAAUAUAUAUGUCAUUGUUAAUGCACCGAGUUUUUUUAAUUAAAAUAUAUAUUAAAUUAUUUUUACUUUUUUUUAUUUUUAUUAUAAUGCAUAAAAACUAUUGAUAAACAUGUAAAAAUUAUUAAUUUAAUAUUUUAGCAAGUAACAAUUAAUUUGAAAGGCAAGUUGAAGCAAAAACAAAACAUCAAAGACACAAAAUAUGUAUUUUAUAUAAGAGAUUAUUAGUUUAGAAAUGUAAAUAUUAAAAUCACAACAGCUAUUAACCCAAAAGAAACAUAUAUUCAAUACAUGUGGAACAAAAAAUGAAUUUAAUUGAUCCCUUCAACAACAAAUCAACCACUACUAGAAAAUUAACAAAUACAAACAGAAAUAUCGACGGAAUUUUUUCGUAUAUAGAUUGCGGUGAAUUUUUCUAUAUGAAUAUGCCCUCACAGUAUUUAUUAGUAAAAACCAAUGAAAAUAUUCUCUUGAUUAUAUUGAAGGAAUUACAGUAAGAAAAGAAUGAAUGAAAAAGAGCUAAAAAAUACGAUAACGUGUCAUUUUUAUAGACAAAAUUACCGACAGAUUUAUUUCAAUAUAUCAAAAAAAUUCAUCUGUAAUAUUUAAUUUAUGAUCUGAUGAGCAACCCUCCUCUCAACAUUCCUCAUUUAUUCUUCUUCCUCUAUUUUUCUGCACACCCCCGAUUAGUAAUGAAGAUUAGAUCACAUAUAUAUAGAUGGUACAUGUGCUUCCUUUUAUUCACCUCAUGGUCCCGACAAAGACUUGCCUCCUCAUCCUCCUUCAGUGCCUCUAUUCUAAGUUAAUUGUAUUUAAACUUAUAAAUGUUUACAUUUAUAAUAAAUAUUUGAUUUUUAUAUUAAUUUAAUUUAAUUAUUUUUUAUUUUUGUUUAAUAGAUUUAAAAAAAUUAAAUUAUUACCGACAUGGUUACUAGCAGAUUAAGUCUAUCGGUAUAUUUUAUAAAGUUGAAAAAUAAUUACUGCAAAUAUCACUGUCGUUGUUUACUCACCGACAGAAUUAUAAACGAUAUGUUUGAUGGUUAUAUGUCAAAUUCACUAAGGAGAAUAUUGGCAGACAAAAAAUAUUAUUGAUGGAAUUAUAUACAGUUUUUUUGUUGGUGAUAUAUUAUAUUCAUCGAUAAAAAUAUUAAUAGAAUGAAACAGAUAACUUUUUUUUACAUGCUUUUGUCGUUAGUAAAUCUUUUAGUAAAAUUGUUACCGAUGAACUUAAUUAUAAACCACAAAUCACUUACCAAAGUUUUUCUGGUGGAGUAUUGCCAUCCCAUCUCUAAGCCUAUCGAAAAAAUUUGUGCUGAUGAUUUAUGAAAAUAAAUACUGAUAGAAAAUUCUAUAAGUAAAUCUAAAAAAUUUUGAUAGUCAAUGAUAUAACUUAGCAUUUUUAUUAACUGUUUUUUGUUAAUUAAUCAUAAAAAAAAAAAUGGACAGUUAGGUUGGCACUGAUAUGUUGUUUUUGAUGUUACACUUCAAUUUAUAUUAAUAUCUUACGUGAGAUUGUUCCAUUAAUUAUAGAUCAUCAGAUUUCUGGGGAAAAAAAAAGGUUGUUGUCAAGAAGUAUGUUGUCAGCCAACCCUUUUCCCUUGUUUCUCUGGUUGGCUUUGCCUAUCUCUAUUAAGUGGAAUUGGAUUCCAAUAUUUAGAUGGUAUUUAAUUUGGAAUACUACGAGCGGUUGUUUUUAUUUUCAUUUUGAAUACAUAAAAGAUAAUAUAUUUUAGAUAUUUAAAAUAUAUAUAUAUAUAUAAAUUUUUUAUUAAAAAAUCAAUUUUAAUAUCAAUGAUCAAAAUAUAAAAAAAAAACACAUAAAAAACUUUCAAACAAAAAUGAAGUUCAAAAUUUUUGAAAACUUCAAUUGAAUCAUUUUCUCAAACACUUUUUUCCUUAUUUGUUUUUGCGGUAGAAAUGUUAUUUUUUUAAAAAAAUAAAUUUCUUUUUUUUAAAUUAAAUUUUUAUUUUUAUUUUGAUGUUCUUGAUUUUUUUAGAGGUAGUUGGAAAACUGAUCCCUGUAAUCUUAACAAUUUCUUAAGAUGGUCCUUUCAUCCAAUUCACUACUUACUAGUCCUAGAAAGCAUGUCAGAAAAAGUGGACAGGUGUCUAGUACAUGUCAGAUCAAGAAUUAAUAGUAAAUUGAAUGAAAAAUGAACAUUAUAAAACGAAAAUCAUUAGCAAAGUAAAUUAAUUAAACGAAGAUCAAUCAAAACAUAACCCAAAGUAGACAGCCAAAGAGAACUUCGCUGUUGGCAGCUCAUCCAUGAAAAUAAUAUGCACUACCUUUGCAUAAUCCUUAAAAACUAAUAUAACUAAUCAAGCCCCGUCAAGAAAAUUUCAACGGACAAGAUUAUAUUUCUUAGGCCUUAAUCCACCCCUAGAACAUGAUCUCAUUUCAUUUAUUAACAACUUUCAUUUUUAUUCAUGUUUAGUUUAUUUUUUAAAGUUUUUGCGUUUAGUUAAAAAUGAGAUACAAAUCUAUAAUUGAUAAAUCAACACCACCAUAAAAUUCGCCUAAAACCGACGGAAUUACUGAUGAAAUAAUUAUGUCGAUAAAUUGCGGUGAUAAUUACCGACGGCUACUAUUCCGUCUGUAAUUCAGUCGGUAUAUACCGACGGAAUACUGCGGUCAGUAUAUACCAAUGGAAUUACAAACAGCGUAUUCAGAAAAAAAAAAUUUAUAUAAAAAAAAAAGGUUUGCUGACGUGGAAGUUUUGGCGAGCAAUUUUAUCGAUGGAACACCGAGAGAUUCAAACCGAGAUCUCUGUACAAUGACGUGACCAAUUCACCGUUAGAAUUGCAUCACUAGAUAAGUAAUAGAAACUAAAUGUAUAAUGGAGCCAAUAUUUCAUUACAGGAAAAAAAAAAUUUGUGUUGAAGAUCAAAAACUUAGAGACUAAAUAAAAUGAUUUAUAGCAAUCCACAGUGUUUUGUGAGGAAAGAUACAAUGUUUUUGUCACAUGAUUUAGCUUUUCUGUUAAUAAAAAGCAAAAAAAAUAAUUUUGAAACUAAAUUGGAUAGCCUAGAAAAAAAAAACACAAAAGAAACUGGAAAAAAAUCAUGUGAGGAAAAACUGUAUCAACUCAUAGUGUUUUGUAAGGAAAGUUACAGUGUUUUCCUCACAUGAUUUAACCUUACUUAUAUUUACUUGUAAUUGUAAUUCUUAACCAGCUUAAUAUUAAAAAAAUAAAAUUAACAAAGACAAUUUAAAAAAAACAUAAAAAAAAAAAAAACAAAGUGGGAAAAAACACUAUAACAAUCCACAGUAAUUUGCGAGGGAAGCUACAGUGCUUCCAUCACAUAUUGUAACUGUAAUUUUUAAUCAGUUCAAUAUUAAAAAAUAAAACAAAAAAAGAUAAUUUUUGAGAAAAUCAUAAAAAAAAAUUAAAAAAAAACCAUGUGGAGAAAUAUUGUAGCAAUCAACAAUGUUUUAAAGAAAACAAAUUACAAAACUAAAUUCUCAAUCAGCUUAAUAUUAAAACAAUAAAAUCGACAAAUAUAACUUUGAAAAAUAAAAAAAUAAAAUAGAAAACCAUAUGGAAAAACACCGUAGCAAUUCAUAGUAUUUUAAAGGAAAAAAUUACAAAGAAAAUUUUUUAAUCAGUUCAAUAUUAAAAAAGUAAAAUUGACAAAGAUAGUUUUGAAAAAAAAAUAGAAAAAAAGGAAAAAGAAAAAAGAAAAAGUGAAAAAAAUAUAAAGUAAAAAAAAAUAAACAAAAAAAAGGUGAAAAAAAUGAAAAAGUUAAAAAUAAAAAAUAAAAAAUGAAUGCACUGUGGAUUACUGUUGUGUUCUACAAUGCAUUGGGUGUGGAUGAACAGUAAAUUCCCCGCGUCCUUUAGCUUAUUACUUAAUUUGCAGAAAAAACUAAGAUGUAUCUAGCAUAAUAAUGUUGUCUGCUUGUUUUUUGGAGUGUGGUUGAAGUUGUUUUUCAAAGUGUUUUUCACUCAUAAAUGCAUCAAAAUAAUAUUUUUUAUUUUUUAAAAAAUUAUUUUUUUAUAUCAACAUAUCAAAACGAUCUAAAAACACUAAAAUAUAUUAAUUUUAAACAAAAAAACAAAUUCAAACGGAUUAGACCGCGUUCCCAAACGGUCAUGUAAAACUACUUUCAAAUAAGAAUUUGUGUAAUGAAUUUUUAAGCUCUUGAAUAUUCUGUAAAAUAAAAACAUUUUAAUGAAAUAUAUUAUUAUUAUUAUUAUAACCACAGCUAUAUUAAACGGAUCCUAAUUCAAAAGAUGGAGCUUUUAAAUUUUUAAGUUUUAACAUUUGAAUAUGUACACAAGCACUUCAAGUUAUAAACAUUGAACAUCAUGCCGUCCAACCAAUUCUUUAAUUAAUCUCAUACUCUUGGUCCAAGUUUUUUAAAAAAUAUUAAUUUAAUUUUACUGUACGAAACCUAGCUCAAAAAUAUCAUUUAAAUUCUAAGAAAAGAAUUUACAAUAACUUUAAGACAGCGGCUAAUUUUUAAUAACUUUUGGGUCACUGGACUAUUUCGCAAUCUUUCUGCGGGGUUUCGAAGGUAUGAAGCUUGGAAAUGCGUCAAGAAUGUGACCAGAAUGGUCCAAAACCUGCGUCCAGAAUGGCGAUUCCCUUGCAUAAUUUAAAAAAGUAUUGACUUUUACCCAUUAAUCCGAGCUCAAGUAUGUCGUGCCUGGGUUUCGAAACAGAACGGACAAGUCAACAGCUUCAAUUGCCUAUUUGUUGACCAUCAAGUAGGCUAUGGCUAUACUUAUUGUUAGACCUAUUAAUGUAUUAUUCAAUUAUGCUUUACUAUGUAAACUUAAUCUUGCCAUUUCAUAUUACUCAUUAAAUCAUUUCACCCAUCCCCACAUGUUGAUCACUGGUGCACAUGGGCGUGCGGUGUUGGGGUAAAGAAAAUCAUCACGUAGUUGUUUGGUUUAAAGUCAUUAAGAAACUCAGAUAUAUUAAUUUUAUAAUAGAUUUCAAGAAUAAGGAGCUAAUUGUGGCUAGAGAAGGUAUUGACAUUCAUAAUACACCCUACCUAAAAUAAUAUACAUUGUGUGGUCUAAAUGUAGUUUAAAGAUUUUGAUGGAUUUAUAACCGGUAGUCAAUUUAUGGCUUAGGGUGAAGAUUAAUUCGCGUGAAUAAAUCUGACUUUUCAAAUUUAUUAUGGACUUGUGUACUCAAAUGAAUUCCUAUGAAAAUAAUUCAUGUAGAUAUCCUGAUAGGAUUCAUCUAUCCUAGAAAAUAAAAUAGCUUUUCACAACUCGUGUGUUUUGGUGAAAAAUACUUUGAAUUAAAAUUGAUGAAUAUUUAAAAUAAUUCUAAGAAUUUUUUGAUUAAUUUCAUAUAUUUAGAUACCAGCGGUUAUGGUUUUACUUAUUAUUAAACCUAUUAAUGUAUUAUUAAGUUAUGCUUUACCAUGUAAACUUGAUCCUGCCAUUUCAUAUUGCUCAUCAUAUCAUUUCAUCCAUCCACACAUUUUGAUCACCAAAUCCUUUUCUUUUUUCUUUUUCUGCAUUUAUACAUUCCAUUCAUUUGCUGCACUUAUAUAUUCCAUUCAAAAAACAUUUAAUGCAUUUAUUAUUAAUAAAAAAAAUUAUCUUGGAACACACAAGUCACAACUAACCUUCAAUUGGCUGGCUUUCGAACUAUCAUAAAUUUCUAUGCUUAUUCCCUUUUUUUUCACUUGCACUCCACCAUUUUCUCCCACAAUACACUUCUUUUAUAGCUAAUAAAAUUCUUUUGAGUGUUAUUCAAAAGAAACUUCCAAAGAGGCUGUAAGGAUUAGUUUGAUAUUCAUUGGAACUCCAUAUAUAGCCUUAGUUUGAUAUUCGUUGGAAAUCCAUUAGCACAUGUUGAAUGCUCAACACUCAACCACUACAUCAAUUUCUAUUGCUGUUUAUAAAUGGUUGAAAAAACACUUUUGAUAGCCUUGUUCAAAUAUUUUUUUUUUUUAGAUUGUUUUAAAUGAUAACAUCAACACCAACUUGAUGAGAAAAGUAAAUCAAUAAUUUUGAAAUGAAUGCGUUAAAAAUAAAUUUUUUAUUAUUUUGUUUUUUGAAAAGACAUUGAAUAUAUCAAAAAUAACGUAAAUAUGUCAAAAAUAUAUUUUCUUGGAUUUUUUAAUUCAUAGUUUACUCUUUUUUUUGGAUUUUUCAAAAAAAAAUCAAGUAAUGACAGAACUUAAAAUUACUCACAUCAUAAUUUAUAUUUCUAGAAUUUUAUUUUUUUUUAAAAAAGCACAGGGUUUUAAUUUUUAUGACUGAUUUAUUUCCAUUUAAUCCUUCAAUAUUUUAUCAUUUCAUGCAAAUGCCAGAUUUUUUUUUUCUUCUUUUAUUUUUUUUUCUCUUCAUUUGACAUCUUUUUUAAGGAUGCAACUACACUUCAUGUACAUAAUACAUGAUUUUUUUUUUCUUGGAUUUUUUUUUUAUACGAACUGCGGUGAAGCACGUGUGAUAUAGCUAGUCCAAAUACAUUAAGUGAGGAAGACAUUUCAACCCUUUUUUUUUUUUUUCAAUUCAAGUCAAAAAUAGUUAAACUAGCUUACAUCCACGCCACACCUCAAAUGAAAUAUAAAGCACAAAUUAAGAACGUAUAGCCUGUUUUAGCUAAAACCUUCACCAAAAAGGAAAAGGAACGUAACAAGACCCAAAGGCUACAACCCACAUGUCAAUGAAUAGACGUUUCCCCUGUUUAUAUAUAUAUAUAUUGAAAAUAUAAUUAUGAUUAUUUUUAAAAAUAUUUUUUACUUAUAAAUAUAUUAAAAUAAAUUUUUUUUUCUAAAAUUUAUUUUUAAUUUCAACACAUCAAAACUAUCCAAAAUAAUAAUAAAAUAAUUUGAAGUAAAAAAAAUUAAAAUUUUUUAAAAACACUUUUUGAAUAAAAAACUAACAUAUUUUUUGAGAAUGUUCUAAAAUGAAAAUAUAAAAUUAAAUUCAAUGGCUCUUGGAUAACGUACUCUUCUUUCUUCCAUGCAUUAAUUUAUAAUGAGGAGGCUGUAUUAAUUUAUUGUUGUUAUUUUCUCGUAAGAGUUUGGAAGCUGCAUGGUGAGAUGGCUGGCGCCAGCUGUGUCAAUUUUUUCGUGGAAGACAAACCGGUGGUCAAGUACGUAACACUCUCCAUAAUGUCAACCAUCUAAAACAUGAAUUUUCUUUGGGAAAAUAAUUUUGAAGACACCGAACUAAGUUCUUACAGAACACAUCUCUCAAAGUUGAUGUGAUUUAUUAAAUUAGUGGUUAUAUCAUCAUCGUCAUCAUCUAAUAUGGUUCUUGUCUUGGUUUAAUUAUGCCACGCCCUUAAUAAAAACAAAAAAUUGUUUCUUGAUCCUAACCGAUCUAUUUUUAUUUACAAGUAUGGUUGUGAUUAUUUUUUAAAAUAACUUUUUGUUUAUAUAUAUAGUUAAUCGUCACAUUCUAAUUCUUUUAUCUUAAUUGGGUUUUAAGAGAUCAGAAAAUUCUUAGCUGAGCCCUCUUGUACAGAGUAAACGUUUAUCCUGGCAAAUUAAUGAUCAUGAUAUAUAUAUCAGCUAGCUAGCUAAUUUGGAUGGCAUCACUCAUUUAUAGAGGGAUAUGUUCCGUAAGAAUUCAUCUUGAUAAUUAGGAAAUAUACUUCGUUGUUUGGUUUUUUAAACUUUGAGUUUUUAUGGGUCCAUGCAUCCAAUGAUUCGAAGGGUGCAUCGUUGCAAUCAUUCGGGAAAAAAAUAAUCUUGGUUCAAACCCACUUGCUAUUGAAAUUAAAAAAAAAAGGGAGGGGGGGGGGUGGCAAAAUCCUAAUCUGCAUAAUUCAUACUGUGAUUGGUUAAUUAACUUGUUUGAUUUUUUGGCCUACGAGUCAACGAAUUGAAUAGAUGUACGUUUGUUUUCGUUAUUUUGUUUAUUUUAAAAAUAAAAAUAAAUAUCUUCAGAGCCCAUUGAGAUCAUUUUCUUGUUUAUUCCAUGUGUAUGGUAUUUGUUAUCGUUUUUUCGAGUAAUAGUUUAAUUUGAAGGUACAACAUGAUGCCGUUUUAUCUGUCAAAUAAAACUUGUUAUAAUGUUUUUUAACGACCUGGUCAACCACCUAAAACAUCAGUUCUCUUUCGGGGAAAGUGAUUUUCUAUGUAGUUUUAUAUUUGAAUCUUCACCGAACAUAUCUUUAUGUCAUUUAAAUUAGCUGUUAUAUAUAUGUAUAAUUAAUGCAUUGAUUAGGAAAAAAUUAAAUAUACAUAAGAAAAAUCAGAACAUCAAUCAACUAAAUCAUACUUUUUUCCUUUGCUUUUAUUUUAUUUUUCAUGCGAAUAAUAUUUGAUGAAAUGAAGAUAAACAAUAUUUGGACAAGCUCGUAGUAAACAAACAUGGAUAUCAGCAUGUUUGAAAGUGUAGUUGUGAUUGUUUUUCAAAGUAUUUUUUACUUAGAAAUGCAUCAAAAUAAUAUGUUUUUUUUUUAUUUUUUAAAAAAUUAUUUUUUAUAUCAACGCAUCAAAAUGAUCUAAAAAUAUUAAAAAAUAUAUUAAAUUAAAAGUAAAGAAACAAUAAAAAAAAUUAAUUUUUUUUUAAAAUAUUUUUAAAAUAUAAAAACAAAUAAUAUAAAUUCACUGGAUAAAAGCAAGUAAAAUAGAAAUAUCUUGGGAUCCAAUAAAAAGAGUAAGCUACAAAAGGCAAGCAUAUUAGGCGCUAAUCAAGGCUUUGAGACCUAUAUUGGAGGCCACGUAUCGCAGUUUGCAAGCGGUGAUUUGCAUGGUUACUCUACACUUUCUGGAUUAUCCCUACACUUUUUCUUGGGAUGUUUCCAAACUUUAUUACAAGAAUCAAGGUAUAGUGUUUAUUAAUUUAAUAUUUUAACUCUUAUUUUUCAUUCAAUUCUUUUGAAUAAUAGAUCGUAUUGAACUUUCAUUCUUCAAUAUCGCCAUAAAUACGUUAAUCAAUGUAAAAGUUUAUGUCAAACUAUGCUUAAGAGGGUGUGAAGUCAAAUUUUAAAAGCCCAAGCACGCCUUGAAUAAGAUUAGGGAGAUGGGUUUAAUUUUAAAAUACGAAUUGAUAAUACUUUUAACCAUAAAAAAAAUACAUGUGUUAAUUUGUCAUUUUGCAAUUUCCUUUGGCAUAAGCAUAAUUCCAAUACACUAAACUAUUAUUUAAUCUCUGUGAUUUUAGCAAACUAAUCAACUAUUAAUUAAAAAAAAACUAAUAUUCUAUCCUUGUAUUUUAUAUGUAUUUGUAACUUAAUCCUUUUAGUUUUUUUAUGGCAAUUCAAUUGCUGUUUUUCCUAUGUUUUUCUUCAGAUCAAGAUUUUCAAUUUCAACCACUAUAAACAAAAUGAGAAAUAUAUUAAAGAAAAUUAGACAUUUAAAAAGAAUUAACAAUCAAACUCUAACCAAGGGACUUACUAACUAUAGUUUUUAAAAAACACAUGGACUAACCUACAAAAUCAUUAAAAAAAAACACAAGAACUAAGGCCAUGUAUGUUUUUGUGUUCCAAAAACAAGAACUAACUACAAAAUCAUUAAACAAAAAAAACACAAGGACUAAGGGUGUGUUUGGUAUUGCGGUAGCUUUUGUGGUUGUGGUUUGAAAAAAGUUGUUUUAUAAAAAGUACUUUUAGUUGAGGUUGGUUUGAAAAAAUAGGUGUUUGGUUAAAACUGUGGUUGAAGUUGAGGUUGAAGAAAAGUAGUUUAAUGUGUUUGGUUAAAAAAAUGCUUUUCAAAUUGAGGUUAUAAAAUAAUAUAUAUAUAUAUAUAUAUAUAUAUAUUAAUACUAAUGAUUUUUAAUUUAAAUAUUGUAAAUUUAAUUAAUUAUAUUACAUCAUGAAAUAAAAAAUAUUUUAUAUAAAAUAUUUUUUAUUAUUCCAUUAAACUAUUUAUAAUUCCAUUAUGUACAAAAUUUAUCUGAUAAGAAUUACAGUUUUCAUAAUUUUUUUAGCGUAGAUAAAAUAUUAUCAGGUAUAAAAUUGAUAUUACAGUGCGAGUGAAUUUAAUUCACUCUAUAUUAGUUUUUCGGGAAAAAAAUAUUGUUCACAUUACAGUACGAGUGAAUUUAAUUCACUUUAAACUAGUGUUUUUUUUAAAAAAAAAAAUGUUAAAAAAUUUAAUACCCUGAAAAAAAAAAAGGUGAACAGUGCAUUAGUGUGCACUGUUUAACUAGUGUGUUUUUUUUUUUGAAAAAAAAUAAAAAUGUUAAAAAAUUUAAUACACUAAAUAAAUAAAUGAACUGUACAUUAGUGUCCACUGUUUUACUAGUUUUUUUAAAAAAAAUAAAAAUGUUAAAAAAUUUAAUACACUAAAAAAAACGUGAACAGUGCAUUAGUGUGCACUGUUUAACUAGUGUUUUUUUUUUUAUAUAAAAAAUAAAAAUAUUAAAACAUUUAAUACACGUAAAAAAAAGUGAAUAAUGCAUUAGUGCGCACUGUUCAUGCUAAUUGCACUGUUCAGUGAACAGUGCAAUUAGCAUGCACAGUGCGUGAAAAGCAUGAUUUCAUUGCUUUUCCUUACCUGCGGUCCGAACGUAAAAAAACAUGUGGGACCCAUGAACAGUAAUUCGCUUUUUUUCAUUGCCAAACGGCUGCCAACUGCGUUUUAAGUAAAACGCAGCCGCAACCGCUUACCCAAACACCAUCUAAGGCUCUGUAUGUUUUUGCGUUAAAAAAGCGUUUUUGAAAAAAUUUGAAUUUUAUUUUAUUUCUUUCUUUAUUUCAAAUUAAUAAUAUUUUUUUGGUGUUUCUAGAUCAUUUUAAUGCGCUGAUAUCAAAAAUUAUUUUUAAAAAAUAAAAAAAUAUAUUAUUUUAAUACAUUUCUGAAUCAAAAGCACUUUGAAAAAUAACUAUAAUCACACUCCCAAACAGACUCUUAUCAUAAUUUACCCCCCACAGCUCUAUUCAUGUUAAGCUUAUUUUUUUUCUUUUAAGAGAGAAAAAAAAACCUUUUAAGCUUUUUUCAUUCUCCUCUAGCACUUUGUUCAUGUUAAGCCCUUUUCAUUUACGAAAGAAAAAAAAAAAAAGAAGAAAAACCCCCCUUGAUGAUCAAUUCAAACACUCUUUUCUUCAACUUCAAAAUAAAAUACAAGAACUAAAUUACAAUUUAAUUCCAAAAAAGAUAUCCCUACACCUCAAAGCUUUGGAGUGCUUGGUAGUAGAUUUCUCAUAUGUUUAGUAAAUUGGUUAAAAUUAUUUUUUUAAAAAAGAUUCUUUAUAUUAAAAACAUUAAAUUGAUAUUAUUUUAGAUGAAUUUUAAUUAUUUUUAUAUUUUUAUAUCAAAAUCAUCUUAAAACACCUUGAUAAUUAUCAAUUUGAUAUUUUUAAAAAACCACAAAAAUCCUUGGCUUGUCUCAUGGAAUUGCCAUGACUUGCUACUUGCUUUGCUCUUGUCCUGUCAACCGUUCACAAUGCCUCUCUACAAUUCCAACCACAACCUAAAAAUCCUUGGAAGUUCAAGUAGUAGUUAUUGUCAGAAUUGAUUGAAAUGGGAAUCAUCCUUCAUGAGUACUUGUCACAUAGCCUCAAGUUGGCAAAAGAUAUGACCCAUCUUGAUUUUGAAAGGCAUUAUAUUUAUCUGUGUAGUAAUUUUUCUUUUUUAUUUAUGAAUGUAUUAAUAAUAUAUUACUUUGUAUAUUCUUUAAUAAUUUUACUUAUUUUAAAAUUAAUUAGAAUGUGGUUACUAAGGUUACCCUUUUCGUUAAAACUAUAUAUAUUACAUGUAGCUAGAAAUCAUCAACUGAGCUUUUGGAUUUUUCUUGGUUUUUACAAUAAUUUUAAGGCAGCAUACACGAGAAUUCCUUGAGAAAAUAGUUUAUAAAGGAAAAAGAACAAGAAUCUAGUCAUUUUUUUGGACUGGACAGAUAUGAUAAAUUAAGUAGAUACUUUAGGCACCGUAUAAAAUUAUCCAUUCCAAAUUUUCCUUACAUGGACCGCCUUGAGAUGACAAUUUCGUGAGAGCGAAGGAGAGAAAAAUGUUUAUGGCAUUUUGUGACAUGAAUUUGUAUGUGCGUAGUAAGGACUUCUGAUCCUUUGACAAAUAAGAUUCUCUAUCUAUGUCAAUCACUAGGGACCAAGCCAGGUCAAGUUAAUUUGAUUUUUCUAUAUACAGAAAAAAAUUUUAAAAAAAUUAUUUUGUUUUUUUUUUUUUACCGGGGUAUCUUUAUAUCAUUUUAAAGGGUAAAACUAGUUUCAUUCAGGGUUCGUGACUGCUCCUCUCAAUAAAUACGUUUUUUAAAAAUUGAAUUUAUGUUCUCACCCUUAUAGAAAUAUAGCAAUGCUUUAACCGUUAGACCAACACUUAGUUUAACUCUUUAUAAAACUUUCCUGGUGAUUAUUACCAAAAAAAAAAAAAAAAAAGAUUUUGAGUUUUUAUCAAAGGUUUUUUUAUAAAGAUAGUAUCACUAUCAUUAGCAGAUAAAAGUAGCUAUUUCGAUCCUUGAUCAGAUUUUUUGAAUACCCUGUUAUCAUCACCGAAUAAAAAAAAUAAUAGAAUUAAUAUCACCUUGAUAAUUCAAAUUUGAUAUUUUUCAAAAACCACAAAAAUCCUCGGCUUGUCUCAUGGAAUUGCCAUGACUUGCUACUUGCUUUGCUCUUAUCCUGUCAACCGUUCACAAUGCCUCUCUACAAUUCCAACCACAACCUAAAAUCCUUGGAAGUCCAAGUAUUAGUUAUUGUCAGAAUUGGUCGAAUGAGAAUCAUCCUUCAUGACUUGUCCCAUAGCCUCAAGUUGGAUAUGAUCGAUCUUGAUUUUGAAAGGCAUUAUAUUUAUCUGUGUAGUAAUUUUUCUUUUUUAUUUAUGGAUGUAUUAAUAAUAUAUUACUUUGUAUAUUCUUUAAUAAUUUUACUUAUUUUAAAAUUAAUUAGAAUGUGGUUACUAAGGUUACCCUUUUCGUUAAAACUAUAUAUAUAUAUUACAUGUAGCUAGAAAUCAUCAACUGAGCUUUUGGAUUUUUCUUGGUUUUUACAAUAAUUUUAAGGCAGCAUACACGAGAAUUCCUUGAGAAAAUAGUUUAUAAAGGAAAAAGAACAAGAAUCUAGUCAUUUUUUGGACUGGACAGAUAUGAUAAAUUAAGAAGAUACUUUAGGCACCGUAUAAAAUUAUCCAUUCCAAAUUUUCUUUACAUGGACCGCCUUGAGAUGACAAUUUCGUGAGAGCGAAGGAGAGAAAAAUGUAUAUGGCAUUUUGUGACAUGAAUUUGUAUGUGCGUAGUAAGGACUUCUGAUCCUUUGACAAAUAAGAUUCUCUAUCUAUGUCAAUCACUAGGGACCAAGCCAGGUCAAAUUCCUUUGAUUUUUCUUUAUAUGUACAGAAUUUUUUUUUUAAGAAUUUUUUUUUUUUUUUUAACCCAGGUAUCCUUACAUCAUUUUAAAGGAUAAGAUUAAUUUCGUUCGAGGUUAAUGACUGCUAUUCCCAAUAAACAUGUUUCUUAGUAAUCGAAUUUAUGUUCUCACUCUUAUAGAGAUAUAGCAAUGCCUUAAUUACUAGACUAAUACUUAGUUUAAAUCUUUAUAAAGCUUCUUGGGUGAUUGUUACCAAAAAUAAAAAUAAAAAGCUUUUUAAUAUUUUUGUCAAAUAUUUUUUUUAAAAGAUAGUAUCACUAUCAUUAGCAGAUAAAAGUAGCUAUUUCGAUCCUUGAUCAGAUUUUUUGAAUACCCUAUUAUCAUCACCGAAUAAAAAAAACAAUAGAAUUAAUCAUUUUGUAAUUGUUUGGUUUUAUUGUGCUUAUAAAUUAAACAAUUUCUUAUCUAUUUUUUAAGAGUACAAGUAUUUGAUAAAUAUCUUAUCAUUAGAAAAAAAAAAAUAGCAGGUGAAAACUGAUUCUAAAAAAAAGAACGUAUUUUCCUACUUCUCUUACAAUUAGCUAAAAAUAACCCCUUGAUAUAUAACCAUGCAUUGCCGAACACUGCCUCCAAUGUUUUUGCUUAAACGGGAAGAACUGGACACUUUAGUUUCGUGCUUCUUUUGGUGGGCCUGGUAGAGAAUGAGAGCCAUGCCUUGAUCUCAUGCACCCAAACAAUUUCUCAGCAACAUGUAUCCAUAUAUAUGAGCUUCUAUUCAUGGUGGUCGUCACUUAUUUCAAGAACCCUAAUCGAAUGAAGAGAGUUUUUUGGAUUCACAGCCUUACAUUUGGCAGCAUAAUUGUAGUUUGGUGUUCUGGAUGGAACAUAUAUAUGGAUAUGCAGAUAAUAAAAUAUUACAUGAUUGUACACUUUGAAUCAAAUUAUAGAUAAAAAUAUUAAAUAUUAAAGCUAUACUUUGAAUCAAAUUUCAUACAUGUUCAUGUCUGAUAUUGGAGAUCAUUGAUUAGUAAGAUCAUAUAUGAUGAAAGAAAGAAUAUCAGAAGAACUUCGUUGAACCAGAACUGUUUUCGCGGAUAAUUUUGGGCUGGAAAAUGAUUGUUUCCUGCGAAAUAACAGAGGAAUAGGCAACAGCAGCUUCAGAUGGAAGCUCGUUAUAUCCACCCUAAUCGAACUAAGCCCAACCUUGUAAAAGAUGUAAACACCCAGGCUUGAGUGCCAUUGGGCCUUGAUAAUAUUCUUCAUUACUGUUGUGGGUUCCUGGCUUAUAGAUUAAAAAUCAAACAUUGGCUUUUUUUUUUUUUUUUUGAGUGAAGACUGCUGUGAGGCUAUAAUAAUUAACUAGUCUGUUAGCCCCACUCUGCCGCUAUUAGAUUAAUUUCUUUUAAAUUAUAAAAAAAAAAAAUAUAAAAAGCACGAUGAGCUUUUUUUAUUGUGUCAUUAAACUGAUUAAUUUUAAAAAUUUUCAUUAUAACUCUUUGUUUAAUUUAAAUUUCUAAUUAAAUAAUGUGAAAUCUGACAUGAUUUAAAUUGAUCAAUUUUAUAGAUCUAAAAAUAAUUUGGAUAAUCAAUAAAAACAUAGUUUAAUUUUUAAAAAAAACUUUAAAACGAUAAUUUAAAAAAAAUAAUAUUAAGACAACGAUAUAUUGGAUCAACCUCAGUUCCUUUGACUAGAUCAUGAAUUUUAUAAUUUUUUUAAUUAUAUUAUAAAAAUAAAUACUCAUAAAAUUACUAAUUCUUAUUCUAUCUAUGUGCUAAUAUUGUUUUUAAAAUAGUGCUUAUAAGAAAAAACACCCUUCAAAAACUUUUAAAUAUUAAGUUGGAUUUUGUAAAGUAUAAUAUAAUUUUAUUAUUUAAAAUAAUUAAACUUUGGGGGGGAUCAAGUUUGACACUAAAGCAAAAAUGCAAUCUUUUUUUCUUUUCUUUACUGUUUAAGAGUCAGACUUUUUAGAAUUUUGGUCCUUAUAAUUUUUUAAAAUUUUAAUUUUAAUCUAAAUUUUAUUUUGAUUACUUUUCAAUAUCACAAUUUUGGUCCAAGAUAAUAUUUCCUAGAAUCCUAGACGACAGUAAGGCCCCGUUUGUUUGCUGGAAAGUAGUUUUGUCUGGGAAAAUGAAUUCCGAUAAAGUAUUUUCCGAUGUUUGGUAGUGUAAUGGAAAAUAAAUUGGAAAACACUUUUCAAUAUUUGGUUAUGUCAUGGAAAAUGAGCUGGAAAAUAACUUAUUAAUAUUUUAUUUUUCUCAAGUGUAUUAAAAUAAUAAGGAACAAAUCUUACAAAUUAAAAAGUUGAAUGAGAAUGAAAUUGAAAAAAAAUAUAAUUUCAUAAAUUAUCUCAAAUAAAAUAAAUAAUAAUCAAAAUAAUAGAGAUCAAAUCUAAAAAAUUAAAAAAAAAUAUGAAGAAAUUAAAAUAAUAAUAAUCAACAUUUCAUAAAUUAUUUCAAAUAAAAUAAGUAACAAUCAAAAGAAUGAGGACCAAAUUUGAUAGAUAAAAAUUUUCAAUAAAAAAAUGAUAAGGAAAAAGCAAAUAACAAUUAUAAAAUAAGGACCAAAGUUAAUAUAAAAAUAAAAUUUUAAAAGAUGAAAUUGAAAAAUAAAUAUUCAAAGCAAAAUAUAUAUAGCAAUCAAAAGUUUGAGAAUCAAAUUUAAUAUAAUCAACAAAUAAUGACAUUUCUAAAUUUUUCAUAACUUCCGAAAAGUGUUUUCCCCCUAAAUUUUUCAAGAAAACACUUUCCUGAAAACCAAGUCAAAUUUUCCUUUUACUGGAAAGUGUUUUUCAUUGACCAACUUUUAUAAUGACAAACAAACACAAGAAAGUUUGGAAAGUGAUUUUCCGGAAACCGCUUUCCGGAAAACAAAUACAACUAAAGGGAAAAUAUUUUCCUGAAAACCAAGUUAAUUUUUUUUUUUUUACUGAAAUUGACCGGAAAGUGUUUUUCGUUGACUAGAAAAUUUUUUCUGUUGAUCGAAAAGUAUUUUCCGUUGACUUACAAACAAAUAUAAAAAAAUUUAAAAAUUAAUUUCUCAAAAAUUAUUUUUUGAAAAAUAAACAUGACCUACUAAGUGCAUUGCCGGUCAACUGACUCGCAAUAAAGAACAAGUCAACUAAUCCGUCGUACGCGGGUGAGCUGGCUCGUUUUACCGACAUCCCUUCCGAAAAUAAGCACCCAAUUCACAGUCAUGUCAGAAUCAUGGAGGUAGUAGAUCCAUUCAGCCCAUUUAAAGGCACACCAAAAACAUCCACACCGCCACAUAAACAUCUUUAUUCGUAUUUAUGAAACUUGUACGUUUAUUUUAUACUUGAAGAAUAAUAAAGCUACUUUAUUUUUAUUUUUUUGUAACGAUAAAAUUAGAUUAUUUAAUUUCUCAAAUACCACACGUAAGUUUUUUCCAUAUGAUUUGGCAAUUAAGUGCACCGCGCGCUAAUUGCAAACAAUUUCAUGCUUAGACUAUAUGUUUUGGCUUUGAUUUUACAUUUACAUAUGGAAGUAAUGAGUCGCAUGUCACAAGAAGAUAAAUUGAACUGAAUAACAGGAGAAAAUCCAAAAGUCAACAUAAAAAAAUGCAUAAAAAAUAAAAGAAUUUUAUCAUACUAAAGAGAGAGUACUAAAAACCUUAUCACAAGUCCUCGAGACUUUUAAUACGGAAUAACAAGAAAUAAAUCAUUUGGUUCAGUUAACAACUUAAACUGACAACGUAAACUUCAUAACUUGAAACUAAUCAACUCCUCUACUUUAAUCCUCUAUUUAUCUAGAGAGAGAAACGAAGAAGGGUAAGUUAAUCACAAUUUGGUAAGUAUAACUCCACACACUAUCAAGCCAAGAACAAGUAACAUAUAUAUUACGUUGACAAUAAUAAAAUAGCUUAAAACAAUUAAAAAAAUUUGUUAAUAGCUCAUAGUUCAUAAACACAUGUCAUAAAACAAGUUAUUUAUCCAUGUUUUUUCUUGGCAUUUAAUUUCAAAAACAUGACUUUAUUCUCAAAUCAAAUUUUUAUAAUCACAUUGUGCUUAUGACUAUGCCAAUUAUUGUAACUCGUUGACAAGUGUCAUUACCAAUUAUUAUAAAACUCAUUGAUGGACCAUUAGAACUAGUUGUAGUGUCAAUAACCCUACUCACGAGCCAUUAUGCAACCAUUUGCAAAUUUAUUUUGAAACACUUUCUUUUAUAAAUUAGUUUAUAAAACAUUAUUAUAAAAAUUCUAUAUUGUUCAUUCACAAACAUUCAUAUAAGCAAAUUAAUUUGAACAUAACAAGUGAUUGAUCUUCUUUUAAAGAAUGUAAUAUAUAUAGUAAAUGAAAAAUACAUAAUUAAGAAAAAUAUAUCAUGUUUAAAAAUAAUAGAGAGUGCAAAUAUUUACUUAUUUUCAUUGGUUAAACAACUAAAUUCUAAAAUCUUAGCUCAAACAAUUUAUUUACAAGUAUAUAACCUGUUUAAGCUCUUCAUACACUUAAAGAAUGUUUGAAAUAGAGGUGUAAUGAGGUGUGGUGAUUUUGUUUUUAAUAUACAGCUUAAUUAAUACACAAAAAGCAACCACCAAAGGCUAGUUUUUGUUGCUUUUUGUAUAGGUCUAACAAAAAAAAAAAAAAACCACACCUCUAUCUUAAACACACUUUUAAUCACAUUAAUUUGUGAACUGCACACUACCUAAUAAACAAACUACAUAACUCCUAGAAAAUUUAAAAUUUAAUUUUACUUUUUGUGUGGUAAACUAGUCUCAAUUACCUUUCCAUUCAUAUAUGAUUCGCCUAGUAAUUCAUUUUAUAGAAUUUAUAAUACGUCUCAAAAUCAUUCUUGGACAUUAAUGCUAAAUAAUUUGUAUAUCAUUUAUAAUUUUCACCAUAACGAUCUCUACAAAAAUCAAAUUAAUACACCAUUUAUGGUGUUAGAAACUAGAUAAAACAAGAUUUUUCUAAAUAUAAAAUUUGAUUAAAAAACUGAAUCUAUUCAAUAUAGUUUUUAGGUUGAAUAGAAGCCUCUGUCAAACACUUAAACUCAUAGUUUCUCACUUUUAUACCUAAUUGUUAACCUAAUACUUUUUAACCAUUCAUCAUCCUUUUAGGUGUCUUAUAAUAUCAUAAAACCUACCAUAUUCAUUAUUAUAUUAUUUAUAUAAAUAUCAUUUAAAUUUUCUUAACUUCAUACACCUUUCAUAUAAUUUUUUUUUAAUUAAUCCAAGACCUUUCUAAAUAAAAAGAUAUCUUGAAAUCUAGAAAAUAGAAUAAAAUUUCAAUUUGUUAAGGUCAAUUUAUUUCACUUUUUUUUCUCCCGCACUUAUCAAAAAAACAAGUGACCCUCAGGAUUUAUUUUUUAAACUGUCUUGAAGAUUAUAAAACUAGGGUAAAUAAACUUUUUGCCACCUUUUCUUUUAUAUUAAUAUAGGACUACAUGUGCCAAUAUUUGUUUUUCUAAUUAGUCCAAAAGAAAUUAUACUCUAGCACAACAAACAAAUAAAAUUAUACCAAAAAGAAUUUGGUAUUGCAAGCAUGGUCAAAUAUAUUUAGAAAAAAACUAAUAAAUUCUUCUAUAUAUUUACCCAAAUUUGAACUUUUUAAAAAAUAAAAUUCUUUAACUAUCAAAAUAAUAUUAUAUUAAUGUAAGACCAUGUCAACUGAACUAAAUGGUAAAAACAAAAACAAACCCUCUGGGCCUCUUGUUUCUAGAGCUAAGCAAGAGACAUCUACUAAAUAUGUCUACCAAACAUACCCCAAAGUCAUAGACCUCUUAACUCACAGCAAUCCCUUUCUCCCCUCGUUUUCCCUUCUCUCUCACCCUUCCUCUCACGGCUCAAAACCUAAGAACAAACAACUAAUGGGGGACGCUUUCUGUUCAGAUUGUAAGAGACACACAGAGGUAGUUUUCGACCAUUCAGCAGGAGACACAGUAUGUUCAGAGUGUGGUCUUGUCUUAGAAUCUCACUCGAUCGAUGAAACAUCAGAGUGGAGAACUUUUGCGAAUGAAUCAGGAGAUAAUGAUCCAGUUCGUGUUGGUGGACCAACUAAUCCUUUAUUAACAGAUGGUGGUCUUUCUACUGUUAUUGCUAAGCCUAAUGGUGCUUCAGGAGAGUUCUUGUCCAGUUCUCUUGGUAGGUGGCAGAAUCGUGGAUCCAAUCCUGAUCGUGGGUUGAUUACGGCUUUUAAAACUAUUGCUACGAUGUCUGAUAGGUAACCUUUUCUUUUAUUUUUUCUUAUGUUUUUGCGGGUUUUGCUUUACUUGAUUUAUUGUGAAGUUGUGGAGGUGUUUGGAUGUUAAUGGUUGAGGUUAAUGAGUUAAAGUUUAUGAAUUUUAUUGAUGGGUUGUUUAGAUUUUUGAUUUAGAUGGGUAAGGGAAUAUAAACUCUUGGAUGUUGAAUUUGGUGGGUUUUGAUUGGUUGCACUGUUAAUGGAAUUAGUUGAUGCUUUGAGUCUGCUGUUAGGUUGAUGAAAUUGGAACUGGAGGGGCAGAGUAGUGAUGGUACAAAUGCAAAUUCAACAAUAAAUUACCUAUUUUGAUUUGAUCAUAGAUGGAUAUUGACUAGAAGUGCUGAAAUUUUGAAUGAUUUGGUUGUUUCAACUAAAGGCAGUCCAAUGGAAAAUUUUCAGCAUCUUUUGAAAGAAAGGAAUUAGGAUUAAAGCUCAGCUUCAGUUGAAUUAGUGGAAUAUUCCACCAGUUGCGAGUUUGUUGAAAUGGUUGUGGAAAUAGCUGUUCCAAUUUGAUUUUGUUUAUGCCUUUUAAUGCAAGGGUGUUUUUUGUUCCUCAAGAAAGUUCUACUUUUUAUACAUGGAAGUUCCAACUUUUUAAUUGAUUUGAGGUUGACUGGAAUUGGAGUUGUGAAUCCAUUUGAUUUUGACAAUUGAUGUAAGUUCAUGACUUCACUGAUUGUUUGGUGGUUUUGGUUUGUGUGAUUAGAUUUGGACCUUUGUUGGUUGUUUGUAUUGGUGCUGUGUUUGUGGGUUGAUUUUAGAUGAGGAGGGAACUGAAUUUAGAUUCCACAUUUGGUUUGAUUUUGAUGUUGUAGCAGGGGUUUAAUUGGCUGUGAUGUUAAGGAGAUAAGUUGAUGGUUUGAUGCUGUGGUUGCUUGAUGGAACUGGACCUUUAGGUACUUAAUAGUGAUAAGAGAUGUGAAUUCAUCCCCAAGAAGGAAUUUUUUGAUGCAAGGCAGAAUGAAUAUUAAUAUAAUUGAUAAAGUUUCAAGUCAGAAGGAACAAGAUUAUCUUGCAUCUUGAUAGGCAUCUCUGGAUUCGAAUUAUGAGUUAUUAGUAGAAGUUGACUUGGGUUUCCAGCUUGAUUAUGUUGGUGCCUUUUAAGGCUGUGUAUGCUUCAUGCAACAAAGUUAUAGUCUUUGUAAAGUGAUAGCAUUAUGUUACUGAAUUCUCACUCUCUAUUAUGUACUACAUUUUAUGCGCAAUGAUGUUUAUGAAAAAAUACACUUUUGCAAAGUCGUUGCUAAUGUGUGAUAUUUAUGUUUCAGGUUGGGCCUUGUUGCAACUAUCAAGGUAUUCACACUUGAUAUUUAUAUAUUGAUAUUAAAACUGAUGGUUUCAACAGUGUCUUUUCUGAAAACAUCCUUGCAUGAAUAUGGAAAUAAACCCUUUACUAUCAUGUAAUAAUGUUGUCUUGUUAUUUAGUGUAUUAUCAGGCAACUAGCCAUGUAUAUCUUUCCAAUCAGAUUUGUCCUUCCCCAGCAUUCAUAAAUGUAUAAGCACAUUCCUAUGAAGUUAUGAUAUAUGAGAAUAUUCUAUAAAUUCUAUGGCUUGAUUGGAAUAAAGUGACAGGUUUUUGUAAAUAUGAUUAAUCUCUUGUAAAAUAAUGAAAUUAUGGCAUAGGAGAUACAAAAGAAAUUUUAUUCGCAAUGCAUCACCUGUGAAUGAAAUUUUUUUAUGUAUUGAUUGUGAAUAGAGCUGCAGAAUAUUUGUCUUUACAGUUAAAUUGAAAAAGCCUAAUCUACUCAAAGCAAGCAUGGAAUUCAAAGAUUUUGAUAACUGUUCACUCAUCUCAUCGAAGCAACAGGAGACUCAUUCAUUUGCGGGGGGAGAGAAGUGAGUUAGGGGAGAUGAGAUAGCAUAUUGUUAAAUACAUUUUUUGCAAGCUUAUUGAGAAAUUAUUUGACAUAAUUCUCAUGUAGGUAUCUAAACUUACAAUGAGUAGAUCAAUCACAAACAUCUAAAGUGCUUCCCCAUCUUUUGCUCUUACGAGGAGGAGGGGAAAAAGAUGAAGGGAGUGGGUUGUGAAGGCAUCAUGUUUAUUGGAAAACCAUAAAUAUGUUUUGAAAUGUUCAAUUUUGAUGCUUUUCUUGUUUGGUAGUUCAUGAGAACUUCCCUAAUAUUUCUUUUGUUUUUCUUUUUUGCUCCUCUGGUGAUGCGUUUUUCAUAAUAUUGAAGGAUCGGGCCAAUGAGAUCUACAAGAAGGUGGAAGAUCAAAAGUCCAGUAGAGGAAGGAAUCAAGAUGCUUUAUUGGCUGCUUGCCUCUACAUUGCUUGUCGACAAGAAGACAAGCCCCGAACAGUAAAGGGUAUUGUCUAGCAUUCUUUUAACAUAUGGAUAUUUCCUGAUUUAAUCUUUCCCCAAGUGUUUGAACUUCCCUGAACCUCUGAAUUUCAACUAGAAAUUUGCUCUGUCGCCAAUGGAGCCACAAAGAAAGAAAUUGGCCGAGCAAAAGAAUACAUAGUGAAACAACUGGGUUUGGAGACUGGUCAGUCCGUGGAGAUGGGAACUAUACAUGCUGGGGAUUUUAUGGUGUGUUUUUUUCCCCAUUAAAUUUACUGUCUUGGUUUUAUUGUUUAUUUAUAGGGAGUGUUCCUUAUUGUUCAGAUGCGAAUAUGGGUUUUAUCUGUAUUAUUAGCACCAUUGUUAUUAACAUCAGCCUCAACUUGAUCUGCAGAGGCGUUUCUGCUCCAAUCUUGGAAUGUCUAAUCAUACAGUUAAAGCUGCCACAGAAGCUGUUAAAAACGUCAGAACAGUUUGAUAUUAGGUAUUUACAAGUUUCUCACAUUACCUCUACUUUUACUAGAAAAGUGAUGGUUUUCUCUGUUAUGCUCAUUUUUGUUGCUCAUUCAUCACUUCUGGUUAAUAAUUGUUGCAAGAUCCAUAAACUUUAGAAUAAGAAGAAAUAGUUCAAAGACCAGGCAAAGAAAACACUCUUUACAUCUUUGUUUUAUUAACCUUUUGGAUCAAUGUAAGUUGUUCAACAAAUAUAGCCGCUCUUUAUAAUCCCUUCUAAUGCUUGCAGGAGGAGCCCUAUAUCAAUCGCAGCAGCAGUCAUCUAUAUAAUUACUCAGCUUUCAGAUGACAAGAAGCCUCUUCGAGGUUUUGAUCGUUUUGAACUCUUUUUAUCAAGUGGAAACAAAUGAUUCAUUGGUGGAUAGAAUCAGAUAUUUCUGAAGUAACCCUAUUCUAUCAGUUUUAUUUAGACAAACCUUUCAGCAUUGUUGAUUUUAAACACCGUUAGACAUCUGCUCACUUGUGUUUCGGUAUUUUGGCUGCCUUGAGUUUCAAUUCAAAGAUAUGCUUUCAACUGAUAGUAGGCUUGGAUGCAGAUAUUUCACUAGCAACUGGAGUUGCUGAAGGAACAAUCAGAAAUUCCUACAAAGAUCUUUAUCCCCACGUGUCAAAGAUUAUACCAUCAUGGUAUGCCAGCGAGGAAGAUUUGAAGAACCUUUGCGGUCCUUGAAUAAUACAGUGAAAAAUACCGGGAAGAAAAACCCGUUUGAUUUGAUCUGUAAGCCUCCAUCUAGGAUGUAAUUAAGAAACUGUUGAGACAUACAGGGGAUGCACAAGUCCUCUCGUUCUUUUUUAUUUAAUUCCGCAGUCGACAGUACCGUUAAUUCAGGGAUAGGAAAGAAAGGAAAAAAAAGAAAAGAAAUAGCAAUCAAUUUUAAUUUAUGCUCAGCAAAGACAACAAUUUUAAUGUAAUUUUGAUGUGUAUUAAUAUUCAAAUGGUGAGCCGGCUUUUCAAUUCAUUUCUUUUUGUGUUAAUUGUGAUUACUCAUUGACCUUUGAUCAUUUGAAGAAGUGUCUGUUUCUGAUUGGGAUUUACUCAAUUGACAUGAUAAGCUCUGUCCAUGGUGAAAGAAACACUUCCGCCCCAGUUUGAGUUUCCCUGUGGAAGCUCUGUCCAUGUUGAAGGGGAAAGAGAAGGAAAGAAAAGGAAAGUGGAAGUAAAGAAAACGUCUAUCUAUGUUUCAAAUGAAGUUGGCAAAAAGAAAUGAAAAGAUAAAACUAAGGUGUUUCCCCGUUUUCUGCUUGUUGAAUUACUACGACUCUUUUCUAAACAAUUAAAAAAAACUAAAAUAGUUUUUUAAAGACAACAAAUAAAAAAGAUUUUUAUUUUUAUACUUUGAUCUUUUAUAUACAUGAUAUUAUUAUUAUAACUAUCAUAUCACCAUAAUUAUCAUUUUACCACUAAUGUCCCUACAUUUUCAUAAUUACGAUCACCAUUAUCAUCAGAAUACCAAUAUUAUUAUCAUGAUAAUAUCAUUCUUUAUUUUCACUUUUCCUUCUUAACUCACCACAUUUUAUUUUAAUAUUAUAAUUAUCAUCAACUCCACAGUCACUAUUAUUAUAGAAAACUUUAAACCACGUGGUGUUUUCAUUCUAACAAUUCAUAAUGAUAUAUAUAUAUAUAUAUAUAUAUAAUUUAGUCCUUAAAUUUUGUUUCACUUCAAUUGCAUCUUUUUAUGUCCAAAUUCAUGACCAAUUGAGGGAAAAAAUCAAAAUUGAGGGGACCAAAGUGUAAAACAAGGAGAAAAUGAGUUAUAAUUUUAGAAAUGGGGUGAAAAGUUCACUUUGGUCCUCUUACUUUUUAAAUGAUAACUUUCGAUCCCUUAAUAUUUCAAAACGCAAUUAUGUACAAAACUUCUUCUCUCUCUCUCUCUCUCUUUUUUCCCUUUCAAUUCUAGUUUGAGAAGAGAGAGCGAAACUAGUAAGAUUCCAGUUGUAGAAAGAGAAAGUCUCGAUUGAUAUCAAUUCUAGCUAUGAAAAAAAAUAAUCAAUUUUAGUAUUAACAAAUUUUAUUUGAUGAGAAGAAUUCUACCUAGGUAUUCUUUGGCCUUACCAUCAUAUGAGAUGGUAGAUUUGAGCUUGAAAAUUUUCUAUUUAUUUAUUUUGGGUCAAUUUUAGAUUUUUAGGUAUUUUAAGGUUAUUUGAGAGUAUGAAUGAGUUUGUCAAGGUGUAUAGAUUAUUUUAUAGGUGUUUUGGGUAAAAAAAAAAAAUAGAGUUUUUUUGGCAAAAAAACUAUGACCCAAAUUGUAAACUCCUUGUUAUAAUUUUUUAGGUUAUUAAAAGAUGAGAAAUUUAACCAAUACUAAAAUAGGUUAAAUUAAAUUAAAGAAACCUAAAUCAACAUAAAAACAGUGAAAUUAAUGAAAUAAAAAGUGAAUAUAGUACUAAAUUAUUGAAAAAAAUUUAGAUGAUAUUGAAAAAUAAUAAUUUGUGAGGACAAAAUGAAUACGUAAGAUCAAGAAAUGUCAAUAUUUAAAUAAUAGAAGGUUGAGAGUUUAUGUACAAAUGAUAAAAAUGGGUGGGGAUAAAUGUGCAAUUAACAAGAUGAUAGAACUAUAAAUAUCAUUCUAUUUUCUCUCUUGGAGUGACUGGCAAGAACAAGAGAGAGUUUAGAGAGAGGCUGGAGAGAAGUAUAUUGAUAGCAGAAUAUCCGACAGCUAUAACUCCACCUUCCACCGUUGGAUCAUAACGAUAUUUGCAUAUGUUGUUCUCAUCCAUGUUAUGUACAUUUUCACCAGAGGGAUUUUUUAUAUUGGUCCCCGUUUGAGAGAUAUAUAUCGAGGGAGGAAAAUAUCUGGGAAAAUACACUUUUAGACAAUCUUCUUUGCUAUCUGUUUCUCCUUUGACCACCGUUGGAUUAGGCUAUAAUUUGGAUAUGUUGGUCUUCUUGAUUCUGUCUAGAUUCUGAAUGGUGGUGAUUAGAAACAAUCAUUCAGUAUAGAAGUUGUACUUCUCACAUAGUAGGUCUGCAAGUUUGAGGCCAGUUCAGUUAAACCUAUAUUUCUGGAAAUUUCACCAUUUGAUGAAGUUGAUAUUUGGAUAUGUUAUACUCAUAAUAAUGCAUUAUAACUUGACAAUAUGGAUUGUUUGUAAUAUUAUUCAUUUUUUAUUUAUGGUUGAUUGAAACUAUUGUCAAGGAUUGUGUUUAGAAGAAUAUUGUUCGGAAAGUUUGUAAAAUCGAUAAGAAUGUUUUAUUUUGACGUUAAGAGGAAAGAUUAAAAUAAAUAAGAUAAAUUGGCUCUUAUAAAGAUAUUUUUCUUUGACACUCUUAAACGAUAUGUGAUAUGGCUAGGGGUUGAGAUAAAAUAGAAAAAGUUAAAUUGUGGAUGUUGUGUGUAAAUGGAAAGGUUGAUGAAUCUGGACAAAUUUGUCUUCUGACUUUUGGAGAGAAUUUGAGUAGGAGGAUGAGAGACUUAAGAUCAAGUUUCUUUAUAGUAAUUGUAGUUUUAGAUGUUAGCUAACUAAGAAAAUUGAUCUUGCUCAAUAUAGUGCUGUAGAACCCCAACUAUGGGUCAUCAACCGAGAUUGGGUCCUGACAGACCCUGUAGGGUAGUGUUUAUUGAUGAGCAAUUUUGAUUGUCUUAGAGGCAGAACUGAGUUCUCCUUCAUUUAAAGAACUUGUAGCCUCAUGUAUUAGCUUUCCAACGAGAUUAAUCUCGCUUGAAACAGAGUUCUAUAACUCUAUAUAUAGUUAAAAAUUUGAUGAGUGUUCAGACAGUAACAAUUCAAGGUCUAGACGCUAGCGUAGACUUUCACGUGAAUACUAUAUGUAAGAAUAUAAAAUAAUUGAGUCAUACAAACACUUGCACAUUGAGAUACUAACUCUGAAAAUAUACAUCAUAUAUGUAUGAAUGUUAUUAUGAGGAAAUGAACAUGCAUAAAAAGUAACAUAUGACUAAUUGAUGAAUAUGGAUUCUUUGUAAUAUCGGCUUGAAGGAAUAAUAACUAUGGUUGGAUAAAGGAUGACAACAUUAAUGUGUGUAAUGAGAAAAAUGUAAGAUAUAAAGAAAGAAAUUAUUGAAAGAAAGAUAUAUUAGCUAUUGAUAUGAUUAUUAUAAAACAUAUCAUUGAAUGAGGAAAAUUUAUGAGAUGAGUCUAUGACUGCAAGAGAGACUACUGGUGUGGUGCAACAUUAGCAAUAGAGGAGCACGAGUAGAGCUUCUAUUGCAGGUAGGUGACUUUCACCUUUCUUUUUAAUAAUGUUGAAUAAUAAAAGUACUUUAUCAUAAAUGUUACAAUAUUGUGUUAAUUCAGAUGUCAGAUUGUCAAAUGCUUAAAUGUUAACAAUGGAUUAGCUUCGGUGAAUGGAUGACCAGGACAAACAAAUGAUUAGCUUGGGCUAAUUGCAUCUAAAAGGAUGACUAGGACAAACAAUUGAUUAGCUUCGACUAAUGGCAUACGAAUGGAUGACCGGGACAAACGAAUGAUUAGCUUUGGCUAAUGGCAUCCGAAGGGAUGACCGGGACAAACGAAUGAUUAGCUUGGGCUAAUUGCAUUCAAAAGGAUGACUAGGACACAUAAUUGAUUAGAUUCAACUAAUGGCAUCCGAAUGGAUGACCGAAAUAAAUAAAUGAUUAGCUUUGGCUAAUUGCAUGCAAAAGGAAGACUGAGACAAACAAUUGAUUAGCUUCGGCUAAUGGCAUCCGAAGGGAUGACCGGGACAAAUAAAUGAUUAUCUUUGACUAAUUACAUCCGGAGGGAUGGCCGGGACAAAUGAAUGAUUAGUUUGGGCUAAUUGCAUCCAAAGGGAUGACCGAGACAAACAAUUGAUUAGCUUCGGCUAAUAGCAUCUGAAAGGAUGACCUGGAAAAAUGAAUGAUUAACUUCAGUUAAUGGCAUCCGAAAGGAUGACCAGGACAAACGAAUGAUUAGCUUUGGCUAAUGACAUCUAAAUGGAUGACAGGAACAUGGACAAAUAAAUGAUUAGCUUUGGCUAAUGGCAUCCAAAUGGAUGACCGGGACAAAUAAAUGAUUAGCUUUGGCUAAUGGCAUCCGAAUGGAUGACCCAGACAAAUAAAUGAUUAAAUGGACAACCGGGAGAAACGAUUGAUUAGCUUUAGCUUAUAACAUUCGAAGGGGAUGGCCGGGGUGAGUGAACGGUUACCCUCGACAAAUUAUGCUUUAAGAGGAUGGUGGGGUUUAAGAUUAUGGCUGAUUGUAAGAAUUGGUGCAUAUAUAUGUACUGCAAGUUGUGUAUACUAAGAACAUGAAAGAACUACAAAUGUCACACUUUAAACAUGAGAUAAUGUUAAUGCUUCAUUAAACUGCCAGACCAUUUUCUUCUUCUUCUUAUUAUUAUUAAGUAAUUGCAUUCUUGUAAAUGUUUUGUACUGCAGUAGGGAUGUCACACAAACAAGGUGCCUAGGAAACCCAAUACACGUGAACCUACUUUUGCAAGGAAUCAUGUAGUUGCAUUCUAAAUCAUGAUGUAUUUUUUAUGAAUCAUUGUACUGAAUGUAUAACUAUUAUUAGAUCCUUUUAGUUUAAAUUUGUGAUGACUAUUUGUAGGAUAUAAUACAAACUCAUGUCUAUGCAUGCAUAUUUUAAAUGUGAACUUCUAAUCAUGUAAACAUAAUAUUAUGAGCUUAUGUAAGAUUCACUUUUAAAUAAAAUGUUGAUUGUUGUUGAUGUAUGGAUUGUAUAUUGAUGAUGUGAGGGAACAUAUUCACUGAUUACCGACACGAUGUGUGUCAAGUACAAAAAAAAAUAAUAAUUUAUUGUUGGUUUGGGCUUGAAAAGCCGGGUUGUUACACAAAUUUCCAAUGAUCCUUUAGUUGCUUGAAACUGGGCCAGUAGGCGACUUAUUAUUAUGUUUUUGUAAAUGUCAUCCAUCCCUUGAAAAGAAUAAUUCAAAGUUAGUCCAAUUGCAUAGGCUUGGGUUAAAAGUCCAUCCUAAUUCCUAAUAAGAUUUUAACAUUAGUAUCUUUUAAUAGAAAUUUCAAAUCAGAUAGCCAAGGUUUCAUUCUACUAACAUUUAUAACAAAAUUAAUAUGUUUAAAUUAUGGAUAACAUGUCUAAUAAAGCUGUCGCACGUGUGCGGCAGCGCGGCAAUCGUCCACCCUCAAGGAAAAAAAUUGGAAAUAUUUAUUCCUGGCAAAUGGGGAGAGACAAGGAAUUCUUGUCUCUAUAUGUAAAAAUAUGGACCGGGAGUCGCCACCUAGUAUUCUGGUUACUAGGAACCUUAACUGGUCUUUAGAGAUCGGGUACGGAGACUGGUUGCGUAAAGGGAAGGUAUUAGCACCCCAACUACGCCCUACCUAAGGUAGGCUGCAUUGUUUUAAUGUCUGAUAAAAUCUAAAAUCGUGUUGUGUUUUUUUUUUUUGAAUUGUUGGUUCGUUUACGGUUUAAGAAAAGUCCUCCUCUGUAAGGAGGUCCUUAUCUUUAUCGGGUAAAAAAAAACACUAACUAUUCGAAGUCGUCAAAAGAAAAUAUUUUUUUAAUAUCAGGAAUACGAUUUACGUAUAAAUUCAUAAUCCCUGAUACUAAAAUCAAACAAAAUAAAAUAUUUUGUUGUUUUUGAAAUUUUGGCCAAUGUUCUCUUGACUUUAAUAAACUGGUUAUUAAAGUCAAAAUGCAUGCUAAAAUAUUGUUUUUUGACUUAUGAAAAAUACGAUAUGAUUUUUUAGAUUUUGAGACACUUGGCCGUAUGCACAAAAACAUUUUUUUCUCUUUUUUAAUUUUUAAUUUUAUUUUUGGAAGUUUUUUGCCGAAAACCAGGUAUUUUGAUAUCAGAUUUUUGUAUUUUUAACAACAUAAAAAAACACCACCAAAUAUUAAUCAAAAUGACAUAAAAAUUACACGGAAAAAUUAUAAAAUGCUGAAACAAAUAUUUUUGAUUUUUUUUCUUUGAAAUGGGCCGGAUUAGGCCCAAAUAUAUGGGCUGGGCCGAACCUAGCCCAAAGCAUGGGCUGGUUACUGUGCACAUAGUAACCGGGUUACUGUGUGUACAGUACCAAAGAAUUAAUCUGCGGGUUACUGUGCACAUGCACAGUACCCGUGAAUUAAUUAGCGAGUUACUGUGCUGUAUGCAUGCAGAACAAAAAAAAACGACGGGAAAAACAGGGGGGCGGAGUCUACCUGCGGUGGACUCUCUUCUCUGCUUCUUCUUCUUCUGCUUUCUUCUCUCUGUCUCUCCCUUCUCUUCUCUUCUCCUCUCUUCUUUUUUUUUUUUUUUUUCAACAGCCCUCCCCUGUAUUUAUAGGAAAACAGGGGAGGGAGAACGUGUUGGGGCGGCUACUGUUGGCCGCCCCCCUCCACUACCUUCAACGGAUAACAAUGCCAAACAAGUGGGUGAAUUGUGGGCGUCUUAUUGCGCCAAAGCCGGGAAAGAAAGUAGGCGAAAAGGGGAAGAAAAAAUCUUCUUCUUCCCCUGCCUCGCGCGUCCAGGGGAAGAAGAAGAGCUACAGUGCCGUCAAAACGGCACCGUUUUGGGCUUCUGUUUUUUUUUUUUUUUUUUUUUUUUAGCAACAGUGAAUGAAACGGCGCCGUUUUGGUCAAAACGCGCCGUUUCAUUUAAAAGGAAAAAGGCGCCAAAAGAAUCAGAUUCAAAUUUCGGCCCUCCAUUUGCGCGCGUUUUACAAUUUAGUCCUUGGUCUCGGAUUUCUUCAAUUCAGUCCCUAAUUGGCCAUUAAACCUCAAUAUUUAUGCAAUUAAGCCCCUGAUUUGACCAAAUUAACUUCCAAAAAUUAUAAUUUGACCCUAGAAAAUUAAUUUCUCCUAAUUAAAGCCCAAAUUAACUCCAAAAUCAAUUUUUCUUGCAAUUAAAAUCUUCAUAAAUGCAAUUAAACCUUUAAUAAAAUUUAAUUGAGUCCAUAAACUUCUGAUUUUGCAUUUUUCUUCCACAAAUUGAAUUUUCUUUAUCAUCGGGGCUCUCAUCAGUUAAUGAUAUACUGUCAAAAAAUAAUUUUUAUAUUUUUGAACAUCCUCAAUCAAUUUUUGAACAUUUUUAGGGCGCUCUGGCAUUUUUUCACUGUUAUAUUUUUUUAUAAUAUUUUUUUGAAUUUUUUUGUAUUUUAUUAUUUUAUGUGGGGACCCAAAAAUGGGUUACAACAGUUGCCCCCCUCUUUACAAUGCUUACGGAGCAAAGAUUUGUGCAUAGUAAGUGUUGUAAAGAUAAAAUAAAAUUGGUCUUCCGAAACUGGUCGUCUCAAAAUUUGAUUGACCUAAAACUUCAACCGUACCCAAAGUCCUGUGUGUGGUUGGGUUAAACUGAGAUUCAUUUCGCCAAUCCCCUUUAACCUGAAACUUAAAUAUUAUGUGUGUGUGGUUAGGAUAGACUGAGAUUCCUUUCGGCAAUCCCCUCUAACCAGAACCAAAAUCCUGUGCGUGGUUGGGAUAGACUGAGAUUCCGUUCGGCAAUCCCCUCUAACCAGAACCAAAAUCCUGUGCGUGGUUGGGAUAGACUGAGAUUCCUUUCGGCAAUCCCCUCUAACCAGAACCAAAAUCCUGUGUGUGUAGAUCGGUCAACCUGAAAUCUCAUAUGGAGAUUCCCUUUAACCAAAGCUACAUGAGAUCCCAUCUGGCAACCUCAUUUAACCAAAACAAAAGAAAUGUGGGAAAAAAACGGUCUCAUUGUAAUGGGUGACCUACCCAGGUGGAAAGAAUGGAAAAAACGGUCUUAUUAUGAUGGGUGACCCACCCAAAGAAAAAGGAAAAAAAUGUGAAGUGCGGUCUCAUUGUAAUGGGUGACCUACCCAGAUAAAAAACAUGGAGAAUUGGUCGCGUUGUAAUGGGUGACCUACCCAGAAAAAUGUUGGCAAGGGCUCAAAGGCGCACUCAAAAUGGAGGUGAGGGCUCAAAGGCGCACUCAAAAGGAGGUAGGGUUAGAAAACGCACUACCGAAGGGAUGAGGGCUCAAAGGCGCACUCAAAAUGGAGGUGAGGGCUCAAAGGCGCACUCAAAAGGAGGUAGGGUUAGAAAACGCACUACCGAAGGGAUGAGGGCUCAAAAGCGCACUCAAAAUGGAGGUGAGGGCUCAAAGGCGCACUCAAAAGGAGGUAGGGUUAGAAAACGCACUACCGAAGGGAUGAGGGCUCAAAGGCGCACUCAAAAUGGAGGUGAGGGCUCAAAGGCGCACUCAAAAGGAGGUAGGGUUAGAAAACGCACUACCGAAGGGAUGAGGGCUCAAAGGCGCACUCAAAAGGAGGUAGGGUUAGAAAACGCACUACCGAAGGGAUGAGGGCUCAAAGGCGCACUCAAAAUGGAGGUGAGGGCUCAAAGGCGCACUCAAAAGGAGGUAGGGUUAGAAAACGCACUAACCGAAGGGAUGAGGCUCAAAGGCGCACUCAAAAUGGAGGUGAGGGCUCAAAGGCGCACUCAAAAUGGAGGUAGGGUUAGAAAACGCACACCGAAGGGAUGAGGGCUCAAAGGCGCACUCAAAAUGGAGGUGAGGGCUCGAAGCCACUCAAAAUGGAGGUGAGGCUCAAAGGCGCACUCAAAAGGAGGUAGGGUUAGAAAACGCACUACCAAAGGGAUGUUGAAACAAUGAUUGUCAAUGUUGAAAAGCAAAUGCAUUAUGAGUGAUAUGCAUGUAUACUUACCUGAGAAAUAUAGGCCCCCAUUUCUUCAUGGUGUCUUUGUUUUCUCUCAAAAGUUGUAGUGUUGGUAGUAAACUUCGAUGGCUUUUCCACUUUUGCUUACUCGGGUUACAUAUUGUGAUCUUGACCUCUGGGAAGGUUUGAUGUCAUCAUACAUCUUUGUCCUUCACCCUUUAUCUCAAGAGUUGCCAAUUUUGCCCGACAUUUUCCUUAGAAAAGGAAUCAUGGAGCCAGCCCUACCAUGUGUGUUUGAUUGCCCCCCAGCUUGAUGCCCCCCAAGUGUUCAACUUGGGUUUAGUUUGGGGUGAGGAUAUGUGAAAGUAAGUUUGGGUUUUUUGUACAAUGAAAUGUUUUCAUGCAAAAUUUUUGGAACUUCCAAGUUAUUCCAAUCACAAAAAUGAUUUUGAUAUUGGUUCAAAAUAAACUUGUUUUAAAAAAUUCAAGCGAUUCCUAUGGACAGGUUUCUUGAAGUGAUGAAAGCUUUUUGCUUUUGGUUUAAAGAUGAAGUGACAUCUGGUUGGUCACAAAAGGUUUAAAGUUCAAUUUGAGGGUUAUUGAGAACCGAAUUGAUCAAAGCAUUUAUUUUAUUUGCAUGAAUAAUGAUUUGACUCGCACGAGAAAGCACUGCAUACCGAUCCAGAUUGCUUGCCUUUGAUCAGAAAGGGCUUUAUCAGGUAUGUAAUGUAGGCUUUGCUAUUGGUUACGAAGAAAAUGGAUAUGUUGCAGGCUCAAAAGGUGUUUAAGGGAUUUCAAGACUAGGGAUCACUUGUGCUUGUUUCCUGACCUUUUGUCUUUUGGAAUUGUUUUUUUUUCAAAAUGAUUUGUCCAGCCCCCAGUGUCGGGUUUGGGUUUUCUCUUUGUUUUCUUUGUUUUUGUUUGGUUGAGCACAAUCAUAUCAGUUGUUUUUAUGAGAAGCUCAAAUCUUUUAGAUCCUUUAGAUCUUCUUCUUUUCUUUUCUUAACCAAUCACUGCUUCAUUUAGAUGAUAAUGAAAGAUUAAAAAUUACAUGAUCAAAUCCAGCACCCAUCUUCACUGCUUUGUCUGGAUGGGUAAAAACUCUUAUUAUUUUGCCCCCCAGUGUGGGGUGUGAUCCUAGUCAAGGUUAUUUCCAAAAAACAUUACUAGGCUCAAAAUGGGACUGCAAAGGAUAUAUUUUUAGCCUUGUGAAAGGAUUAUCAAAGAUGGCCUUUCCUCAUCUCAAACUCAUGCAGUGAGGAUCGAUAGGUCUUGCUUUCAUGCGCGUAUGCAAAGUGAUUUAUUCAGUCAAAUAAAACUCAGCUUUUGAGUCACCUCAUAGUGUUGUUUGUCUUUAUUUGUCUUUUUUUUUUCUUUCAAGUUUUCUAGGUAUAUGUGUACCUAUUUAAGGAAUCACUUGAAUUUCCAAAAUGCAUUUGUUUUGGACAAAUAUCAACACGAUUUUUGUUUUUGUACUCACUUUGGAGGUCCCAAAAAAUAUCCUUGAAAACAUAUGAGAUUAUGUAUGGGUUUGGAAGAAAGGAACACCAAAGGAUUCUUCAUGUUGUAGUGUUGUGAGCAAAGUUGCGCUCAAAAUAUUAUUUACAUGUAAUAACAAGAAGAGUGUGAUGUGAACACAAGAAAACACAUGAUCUUAUUUCACAAGAGAAGCUCAUUAACAGAGAAAGUCUUAUUCAAAAGCAUUAACAAAAGGCAAUAACAAGGUAGGCUUCAUUCCUCUAUUUUGGCGAAUCUGUUCAUAGGCUAACUCCUCUCAAAAGCUCUGCGUAGAGGACUCAAAGACAAUGCGGAACAACACCACGGUCAAAAAUUCAAGCUAUCAUGCUGGACCAUUGAUGCUUUCCAAUUCCCCAAACAUUCCAUCCUAAUAUGCUUCAAGCAUGAUUAGGCAACGGGUUCGUAUUCACAUUGGGGGCAUCUUCCAAUUCUAUCCACCCAGCCUUGAUUAAUUGUAGAAGCUUUCUCUUGAAGGCGUUGCAGGUAUAGAUGCUAUGCCCAGUAAUACCGGCAUGGUAUUCACAAUUGAGUUCUGGCUUGUACCAAUUAGGAUAAGGUGGUUGCAGAGGUGUUAGAGGUUCUGGAGCUAUUUGCCCGAUGCUUAAUAGCUUUUGAUACAUCUCAUUCAGGGGUAACGGUAGUGGAGGUAGUUGUUCUUGAACCCUUUGGAAAUUUCCAAUUUGGCUUUUGGCUUGAAAGUUUUGGGGUUCAAGUUUUCUGAUGUUGGCAAUUUGGGAUGGAGUAUGGUAAUUUUGGGAUGUAUUUGUUUUACCCUUGUAGCCAUCUUCAACAUGGUGAACCUCUUUUCUUUCGACGCCUCUUUUCUCGGUUGGUGCAGCAAUUCUACCACUCUUGACACCUUGCUCUAUACGUUCACAUACUAUCACAGCAUCAGUGAAUUGUUGCGCUGAACUACCCAUCAUAUGUUCAUAAUAUGGUGCUUUGAGUGUGUUGGCAAAUAAAGAGACCAUCUCUUUGUCCAGAAGUGGGGGAUGUACUUGAGCAGCUAAUUCUCGCCAUCUUUGAGCAUAUUCCCUUAUGCUUUCUUUAUCCUUUUUCUCUAUAUUGGUCAAACUGGUUCUGUCAGGCGCAAUGUCCAUGUUGUACUUGUAUUGCUUGACGAAAGCAUCCACAAGAUUUUUCCAGUUGCGAAUUUUUGUGUUAUCCAAUCUCAUGUACCAACUCAAAGUUGCCCCACUUAAACUGUCUUGGAAAAAGUGCAUUAGUAGUUUUUCAUCAUGUACUACCUCAGCCAUUUUAUUGCAGUAAGACCUGAGAUGAGUCAUGGGGCAUUGUGUUCCACUGUAUUUGAUGAAUUCAGGAACACGAAAUUUCUUUGGGACAACCACAUUUGGGACCAAACACAUCUCUGCUGCCCGGACCGGGUCAUAUAAGUCUAUCCCUUCAAUGGCUUUAAGUCUGGCUUCCAACGCCUCUAUCUUAGCUUGAUCAAUGCUAUCAGAUGACUUAGCCUUGUGGGACUCAUUAGCAGAUGCCUUCACGACUGUUGGGGAUGGUGCAGGUGUCGUUGACUGCACAAAUGUUGGAUUUUGCUGAGGUUCUUGACCAUGUUCGCUCAUUCUUUCCUCAGGCUGAACUGUAGUAGGAGCCGGAUUAAAGGUGAUCGGUUGAUUAGAAGGACCUUCAUCAGAGGUAUUUCUUAGUGUUUGCUUGAGUAAGCUAGUGAGGUGAGCCACACUUAUUUUCAGAGACUCCAACUCUCGUUCAAAUAGGCCUCACGUUGAGCACGCUCUUCAUCUUCCAUGUUUCUUGCUCGAAGUCGGGUGUUGUAGACUUUUUGGGGACCUAUAUUUCAAUCUGACAUGUAUGCAUGUUAAAUGUAUGAACAUGUAAUCUAUAUGACGAACUCGCCCUUCGAGGGGUGACAUAUGGUCGCAACUCUUGUAUGAUGAAACAAGAAUCUUGAUUCUUGCACAAACUCUACAAUGAAAAUUUUCUGAGCGACGGCCAUUGUGUCACCCAAAAGUCUGGAGUUCAAGAUGCUUCAAGAAGGGCUUGCUUGGAUGCAAAUAACGAUAGCACAUACAAACUAAGGACAUAUUUUAUUAUGUGAACAUGGGUAGGUUGGCUAUUCAGUCUCUAAAAAAGGGUCUCUUGCUGUCCCAGUGAUCGCCCUCGUGGAGGCAAUAUGGGGGCUUGUAGGCAAUGAGAUGGCACGUGUACCAACUGUUACCAGUCUAAGCACUCAGCGAAGAGUUGGGGUUUACACAAACUUAAACCUUGACUAAAAGUCGUAAGGUAAGCUGCUAAUCCCCCACUUAACUUAAAGUUUGUCAGUACAAACUCUCAUAUGAAUGAUGCAUGACACAAUCUAUAGUGCAUGAACAAAUAUGUACAAAUUUAAAGCAUAUGAGCAAAUAACUAAGGGAAAUUCAUCUUAAAAAUAAAACACAAUAAAUCCAAAGAAAAAAACUAGACAAAACAAUGCUUAGUCCACAAGGUCCCCAGUGGAGUCGCCAUUCUGUCGCACGUGUGCGGCGGCGCGGCGAUCGUCCACCCUCAAGGAAAAAAAUUGGAAAUAUUUAUUCCUGGCAAAUGGGGAGAGACAAGGAAUUCUUGUCUCUAUAUGUAAAAAUAUGGACCGGGAGUCGCCACCUAGUAUUCUGGUUACUAGGAACCUUAACUGGUCUUUAGAGAUCGGGUACGGAGACUGGUUGCGUAAAGGGAAGGUAUUAGCACCCCAACUACGCCCUACCUAAGGUAGGCUGCAUUGUUUUAAUGUCUGAUAAAAUCUAAAAUCGUGUUGUGUUUUUUUUUUUUUGAAUUGUUGGUUCGUUUACGGUUUAAGAAAAGUCCUCCUCUGUAAGGAGGUCCUUAUCUUUAUCGGGUAAAAAAAAACACUAACUAUUCGAAGUCGUCAAAAGAAAAUAUUUUUUUAAUAUCAGGAAUACGAUUUACGUAUAAAUUCAUAAUCCCUGAUACUAAAAUCAAACAAAAUAAAAUAUUUUGUUGUUUUUGAAAUUUUGGCCAAUGUUCUCUUGACUUUAAUAAACUGGUUAUUAAAGCCAAAAUGCAUGCUAAAAUAUUGUUUUUUGACUUAUGAAAAAUACGAUAUGAUUUUUUAGAUUUUGAGACACUUGGCCGUAUGCACAAAAACAUUUUUUUCUCUUUUUUAAUUUUUAAUUUUAUUUUUGGAAGUUUUUUGCCGAAAACCAGGUAUUUUGAUAUCAGAUUUUUGUAUUUUUAACAACAUAAAAAAACACCACCAAAUAUUAAUCAAAAUGACAUAAAAAUUACACGGAAAAAUUAUAAAAUGCUGAAACAAAUAUUUUUGAUUUUUUUUCUUUGAAAUGGGCCGGAUUAGGCCCAAAUAUAUGGGCUGGGCCGAACCUAGCCCAAAGCAUGGGCUGGUUACUGUGCACAUAGUAACCGGGUUACUGUGUGUACAGUAACCAAAGAAUUAAUCUGCGGGUUACUGUGCACAUGCACAGUAACCGUGAAUUAAUCGCUAAUUAAUAUGCAUGCAGAACAAAAAAAAACGACGGGAAAAACAGGGGGGCGGAGUCUACCUGCGGUGGACUCUCUUCUCUGCUUCUUCUUCUUCUGCUUUCUUCUCUCUGUCUCUCCCUUCUCUUCUCUUCUCCUCUCUUCUUUUUUUUUUUUUUUUUUCAACAGCCCUCCCCUGUAUUUAUAGGAAAACAGGGGAGGGAGAACGUGUUGGGGCGGCUACUGUUGGCCGCCCCCCUCCACUACCUUCAACGGAUAACAACGCCAAACAAGUGGGUGAAUUGUGGGCGUCUUAUUGCGCCAAAGCCGGGAAAGAAAGUAGGCGAAAAGGGGAAGAAAAAAUCUUCUUCUUCCCCUGCCUCGCGCGUCCAGGGGAAGAAGAAGAGCUACAGUGCCGUCAAAACGGCACCGUUUUGGGCUUUUUUUUUUUUUUUUUUUUUUUUUUUUAGCAACAGUGAAUGAAACGGCGCCGUUUUGGUCAAAACGCGCCGUUUCAUUUAAAAGGAAAAAGGCGCCAAAAGAAUCAGAUUCAAAUUUCGGCCCUCCAUUUGCGCGCGUUUUACAAUUUAGUCCUUGGUCUCGGAUUUCUUCAAUUCAGUCCCUAAUUGGCCAUUAAACCUCAAUAUUUAUGCAAUUAAGCCCCUGAUUUGACCAAAUUAACUUCCAAAAAUUAUAAUUUGACCCUAGAAAAUUAAUUUCUCCUAAUUAAAGCCCAAAUUAACUCCAAAAUCAAUUUUUCUUGCAAUUAAAAUCUUCAUAAAUGCAAUUAAACCUUUAAUAAAAUUUAAUUGAGUCCAUAAACUUCUGAUUUUGCAUUUUUCUUCCACAAAUUGAAUUUUCUUUAUCAUCGGGGCUCUCAUCAGUUAAUGAUAUACUGUCAAAAAAUAAUUUUUAUAUUUUUGAACAUCCUCAAUCAAUUUUUGAACAUUUUUAGGGCGCUCUGGCAUUUUUUCACUGUUAUAUUUUUUUUAUAAUAUAUUUUUUUGAAUUUUUUUGUAUUUUAUUAUUUUUUAUGUGGGGAUCCAAAAAUGGGUUACAACAAAAGCAAUGCAUAUAAGAUUUAUAUGUCAACUCCCAUACUGUUGAUAAAAUUAUUUUAGUUAGUAUGCCACGAUAUUUCAAUCGAUCAGGUUUGUAACUCAAAACGUAAGUAAUGAUUUGCAAGCAUAACUUAUUGGCCUAAACAAUAAAAAUCUAUUACACUAAACACUUUUUGAGGACUUCAUAUAUUUCAUUUUGACAAUUUUGAGAAAACAAGGAAUGAUUUAAUGAUAUUUAUGGAUGUGUUAUGGCCAUUACAUACAUUUCUAAUUUCCAAUUUACUCCACCUCCUUUGUUAAUGGCUACUGCAUUCUUUAAUAUUAGUGGUUGCUUUUUUCUUGUAGGUGAACUGCUAGUGUAUUUUGAUGAUUUUUGAGUAAUGAUUACACACUUAGAAAGUAAAGUUUAUACUUUUAACAUCCCCUUGACUCUUUUGAUAUCAUCAUUCCAAACAUGUUCUAUAUUCUUGUAAACACAUCAUACUUGAAUAACUUUAUGAAUAUGUCAGUAAGUUGAUCAUAAGUUAUGUAAGAUACCAACUCCAUUUCUUUAUUUUUCACAUGUUCUUGGAUGAAAUGGUAACGACUAUCAAUGUGUUUGCUUCUUUUAUAGUAUGCUGGGCUCUUUUAUAGAGCAAUCACAUAAUGACUAUCUAAUAAGAUUUUCAUGUGGAAUUUUUGAAAAACUUUAUUACGUUCCUCGACCAACAUAUGUAUAAUCUUAGAAGGUUACAUUACUUUUUUGGCUUUGAAGUGGUUUAAUCUACUACUAGAAUUUUUAUUUCUCAAAAGAAAUAUGUUUAAGAAGUUUUAGAUAAGCUUCAAAUAAAGAAUUAUAAUUUGGGGAGUACAUUAACUGAGUUUGGUUUGAAACUAAAUAAAAAUUAUGGAGGAAAGAAGGAUGAUAACAUUCUUUACAAGAAAAUUGUAGGAAGUUUAAUGUAUAUAAUAAUAGACAUAAUAUACUAAGUAAAUCUUAUCAAUAUAUACAUUGAGAAACCAAUAAAGAUACAUCUUCUAACUAUUAAAAGGAUAUUUCGGUACUUAAAAGGUACUAUAUAUGAACUUAGGUUUGUUCUAUAAGAAGGGAGAAAAAUCAAACUUGAUUAAUUUUAUUUAUAGUGAUAAUAUAGGAGAUUAAGACAACAGAAGAAACACUCUAGGUUAGGUUUUUAUGCUUGGUUGAAGGGCUAUUUCAUGGUCUUCGAAGAAGUAGUCAUUUGUCACUUUAUCUACUAUAAAAAUUGAUUUUUUUUAUGCAAAAUUCAUGUGCAUUCCAAGCUAUAUGGAUGAAGAAAAUUAUUAAGGAACUUAAUUUCAAGAGACAAGGGCAUACAAUAAUUUCUAAUUGCGACAACAACUCAGUAAUUAAACUCUUUAAAAACUUAAUUCUACAUGGUAUAUAAAAGCAUAUUAAUGUAAAGUUUUAAAUUUUAAGAGAUCUCACAAAACAUAAAAUGAUUGAGAAUAUUUAUUAUAAAAGUGAAGAAUAUGUCACUAAUAUAUUCACCACGUCUCUUAAGUACUUGAAGAUGUUUUUGAAGUUUAUAAAAUUACUUGGUAUUUACAUUUGAGAAGAUUUUAUUUAAAGAAGAGUACCUCAUUCGUAAACUGAAUGUUAGAACAUACAUUUGAGGAGAAAAUUGUUAAGAUAUAAAAAUGAUUCUAAUAUGAGAAUGAUUCCAUAUGUGUGUGUGUCUGUGUGUGUGUGUGUGUGUGAGAGAGAGAGAGAGAGAGAGAGAGAUGCAUGCAUAAUUUAUAAUGAAUAGGAGAAGGAAAGUUGAAAAUACUUUGUGUGUGUUUUAGUUUUUAACCAUGAAAAUGGGUUAUCCCCGUCAUCUCUGAUUAAACAGUGUUUAGUGCCUUGGAGUACUGAGUAGUCAUCGAGUUGAUGACAACUGGGAAACUAAUCGACAGUGAAGAAAGAUCAGACUUAGGAAUUAGAAAAUUGGUGUCGUUGCAUAAGAUGAGGAGCAUCAGUUCACACUCUCAUUCAAUGGUUGCAUCAAUCCGGCUCUAAUAGCUACAUGAACGGAUUAUUAGACAAGGCCUGCAGCUUUCUCGUUAUUCAAAACAAGUACAUAUAAGCAUAGUGUUGUUUUCCAAAGAGACAACAUCAUCAAGAAAAUUGUAGAGCAAAUGCCACUUCAUUUGUUUGUUAGUUUACUUGGUCUUUGGUCCAGUCUUCUUGUUUUGCAAGCAUUGUAUAGAUAGAUGCCGGUAGAUGGGCAUUGCGACUGAUUAAUUUAAUGAAAUAGGUAACUUUCUAGAGGUAAAAAAAAAUGAAAAACAAGAAAAGGUGAAUGACCAUGAGAUGAGACUUUGUCCAGAGUGUUGUUGUUAACCAGAAAUUGGCCACAUACCUGAAGUAAACACAGUUUUCAUUUAUGGCUCUAUCCUGGCAAGAAUCCAUCAUCUAGCUAGGCUUACAAGGUACUUAAUACCUCUCUAAUUACAAGUAUAGCCUUACCAACAUAGCACAUUAAUUAAUUAGAGAUUGGAGACGUAUACGAACAAUGUUUUCUAAACAAUGAAUAUAUGCAGUUUUUCUCCUAUAUAUUAUCCAAUUGCAUUUAAGGCUAUUGCUACUUUCGUUUUUCAUACAGAAAAGUCUAUAUAUUAUCCAAUUGCAUUUAAGGCUAUUGCUACUUUUAACAAAAAAGAAAAGGCUAUUGCUACUUUUGUUUUCAUACACAAAAGCACGUUUCUCCCUUGGUUGUCAAUCUCAAAUAAUUUGACAACUUCUACUGACGACAAACACAGCAUUAUCAAUUUCAUAUUCUACUCAUUAUCCCAACCACCUUAGUCUCUAUAUAAAAGCCCAUCCUCUAACACAACAGCAUCAUACGAAACACAUAAAAUCUAUACCCACAGCCAUUUCAAACAUCUUCCACCCUAUGGCUAACCAACGAGACCCACCAAGCCACGGCAUAAAUGACCUCACAAAACAAGCACAAGUUGUUGUGGUCAUGGUGCCCCUUCCAGCACAAGGCCAUCUUAACCAGCUCCUCCAACUCUCUAGGCUCAUCCUAUCCCACAACAUCCCGGUCCACUACGUUGGCGCCACCACCCACAAUCGUCAGGCCAAGCAGCGCGUACACGGUUGGGACCCAAACGCCGCUGCAAAUAUCCAUUUCCAUGAUAUCGAAAUCCCUCCUUUUCAUUCCCCCCCGCCCAAUCCAAAAGCCAAAAUCAAAUUCCCUUCUCACUUACAACCAGUCUUCAACGCCUCAUCUCAACUUACCGAGCCUGUUUCUAUGCUUUCUUACGUGCACUUUCUUGCAAAGCAAGAAAGGUUAUUGUAAUUCAUGACUCUUUAAUGGGUCUGUGAUUGAAGAAGCUCGUUUCCUCUCGAAUGCCGAGUCUUACACUUUCCAUAGUGUGUCUGCUUUUGCUAUUCCUUGUAUGAAAGGGAACGAGAAGGGAAGGUUAUAGAGGAAAAUGAGUUGUUUCCACGGAAUACUCCUUCUCUAGAAGGGUGUUUUACCGAUGAGUUUGCGGAUUUCGUUGAUUGUCAUUAUAGUAAGCACCAAAAGUUUAACACUGGCCGUGUUUACAACACUUGCAAAUUGGUAGAAUCUGCUUAUUUGGACUUUCUUGAGAAGAUACAAUUAAGGAAGGAAUUAAGCAUUGGCACUAGGGCCUUUCAAUCCUGUGACAAUACCAGAAAGCUCAAAAAAAACAGCAUUUUUGCUUGGAGUGGCUUGAUAAACAAGCAAAAAACACGGUAAUUUACGUGUCCUUUGGGACGACGACCACCUUCGAUGAUGAACAAAUCAAGGAGCUGGCAAUUGGGUUGAGAGAAAGCAAGAAAAAGUUCAUAUGGGUUCUAAGAGAUGGUGAUAAAGGAGAUGUUUUCAAUGGAGAAGAGAGAAGAUCUGAACUGCCAAAAGGGUAUGAGAAUUCAGUGGAGGGGAUAGGACUUGUGGUGAGAGACUGGGCACCCCAACUAGAGAUUUUAGCUCACCCGGCAACAGGAGGGUUUAUGAGUCAUUGUGGAUGGAAUUCUUGCAUGGAAAGCAUUAGCAUGGGAGUGCCAAUUGCAGCUUGGCCUAUGCACUCCGAUCAACCAAGAAACACAGUUCUGAUAACAGAAGUCCUCAAGAUUGGAAUUGUCGUUAAGGAUUGGUCGCGGCGAGAUGAGAUUGUAACAUCAAAGAUUGUUGGAGGUGCUGUGAAAAGGCUAAUGGCAUCAACAGAAGGUGAUGAGAUGAGAAAGAGAGCGGCAGAAAUGGGGGAGUCCGUGCGAGGAUCCGUGGCUGAAGGUGGAGUUUCUCGUAUGGAGAUGGAAUCCUUCAUUGCUCAUAUCACUAGGUAAUUAAUUAAAUCCAAUUAAUUAACCCUGUUUUAGUCAUCAUCAUGUGGAAUUAUCAUGGCUAUCAAAUCUGAAUUACAAUAAAAUGAAGGCAGGUAAGUCCAAGAAAUGUUGUCCUUGUACUCGUUGGAUUGUCAUGAAAUUAUAUUCUACUUAUAAAGGAGGAGAAGAAAAUGCAGACUGUUUGAUAUAUAUAGAUUAUACAUUCACUAAGAAUAGUUUGAGCGAUUCCAUCAUAUUUAUGUUGGAAUUAAAGUUUAUAGGAUCUUUCAAUUAAUUGAAUCAAAAGAAACUACUUAAAUGUUGGAUUGGAUGUUUCCAUGUUUAAUCAAGUUGUUUUAACUCGUAGUGAAAUUUUUCUUAUUGACUAGACACAAAGAGAGAGAUAAUAUAAAAAAUUAUUUUACUAUGAGUAGAUUACCCGAAUGUGGCCGGUUUAUCAUGGAAUUUGGUUCUUGUUGUAGAAAAAAUUCAACCAAAUACAAGUACGGUCAUAAAAAGCAAUCCCUGUGCUGUGCCUCUGAGAAAUUAAGGACAAAGGAAAGUGUUUCCCUCUUAAUUAAUUGCAACAAAGAAGGAUAUUCGUCCUAUUGGUCACACAAGCGUUAUAGAACAAAUAAUUUGCGAGGAAGGAAAAGAGUUGACAAAUUCUAAUUGAGAACUAAUUUAACGACUAAUCUACUACAGAAUAACUUGGCUUUAUCUAGCAAGCGCAUAAUUAAUUAAUCUACUUUCGAUGAAUAUUACACAUCAAACAAAAUUAUUGGGGAAAAAAUUCAAUAGCGUAAGAUCAACACACACAUGCAUAUGACCCGCCCACCACUUACCUACACUAUCUUUAAUAUUUUAAAAUUUUCCUUGAUGUUAAAUUAUUAGUUUUAAAAAUAUUGAUAUCAUCUUGGGCAAAAUAAAAUUAAUUUUGCAUUAUUUUCCUAAAUAUAAAAAAGUUAAAAUUACUUAUUUUUUAUUUAUAAAACUUAAUUUUUAACUAUUUUAUAUAUAAAAAUCAUUUAUAAUAACAAUAACAACUAACACAAUAGCAAAGACAAACUUAAGUGGUCAUUGCCGCGCUGCUUGCUUUUUGUUUUGAAAAACGAUGACCAUCCCAAGACACGUUUUACAUAAAUUAACCAUAUUUUCUUAGCUUGACAACCUCAACUUUUGUAAAAUGACGUUUAUUAUACUUUAUGUACUAAAAAAACUUUGGAUGCAACGUAUCUCGUUUGUUGUUUAUGUUGCUAUUUAAUUUUUAACUUUAUUUUGAAAAAAAAAUUGAAAAACAAUAAAAAUAGCAAAAAACCAUAAAAGCCCCAUAAAAAUAUGUUUUUGACGUCUUUACAUUACUUGUAGCAUUUUUUUCUACAUGUUCAGUUGCUAACAUGCUUUUUAAGUCGACAUUGAAGUAGCUCCUUUUCUUUUUUAUAUAUAUAUAGAAAGAAAGAAGUUUACUUGGAGACAACACAAUUAAAAAUAACAAAUUUAUUUACCUAUAAACAUAUAGUUAUAUCACACACAAAAAAGAAGGGAGCCAUUAAAAAAAUCCUUAACCUAUUUUCUAUACACUAGUCGCCACCCACUUUUCUAGUCGAAGCCCCCCUCCACCAUUUCAGCUUUUUCAUCUCCUUCAACUAGCUUCCAACAGCCCAUGGCCAACCCACCAACAGCCUAACCAACAACUAGCUUCCAACAAAACCUUAAUUUAGCCGUCAACCGGUUGUCUCCUCUUAAGACCCACGAUAGACCCAUCGACAACUAAACACACAAAACCAAUAACUCUAUACCGUGAGCCAUAAUAGCCUUAGCCACCAUAAAAAGCCAACCCCCAUUUACCAAAUCACCCCAGCCUCUUCCACCACUAGUUCAACUUCAACUCAUGAAAAGACACCUUUUAUCUCGAUAAAAAUAGCCUCCACAGUAGCCCGGUCAUACGCCACCAAGCAACUCCAGUUCACGACCAAUAACCGCUGCCCUUUUCAACCUCAAUCGUCGGCCAACAUACCUCUCCACUAGCCAUUGACUAUAGCGAACACCAUUCAUAGGCUAAGAGAGGGCUGGAAAAAAAGAUCCCCUAAUAAGAACAAAGAAGGAAACCAAAACUUGUUGUAUGUGUUUUUUCUUUUUUAGGUCUCCAUUGGUGACACCGCCCACAUAGGAAGGGAGAAAAGAAAGAGAUCUUCUGCUGUCAGUAAAAGAUAUAUGUCUGAAAUAAAAUUCAGACAAAUACAUAAUUAUGUGUUAUUUAACUGCGAUGAACUGAGACCUUUUAUUCAAUAAGUAUAUUGCUUAAACUCUAUUAUUAAUGAACAAUUUAUCUCAUAUAGCAUCAUAAACUAACAUAUUAUUGAAUAUCUUAUAGACAACAUUGUCAAUAUUUACUUUCCUAAAACUCACAGUUGACUAAAUUAUAAAUCUUUCGAUUACAAGAUAAACAAUUUUUAACCUAGUUCAGAACACAUGUAAGUACUGUUUAAUUAUUAUUAUCUAUCGGGAUACUUAAUUUCAUUAUACAUUUCUUGUUAACUGUUCAUGGUUGUACUUCAUGUACCAGGUUUAUAAAUUAGAAGGGAAUGGUAGUGUUACUUUGUCUUUACUAAGUUUAGGUCCUGAAAGAAAAGUGAAGUGCAACAACGGUAUUUUAUCACUAGACACAUGUUUCAUACAGAAAAAUAUAGGCAAGGUAGAAAGACAUGUAACAAUAGGAUUUGUGUUAAGGGAUCGACUUCUAAUGAGUUUAAAGUUGACUGUUAUGGGAAAUUAGAAAAAGUAAUUGAAUUGCAGUAUCAUAGCGUGCAAAAUAAAGUAUUUUUAUUUAAAUGUUAUUGGUAUGACACCACUGAUAAAGACAUCAAAGUAGAUUUCUAUCAUGGUUUGGUCAAAAUUAAUUCAAAGGCUAGAACAUGUUAUCGAUUUACUUCAAUUUCCAACGAAUCAACAUGAUUUGGCCAAAAAUAGAUUUCGGUACAGAAACCAAAUAUUAGAAUUUAAACUUAUUAAAUCAUGUUAUUGAUGCAAAUGAAUAAUAGAUUAUUGACUAAUCAAGUCCAAUGAAUAAUUCUGGGUAAAGAAAUGGACAAAUCAUGUAAUUAAGGCAAUGUUCUUCACAAGAGCACGGAGAACAUUACCCAGCUAACAAACCCAACAAACAUGCCCAAAAUGCAGCAACUAUCAAACCUUCAAAACUGAUAUUUUUGGUCUCUAAAGCAUGUUUUAUUUAUCCCAACAGGUUACACUAACAUACACAAACAUAUAUGAAUAAAAAAACACUAGCAAAAAACAUCAAAAAACUAAAAUCAAGCUUAAGAUACUAAAUCUCGAAACAACAAUGACUUAACACAACCUAUAUACUCAUGCAACAUGGAUUCAAAAUUAGCACUCAAAAUUAGCUUUUUGAACCCAUUUUGUACAUGAACAUGCAUAGAAAAGCCAAGGUAAACACCCUUGUAUUAACAUGCAUAAUCUAGGUCAAAAAAACAAACUAAAACAAUAUUAUAUAUCAACAACAAACUUAAAACAAUAAUAAACUAGUAUCAAAACAUAAAAAAAAACUUUAGAAAUAACAACACUAAAUGGGAAACAUAGCAACAAAGUGGUGAAUGCAACAUUAUUUGUUAAGCAUUUUGAAUCUCUUUGUUAUGCUUGUAAACAUAAAUAUAAAAUAAAAAAAAAAUAAAAAACAACUAAAUAAUGCCACAAAGGCCUGAUUUUGGAUUAGAAAUGUAUCUAGGACAACUACUUCUUUUUUUUUCUUUUUUUUUUCAGACCCUUUUCUUUUGAUUUUAAGGGGGUAUUUAUAGGGUUUUUGGGAGGAUUUUGAAUCCAUUCUUAACCCUUUAUCUUAAGGGAAGGGUUGUGAAUCCUUGAUAAGAACCCACGAGAAGCCUUUGGUGUGAAAACAUGAAAAGAAAGCUGGGUUUUUACACAAUUGAGUUUCACCCUGGGAUGACUGAGUUGUCUAUUUUUAAAGCUUCGUCGGAGCAUUCUGACAUCAUCAUCCCUUGUGACCAUCUUAACUUGGUAGAGGGGAUGCAUACCUUUCAUUUGAAUCCAACCUUACUUAAUUUGGGGAUCUAUCAGUCCAUAUUUAUUUGUUUGAAGUUGCUAACCCGAUUAGUCAAACAACGAAAACAGAGGUCUAGUCGACUAAACACCGUGUCGCUCACCUUCUCUUCUUUAAGUUUGAAAGACUCGUCGUUUGGGUGAGAUUAUGGGUUUUAAUUUGGGAUUUGCAAAUUUCAAUUAAGUCUCUGUUCUUUUAAUUGCUCCCCUAAUUGCCUUUAAACUUUUAAUUUCUUGCAAUUUCAUCACUGACAAACUCAACUAUCAGGCUUUAAGUUGGCCGCCUUUUUCAUUUUGAUCAUUGGUUAUUAAGUUGUUCAUUUUAACCCUCAAUUGACCAAACAACUUUUAAUUUCUUCAAUUUGGCCUCUGAUUUGGUUAAUUUCAGCCCUUACAUUCACACUUUUUUUCCAGUUUGAUCCUUGGUUUUGUAUUUCUUCAAUCAAGUCUCUAAUUUCCUAUCAAACUUCUAUAUUUAUGCAAUUAAACUCUUGAUUUGGCCAAAUUAACUCUUAAAAUUUUCAAUUCAACCCUAGACUUUAACUUCUUCCAAUUAAAGCCUAAAUUGAUUUAAAAAAUAAUUUCUCUUGCAAUUAAGCCCUUAAUAAAUUCAAUUAAACCUUGAAAAAUUCUAAUUGAUCACUUAAACAUCUAAUUUUGAAUUUCCCUACUCAAAUUGAAUUUUCUUUGUCAAUAGAGUAUUCAUUAGUGGAAAAUACAUUGUCAAAUUUGUUUAAUUUUGCAUAAUUCUUCUCAGCCAAUCUUUGAUGAUUCCCUGGGCGUUCCUUGACAGAGUUGAUAAGUGUGCUAUAAUUAAAAAAUACAUGAAUAUCUCAUAUGAGAGGAUGAUGAAGUUGUAAUUAGGCUGGAUGAUGGAGCUUCUUCCAGGUGGAGAAGGGUUCAGAUGACCUAGUUAUACGAAGUAGGUCACUGUUGUGUCUUGGUUCUAUAUGUGAUAAUUAUUGAGAGAUUUAUUUUUUCUUCCUAAUUAUAAACUAAUAAAUACUCCUUUCAAGUCCAACAUUCCAGACUAUGAUCAAAUUAUGAAGGCAAGUAUCUUUUUUGAGAAUCAAAUUAAGAAUUAUUAGUAGUUUUGCUUAGCUUAUUAUUUAAUCUCUACGGUUAUUGUUAUUAAGAAUUAUUUAUUAACAUUCAAAGUUUAUGAAAUCAUAAUUCUUUAUACAAUUUAACUAUAAUUUUCAGUUUUGUGAAAUCCUGAUUUUUUUUCCUUGUCGCUAUAUAUAUGUUCCGUCGUAUAUAUAUAUUACAAGCUUCACUAACACAAUUCACAAAUAAACUACUAGAUUAUCCUUACAAAAAAUAAAAUAUAAUCAAGGGAGCAUGCAGGGCAAGAGAGCUUGGAUUACAAGGCCGAAGACUUUAUAAACUUGCUAUUUGGAAGCUAAACACCAAGAGACUUCAACCGUCUACGAGCCUUAAAAAGCUCCCAGCAAUCUUCCCAGGUGUAUGUUUCAAUAAAAGAGAUGCAUCAUUAACAUCGACAACAACUAGCUAGUGCCCCUAUUUAAACCAUAAAUCUAAAUAAAUAAAAAUAUCAUUUAAAUCCACAUUUCAAAUCUACUCUCCAAAAGGUCACCUUCUUUUAGAAAACAUUAACGCUAAAGAAAGAAAAUUUGCUAUAAAUCUAUCCACAUUUCAGUCCCAGUCGCCAGUUGUCGCUGCUGCCUCCAUGGUGGUGAUUGUGGCGGUGGUUGAUGGUGAGCAGGUUUUAUUACAUGAGGAACAAAAAAGCGCGCGGUGUUUUCUUAAAAUUAAAACGAGGAGAGAAACUAUAACCGUUUUGGUCUGUGAUUUUUCCCUGAUGAUUAUUAUUCUGCAGGCCCAUUAGUUUCGUUAAGGAAACCCAAAAGUAGACGAAAGCCCACGAACAGUAGUAGCCCUUUAAAACAAAUUAAAUAACCCUCAGGAUUGCUUCAUAUCCAUCAAAAUUUAGUUCUUUUCCGAAUGAUCUUCAUGAAUACAUCCUUAUAUUAAUUUAAUUUAAAAAAAAAUUCUUGAAUGUGAUUAAGUCCGAAUUGUUUUUCGGUUAUACAAAAAUAUUUUGUUUUUAUUUCAAGUUUGGAUAUCUUCAGUCACAUUGUUUAAUUCAUAAUUAAAUCAUCUUUCCCAAUAAAUCGCAGAUAAAUUAAAUCUCUCUGAACUUUAAAUAUUUUAAUCACCAAAAGAUAACCAUAAUGUUGCAAAGAUUCCUUGACAAAGUGUAUGUCAAGAUAAAGUGUAACGUAAAUUGCUGGAAACAGAGCAUAUCUAUGGUGCUAUUGGUAUGAUCCUGAUUCUGCGACAGGAACUGCUAGAUUUGUUUCAGCUUGCAUGUUAUAACUUCAGUGCAUGCCUGCUGCUUAUGUCAAGGUCAUUUCUCACUUACAAAUUAAAAUCUAAACGUUUUGAUUGUAUUAAGGUUCAUUUGUUCUGAAGUUAUCCUCUCUCUCUAUUGAAUUUUGUUUUUCAGAGGAGGAAAUAUAUAUCUUAAACUUUGAUUGAUCCCCUUCAGAUUGAUGGAAAAUUGUCGAAAAAUUAGUUGCUUAAAUGUUGAUGAAAUAACUUUAAAUAUGAAUGAGUACUUUAAAUAUAACUUUGAUCUAUAUCUUAAACUUUUGAUUCACCCCUUUACAUGCCUGAUGGACAGGAAUAAUUAUGAUCAUUAAUUAGGACCUUGUGUGGUAUGCCUGCAGAAUUCAAGAAACAAUCCUAAUAUUGCAUGAUACAGUAACCUUGUGAGCAUCUUAUUGAUUACAUUUAACUAGACAUAGUUUUUUCUUUUCCCUGCCUUCUUCAAGGAUUACAGUCUUCUUAUUUAAUAUUCUCCAUACAAAUUGGAGAGUAUCCUCCACCACCAUUAUUCUAUAGAGAAAACUUUUUGGCACUCUUUAGUUGAGAUUGAUGUUAUAUUUUGGCUGUUUAUUUGGAGAAAAGAGCCCCCAAUGUUUCUCAAGUUCAGGGUUUUUGUUACUCUCAUCAAACAUGGCAAAAAUAUAAGUUUCUAUAGGCUUUCCAGGCCUCUUUGGGCUUCCUCUCUUCACAUGUUGAACUAAGUUGUUGUUAUAAGUUCUUGCAUUAUCAACCGAUGUUCCUGUCCCUCCAGCCGUUGGCCAACCACUCUCUGAUACCACGAUUUCCAAAGAACCCCCUCCAGAUUUCUCCAAAGCAGCGUAAACAGUGUCAAGAAUGGCAUCGAAGAGGUUUUGGUAACUCAGUGGUGGGUCAGAGACUUGUGGUGAUGAAGCUGUGAAAAGAGCAUAAUCAAGACGAAUGUCUUUUGUGUUACCUGAGUAACUGAAGUAUGGAUACAAGUUAACCAGUAAUGGAGCUUGGUUGUUCACUAAAAAGCGAAUGAUCGGAUCGAGAAGUGGUCUAUGGUCUCCCUUGAAAGAGCCUUUUGAGGGAGGGAAGGAACCAUCCGCUAUGACCCCGUUAUCAAUAGCGGUUGAAACUUUGAUACUUCCUAGUCCAGCUGAAUUGAGUGCGUUGCGAAUGUUUUGCAUGGCAGGAACUAGAAACUGUGCAGAUGAAUCUGAGGGUUUGACCUCAUUUCCUACCGCAAUGUAUCGAAACUUGACAUUGCCAAAUUGUUUUACAUUGUUUUGCACCCAUGCAUUCGCGUUGGCCUGACUGGAAGCAAUCCUUUGAAGAUCCGGAUUUGGAAGACCUAGCAUGAGCUCAAUGUUGGUGCCUUGAAGGGCUCGUAGAGCAUCUUGGUUUGGAUCAUAGAGUCGCAUUCUGCGAAUGCCCCUCUGGUUGUAGAGAGCUAUGACUUCUGAUGGUGGUGGUAAGUUACCAAGCAUUCCAUAGCAAACACCUAUCUGGGCACCUGUAUUGAAAUAUUGUGAUUAUUUAGCUAACCAUAGAUGUUUAAGUUGAUAGCUUCAGUAAAACUGUCAGAUAGCAUAAAAUUAACAUGAUUAUGAGUAUACCUGUUGUAUCUAGGCUAGCUAGUAGGAGCCCAAAGAGUAGCAUUAUGGAAACCAUGGAAGGGCUUCUGCAAGCUAAAUUUGAUCUAGCCAUGCUUAAGGAAAUCACAAUAAACUAUGAAAGAGAGAUUGCAACUGUGUUUGCCAAACUCCCUUUCUUGCCUUCCUUUUUAUAGAGAAAAUGUAUACACCUAGACUUGGUCUUGCUAAGAAUUUUCCCAUUCUUAAUGCCAAAUUCAUUAUACUGUAAACUACUGUGGAGUGUAUAUUUUCCACAAAUUGCAAAUGCUAUUGCUUGAACCAUUCAAUGCACAUCUAACAGCUUUUCUUCUGGGACCUUAUAACUAGCUUUGAAAAGUCUUGAGAGCUAUUAAUUAUCCUUUUGUGGCAGACAAGUCGCAUCCUCUACGGCCUAAAUUUUUCACAACCACAACAAGUUGUUUCACAUAUCUGCAUCAUAUAAGAGCAUUUCCUAGGUAAUUAAUAAACGUUCAGGUUAAAAUUCAUGUGUAAACUCGACAAUUUUCAUCCCUGCGCAACACGGCAUUCUUGACUUAGAGUGAUUGUUUUAUGCUAUGCAGCACAACACUAUAGAUGGUGUUAGGUUUGGAAUCAUUUGGAGCUUAUAAAAUCGAUACCGUUGUGUUCUAAGCCUUAAGACAGACGAAAGAAAUUCUUGUAUAUUCUCUGCUGCUUGGCUCAUUUGAAGGUUUAUUCUCGCUGGGUUAUCAGCGAUAGAAGCAUGUAAAAAUUCUGUGAUUCUAGCCGAGUUUUUACCGCAAAAAAAGAGUCUAGAAUUCAUAUUCUAGUUCCUAAUAGGAGAUUUAGUUUGUUCGCAUCAAUUCGUGUUUCAUACCCCCUGUAUCAUAGCUGUCAUUUCCAAACCAAUUUUCCAUCCUUGUUUGACCACAUGGAAAGCCUCCAUGAAUUUUCAACAGCCCUCUCUCCUAGUGGGUUAAUUAGUGCAUUUAUGGAAACCUAACUUAUAAGGGGCUUGACUGGAAUAUUUUUUAACUUGGAUCAUUUUGUGGUGCAAAAUGAGGUGAUUGCUGUCCAUACAAGAGGCCAUACCAUUUAAUAUCUUCCAAAUUUGCGGAUGUCAACUUCAGUGUGUGGAAAAAAAAAUUUGGAAAAUGUCAUAAACGAACAAGAUUAUGGUAGUGCCGGUUUGUUUUGUUUGUUAAAAAGUUUUUUUUUUUCUUUUUUUUGUCCUCCUACAAUCCUCUCUGUGUAAUUUUAGAUUAGACGUUUCAUUUACGUAUUGAGAACAUCUACCUCUCUACAGCACAAAAGAUUUAUCCCUUCUAAAAUCUUUCAAUGGUGAUGUCGUAGACAUCAUGAAAAUCUUUAAUUAAAAAAAAAAACAAAUAAAUAUUUAUCAUUUUAUUUCUAGAAGGGAUAGGUUUGAUUUAAGGAAUUAUCAUAUAGUAUUAUGAUUAAUAAAAAUUAUAACUGGUUAACAGAAAUUCUAUAAUACUAGACUGAUUAUACAAAGAAGAAAGAUAUUAUCACCCUUUAAAUGUUCUAUCAAAAAUAUAUUGCAUCGCUGAUUUUGUUUUAAAUUGUUAAGAAUUUAUUAUAUUAUGAUAUUGAUGAUAUAAUAUUCAUAACUUAAGUGUUAGUGAAUAAUGAAAUUAAGAAUAAUUUUUAAUUCUAGUGUGAAUGUUCUUAAAUCUGGUCAUUAGUGAAUAUCAAAAGUAUCCUCAACUUUGAUAUUUGUAAAUAUGAAUGUUCCAAACUAUUUUUAAUAAAAAAAUAAUUUUAUUUAUGCACAAUUCAUACAGCAAUGCUAACAAGAAAUAUUUGAUUUAUAUAUGAAUUUUACAAUAUAAUUUAUUUUAUAUUGUGAAGGAAUUUAUAAUGGAUAAAGGAUAUUUAAACUUAUUGAAGCAUAGGGUAAGAUAUGGUUAAGUAUUGAAUAAAAUAUAUGAUAAAAUCAAUUCUUAAAUAAAUUUAAAGUUAAACUAAUGUCCAAACUAAUGUCGUCUCGUUGAUUGUUUUUAGAUUUUCACUAACAUCAUAGAAAUUUGAAUUAAAAUUUAUAUAUAUAUAUAUAUAUAUAUAUUAAAAAAGAAACUAUGUCAUUUGUUUUUAUUUUUCAAGACGGUGGGUACUAUAAAUACAUUGACCUUAAACAUGGGUAAAAUUAUUAUUUUUAUUUACAAAGAUAGGGUUAAGAGUUUUAUUAUUUUGAAAAUUUGGAUAUAUAGGCUUGGUGAGCCUUUUAAUUUCGUUCAAGUUCUAAUAUACUUAAUAAACUGGUUAUAAUAUAAGGUAUAAAAAAUAUUUUUGAGGUUUUUUUAAAAAAAAACUUUUGUGACAACACUGAAACAAAAUUCUAAAAUAUGUAAAAAGGUUUUUUUUUUUUUUUGUAUUCUUUUAUUAUUAUUUAAAAAAAAAAAGCGAAGCAAGUGUUCUUUAGAUAUGCCAUGACGAUUUUUUUUUGUGUUCUUUAGAUAUGCCAUGACGAUUUUUUUUUUUAAGAAAGAACUUGGUCAUUAUAUAUAUAUAUGGGAAAAAAAUGAUUAAAAGAGCUCAUGUUCCCUCCCAAUACAAAGAUAGAUCAUAUAAUCCCUGGCAGUUUAGAAUGGAGUUUUAACUUUCAUCUAACCAAAGUGACAUCAAAUGCCAGAGGAGCUCGGGGUUGGGGCGUCAGGUUGUUGAGGCGUCGGUUAGAGAAGCUUCUGGUGUUUGCUGAGGUGUUGGUCACGGUGGGAACUCCUAGUGUUGUGGCAACAAAUGAUAUUGUGGUGGAGAAGGAUCAAAGGCUGGCCAAGAAUGAGCUGCUUCUUCUUUUUUAUUUUUUCUACAAAAUCCGUCGCUUAUCUCCUAGAAUGGUGAUCUUGUGGAUGAAGAUAGCUACAGCUCAAGUUUUUCCGCUUUUGAUGAGAAGAAAACACCAGCAGUCCUGUCAUUGUUGGACUGUUGAGGAUGGAUCUUCUUCGCGUCACAUGAUAAUCAUGAGGGUGAAGGAAUUGGACCAACUAGUGGGAUUUGUGAUAGACAAUCUAGUCUUCGAUUUGGAUCGGAUUUGAUUUGAUUUGGUGAGAAGAUUGGGUCUAACCGAAGCCAUUUUGGUGGCCUCUUGGGCUGUUUUCCGUAGCUCAAGAGGGAGAACGAAGAAGAAAAUGAACAGUUAUUGAAUAACGUCUCUUUCGGUUUCUGAGGUUAAAUUAGCUAUUUUUCAAUUUGCCUCCCUUGAAAUUCUGAAACCUUACACUCAAGCCCAAAAUUGUCUUUAUCCUUGAGAAUGUUUUUAAUUUCACCCUUGGAGUUAUGCAAUUGGACCCUUGGAUCCCUGCGUUACUUACAAUCAGUUCCCAACACUUCUGCCAUUCCAAUGUCUUUCUUCCAUUUUGCCUUGAGAUUUCACUCCCACAAAAAUAGAUUCAAUAUUUAUCUAUCAAAACCAUAAUUCAAAUCAAUAAUCAAACAAGUUUUGAAAUGAAAAUGUGAAUUUGAUCAGUUAGUUAAUUAAAUACGUGAAUUGUAAUUUUGCCAAAGAAGUACAAGUGUAAAAAAGUUCUUCAUCAUUUACGUCAUCAGUUCUUUUACUUCUUCUGAUGAGAAGUCCCAGUCGCCUGCUGUCAUCGCCGCCUCCAUGGUGGUGGUUUGUAGCGGUGGGUGAUGGUGAGCAGGUUUUAUUACAAGAGGAACAAAAAAUGGCGUAGUGUUUUCUUAAAAUUAAAACGAGAGAAAUCGGAGGCCACCAUAAAAAAAAAUAUAUAGUUUAAAAAAAGAAAACGAGAGAACCGCUUGGUCUGUGAUUUUUUCCUUAAUGAUUAUUAUUCCGCAGGCCCACUAGUUUCGUCAAAGAAACCCAAAAAAAAAAAAAAAAAGCCCCACAAAUAGUAGUAGCCUUUAAAAAAAAAAAACCCACAGGAUUGCUUCAUAUCAAUCAAAAUUUAGUUCUUUUUGGAAUGAUCAUCAUGAUACAUCCUUAUAUUAAUUUAAUUAUUUUAAAAAAAAUAAAUUUUCUUGAAUGUGAUUAAGUCCGAAUUUUUUUGUGGAUAUAAAAAAAAAAUAGUUCGUUUUUAUUUCAAGCUUGGAUAUCUUUAUUUCAUAAUUUAAUCAUCUUUCCCGUUAUAUCGCAGAUAAAUUAAUUUCUCUGAACAUGAUAUAUUUUAAUCACCAAAAGAUAACCAUAAUGUUGCAAAGAGUCGUUGACAAAGUGCAUCCAUUAAGAGGAUUCUUGAUGUUCCAACCUUCUAUGCAUGUAUUUCAACAUAAAUUGCUGGGAAUUGAGCAUAUAUAUUGUGCUAUUGGUAUGAUCCUGAUUCUGCGAAGGGAACUGCUAGAUUGUUUCAGCUUGCAUGUUAUAACUUCAGUGACUGCCUGCUGCUUAUGUCAAGGUCAUUUCUCACUUACAAAUUAAAAUCUAAACGUUUUGAUUGUAUUAAGGUUCAUUUGUUCUGAAGUUAUCCUCUCAAAUCUCUUGAAUUUUGUUUUUCAAAGGAGGAAAUAUAUAUCUUAAACUUUGACUCACCCUUUCAGAUAGAUGAAAAAUGUCGGCAAUGUAAUUGCUAAAAUGUUGAUGAAAUAACUUUAAAUAUUAAUGAGUACUUUAAAUAUUAACUUUGAUCUAAAUUAAUCUUAAACUUUGAUUCACCCCUUUCACAUGCCCUGAUGGACCUUAAGUAUAUGCCAGCAGAAUUCAUGAAACAAUGCUAAUAGUGCAUGAUACUUCGUAAACAUAAAGUAACCUUGUGAGCAUCUUAUUGAUUACAUUUAGCUAGACAUAGUUGUUUUUUUCCCUGACAUUUUCAGUGGAUUACAGGCUUCUUAUUUAAUAUUCUCCAUACAAACUGGAGAGUAUCCUACACCACCAUUAUUCUGCAGAGAAAACAUUUUGGCACUCUUUAGCGGAGAUUGAUGUUAUAUUUGGGCUGUUUAUUUGGAAGAAAGAUCCCCCAAUGUUUCUCAAGUUCAGGGUUUUUGUAAGUCUCAUCAAACAUGGAAAAAAUAUACGUUUCUAUAGGCUUUCCAGGCUUCUUUGGGGUUCCUCUCUUCACAUGUUGAACUAAGUUGUUGUUAUAAAUUCUUGCAUUAUCAACCGAUGUUCCUGUCCCUCCAGCCGUUGGCCAACCACUCUCUGAUACCACGAUAUCCAGAGAACCUCCUCCAGAUUUCUCCAAAGCAGCGUAAACAGUGUCAAGAAUGGCAUCGAAGAGGUUUUGGUAAUUCAGUGGCGGGUCAGAGACUAGUGACGAUGGAGCUGUGAAAAGAGCAUAAUCAAGACGAAUGUCUUCUGAGUUACCGGUGUAACUUAAGUAUGGAUACAAGUUAACCAGUAAUGGAGCUUGGUUGUUCAGUAAAAAGCGAAUGAUCGGAUCCAGAAAUGGUCUGUGGUCUCCCCUGAAGGAGCCUUUUGAGGGAGGGGAGGAAUCAUCUUCUAUGACCCCAUUAUCAAUAGCGGUUGAAACUUUGAUAUUUCCUAGUCCAGCUGAAUAGAGUGCGUUGCGAAUGUUUUUCAUGGCAGGGACUAGAAACUGUGCAUAUGAAUCGAAUGGCCUCACCUCAUUUCCUACCGCAAUGUAUCGAAACCUGACGUUGCCAAAACUCCUUACAUUUCUUUGCACCCAUGCAUUCGCGUUGGUCUGACUGGAAGCAAUCCUUUGAAGAUCCGCGUUUGGAACACCUAGCAUGAGCUCGAUGUUGGUGCCUUGAAGAGCUCGUAGAGCAUCUUGGUUUGGAUCAUAGAGUCGCAUUCUGCGAAUGCCCCUCUGGCUGUAGAGUUCUAUGACUUCUUGUGCCGGUGGUAGGUUACCAUUCAUUCCAUAGCAAACACCUAUCUGAGCACCUGUACAAAAAAUACUGUGAUUAUUUAGGUAACCAUAGAUUCUAAGUUGACAGCUUUAGUAAAACUGUCAGAUAGCGUAAAAUGAACAUGAUUAUGAGUAUACCUGUUGCAUCUAGGCUAGCUAGGAGGAGCCCAAAGAGUAGCAUUAUGGAAACCAUGGAAGGGCUUCUGCCAGCUAUAUUUGAUCUAGCCAUGCUUAUGGAAUAAACUAUGAAAGAGAGAUUGCAACUAUGUUUUCCAAACUCCCUUUCUUACCUUCCUUUUUAUAGAGAAAAGGGAGCCCCACAUCAUCAACAAACUCCUAUUAAUUGAUAUAUUCUUUAAUAUAAAAAAUAUAUACUCCUAGGUCGACGACUUGCAUCUUGCUGUGGAUGGAUACAUAAGAAUUCUCCAAUCCAUAGUGCCAAAUUCAUUGAACUGUAAACUAACUACUGUGGAUCGAUGGAUAUUUUCUACAAAUUGGAAAUGCUAACUUGAACCAUUAAUGCACAUCUAAACAGCUUUUCGACUGGGACCUUAUCUAUACAUAGCUUUGAAAUGUCUUAAGAACUAUUAAUUAUCCUUUUCUGGCCGUCAGUUUCCUCUAAAAACCAGACAUUUUAGUCGCAUCCUGUACGGCCUAAAUUCUUCACAGCCACUCCAAGAUGUCUCACAUAUCUGCACCAUUUAAGAGCAUUUCUUAGGGCAAUUACUAAACGUUCAAGUUAAAAUUCAUGUGUAAACUUGACAAUUUUCUUCACUGCAAAACAUGCCAUUUUUUGUGGCUAGGCCGCACAAACACACGUACCCUAAUUAGAGUUUGCUUACUGGAAACUUAUUUUCACUUGGAUUAUUUUGUGUUGCCAAAUGAGAUGAUUCCUAUCCACAUUAGGGAUUCCAACUUGACUCGGAGGACAAAAAAUUGAAGGAAAAUGUCAUAAACCAACAAGAGUAUGGUAGUGCUGGUUUGUUUUUAUUUAGAAAAAGUUUUUUUUUCUUUUAUUAUUUGCUUUUUUUUUAGUCCUCAUACAAUCCUCUUUUUGUAAUUUUAGAUUAGACGAUUCAUUACGUCUCGACAACAUCUGCCUCUUACAGUACAAAAGAAUUAUCCCUUCCAAAAUCCCUCAAUGGUGUCAUAUUGCCUCUUCUGGCUGUAUAUAUAUAUAUAUAUAUAUAUAUAUAUAUAUAUAUAUAUAUAUAUAUAUAUAGAAAGUAUUUGGAAAUGUGGUUGUUAUUGUUUUUUAAAAUGUUUUUUAUUUAGAAAAGAAUGUUAAUAAUAUUUUUUUUAUUUAUUAAAAAUUAUUUUUAAGAUCAGCACAUCAAAAUGAUUUAAAAACAUCAAAAACAUAUUAAUUUAAAGUAAAAAAAAAUAAAAAAAUUUCAAAUUUUUUAAAAAAUGCUUUUGAAAAGCACUUCUAAACAGACAUAGAGUAAAUGGUUCCCUUGCAUGUAGGUGCGUUUCUUUAAUAUGAUUAUAAAUUAAAAAAAAAAAAAAAGCGUUGCCCCACAUCCAUAAAUUGCUAGUGAUUGUUGUGUAGUAAGAAAAUGGCACGUGUCUAAUACAGUAAGCAAAUUGCCUUCAAGGCAUGACCAUCCCAUGCAUAUGUUUGUUUGAAUUUCUCCAUUUUUAAAUAAAUAUUAUAUGGUUUUACGCAAUGACGGAGCUAGAAUAUUUUAAAUGAGGAACAAAUUAAUUAAUAAAUACUAUAUUAUAUAGAUAUACAUUAAAAAUAAAUUCAAAACAAAUAUACUAACUCAUAUAAAGCAAAAUUAAUUUAGAAACAUUUUUAAAAUGAAAAAACUUAUAUUAUAAUUAUUCUCUUUAAGUUUUCAUAAUAACAAAAUUCAAUUCAAUUAUAUAAUAAUUGUAAAUUUUUCAUAUUAAAUUCAUAAUAAACUACACAUUAAUUCAUCAAAACCCAUUUUACACCUCAUGUUAUACAUAACGCAUGGAUAUAGAUUAGGAUUGAUAGUUUAAAUUUAUCAUGAUAAAUCAUUUAAAAAAAAAAAAGUCUUUCCUUUUUUAAGAAAAAACCAACAUUUAAUUUUGCAAAUAUCAAUUUUUACUCACUAACAACAAUUGAAAUAUUUGCUUAUUUAUCUCGUGAAAAAAAUUAAUUUCAUACUAUAAUCAAUUUAAUUAGAAAUAAUAUAAUCUUUAAUUAAUUCAAAACAAUUAAAUCAAUUUUUAUUAUUAAAAAAAUAAUUUAAAACAAUCAAAAAAAAUUAAAGAGGCAAUUGUCCCUUUAAUAUCUUAGGGUGCUCCGCCACUAGUUUUACGUGUAUAUAUAUUCUAAAUGAUAAUAUGAUUUUAUCAAUUAAAGAAUGUAUAUUCACUUCAAGUUGCGAUGAGCAGAUGCUCGAGAACGAUACUGCCUUGGCAGUUUCGAUCCAUGCCAUAUUAUUGUGUGGAAAAACGAUCAAAACUUCGGCUCAGAAGAAAUCUUUUUAGGUCAAGCAAUCACUGAAUUUAACCUAUUGAACUCGGAAACAUGGCCCAUGGCGGCUAAGGUAAUGUUUUUUACUUAUAUGACAAGCACAGAUCAUGAUAGACUUGGGCUGUAUUGUUUUUAGUUUUAAAAAAUAAAAAUAAAUUAAAUAAUAUUAUUUUUUGAAAUAUUUACAAGACAAAAACACUUUAGCAAAGAAACACUUUGAAAUAUAAUUUCUAUACACACUAAAUAAGAGAAAUCAAUUGAAGACUCGAAAAAUCCGGUGUUAAAUUAACACAAGAAAUGAUUAAUUAAAAGAAAAUUGUUAUACAUUGGCGUACAGAAGUGGCCGGCAACAUUAAUGCUAGAUGCAGAUUUAUAUUAAAGAGAGCAAGCCAAGAGUGAUGAAUCGAGAAGCAUGUCUGAGAAAAUUACAUUAAUGUUUAUAACUAAUAAUAAUACAGCUUUGCAAUGGAAGAAUGAUUGAUCUUAAAUUAAAUUGCAAUCGAGUUCGUUGCAAUUACUUGACUAAUUCUCUUAAUACAGCACAUGAAAGCCAGAGAGGUACAAGCAUUGAUGAACAAGACAGACUUUGAGGGAAAGCUAGGCUUGCGUAAUCUUCCCUGAAUAACUUGUCAACCUCGUAUCGGAGAAAUGGUUUUCCUAUCGUUUACCAUCUCAUGUGCCCCAACUGGAAAAGAUCUUCUGUCAAUGCAUCAAUGCACAGUUAAUUUUAACACCUUCUUCAGGUCUCACAAAUAAAGCUCCAGUGCCACUGAUUAUUCAAUUUUUUAUGUGGCUAGUUUCCCAGUUUAUGCAGCUAGAAGCCGAUUUGGAGCCACUUCUGUUUCGAUUUUACCUGAUUCCUUUGAGCAAAUCAUUUGUCUCUCACGGUUCCAUCUUCCUCUGAAAUAUUUUUUCCCUUAAUUUUGCAACUAUUUGAUCAUGAACCCCUUCAUUUUCCAUUAAGUACUGUUCAGCUACACGUUCAUUGCGAAAUACCCUUCUGCCAAUGACAUAGCUGCUUCCUUCUUUCUUGAUGAGACUGUGCUCGCAAGCUAAUUCUAAGACCUCAGAUUCUGAGCAAAAGCCUCUCCCAAACUGUAUCUCAAGUUCAGCUUUCGUCAUAGCAGGAGCCAAUUUAUUUUUCACCACUUGUGCACACACCCCAAGACCGGUUAUCUGAAAAACAUAGCAUUAUUUAACAGAGCAAAACAGCAACAAGAACGUGAAAGACUUGAUCAAUCAGUUCAAGGAAACUAACAAUAAAAUUUUUUAUUAUUAACUAACACAAAAGCUUGAGAAUGAGGAAAAAUAUGAUAGAAGGUAAAUUGGAAAGGAAAAGAAGAGUGAAAUUUAAAGCAGGGAACACAGAUCAAUCAAGGUAAACAAGAUAAAGGACAAACAUGACGGAAAGUAUGGAAAUUCAUACAGAAUCCUAGACCAUUAUAAGCCAACAAUAUCUUAUUUGUCCAUCUACAAAUUUAUCACUUGUAUACAAAGCUUAGAAACUCCACCAGAUUUUCAAGCAAAUAUUAAAUAAAUAACCACAAUUAGGUACUUAUGCAAAGAACACAUCUCUGAGGAACAUGACACUGGAAUUUAUUCAGGUCACAUGUUAGCAAUGGCGCUAAAGAAUAUACCCUGUCCUCAGUCUUGAGCAGUCUUGUUCUGAUCAUUCUCAAACGCACAGCUGAAUAGAAUUUCAAGGCAUUUCCGCCACAAGUAACCUCUUCUGCACGCCCUGAUUUUAAACUUUUUCUAACCUGGAUAAAGACAACAAUAACAAUUGGUGAAUAUUAUUUUCCCCAUAAGUUACUGUUUACAGCAUCCGUACAGAAUAUUUGAAAUGUUUUAGCAGGAAGUCUAGAACUCAACCUGAUUAAGAAAAAUAAUGAGAGUUUGUGAUUGGCAUAAUGAAUAAUUGAUCUUUCGUAGUGCUUGGGUCAUUAAUCGUGAUUGUAUAUCUUCAAAGGUGCCUCCUACCACAGUAUCAAUCUCAUGUUGGGGGACAAGUGCAGCAACCUGUUAACAAAAGGCCUGGAACGGUAUCAAGAACGAUGACUGAGAUAAAAUAGAAAAGGACAAACAUAGAGAUCCACAAGUGCAAUUUAUAAGGGAUCAAAAAGCUACAACAAAAGGUUACAAUAACUUUUGAUAACAGGGCAAGGUCAUGGACACAAAGAUGUGUGUGUGGGAGUGUCGGCUUGAGAAUUAAUUACUUACACUAUCCACCACGAUAACAUCUACAGAACCACUUUUAGUCAGAGUAUCGACUACACUGAGCAAAUUUUCAGCACAAUCUGGAUGUGAAAUAAGAAGAUUUUCUGUGUUUAUGCCCAUUGAUUCAGGAAGUAAAGGGUCCAUUGCAUUCUCUACAUCAAGAUAUGCACAAUAUCCUGACAAAAAGACAUUAUAUGGCUCAGAUUUAAAUAGGAUAUAAUUAUUUUAACCACAUGGGCAGCAAAAGCAUCUCGAAAGGCCAAAUACAAGUAAAAGAACAUGACAAGAUCAAUAUAAUAAUAAGUAGAUAACUGAUUAAUAGAAAUAGAAAAUCUUCAAAUAUAUCUUACUGUUGGUAGCUUCUAGUGUAUAAAGAUGAAUUUUUUAGCACUAAGAAUUUUGCUAGCUUCUGGCGUAUGAUGGCUAAUAUACACAAUAAUGUUUUACUACUAAGCAGUUUAGCCUUUUUUAUUUGGCCAUCCUCUGUCACAACCAAAGAUAAUGAAGAAAAUUAUUUGCUUCUUUCUUGUCUAAUUUAAGAUAUAGGAGAUGGUGGUAACUAAACGCACAGGGUAAGAUCACUUAAGUGCAUACAUCUAUCCAUCCAUGUCUCAUUCCCUUUCUACAAUUAUAAACAUCUCUCUAUCCAUCUAUCCAUGUCUUUGGGUGUGGGUGUGGGUGUGGGUGUGUGGGUGCAUUUUACAUGCAGAGAUAAAAUAUAUCUAUCUAUUAAUGUACCUGGUUUGGGUUUAGGUGUGGGUGUAUAAUCAUAUAUCACACACAGAGAAACUAUAAAGUUAUUUACUUGGCAAAUGAGAAAAGUUUCAGGAACAAUGGUGCAACGGUGAGAAUUUUUCAGCAAAAGUUUUGGAAAAGGAAGAAAAAAGGAAUGUACAUUGACUGUAAAAUUCAAGUGAUUUGGCAUACUGUAGCAUCAACUAAUCUUUCUGACAAAACUAACAAGUUCAGUGUCAAAAACAACAAAGUUGACAGAAAAUGACAAAAACACUCCAAAGAAACAUGAAAACCUUCAUAGAUAAAGUUAAAAGCACAUUAUGAAAAUCCUACAACACGAACUAGAAACCAAUAUAAACCUAUACCCAAGUUAUCAAGUGUGCAUUUCCUUGCACAGUUGCAAGAAAAAAGAAAGUGGAAUCUAGUGAUAAAAAUGCUUUCCAUCCUGUAUAAAACCAAAAUAUAGAGUAGUUCUGCAGUUUCCUGAGCUGCUGGUAACAAAAGACAAGGAAAAAGGUUACUCUAUGUGUUCCUAAAGAGCCUUCCUGAAAAUGGAAAAUGCGCACAGAUCAUGACAAAAUACAGAUGAAAGGCUAAGCCUAGUGGAACAUAGGUGAUGAAUCUAGUGAUCAUUAACUAACCAGUAACAGGGAAGAAGUGGGUGAAAUGGAGAGAAAAAAAUGACUUGAUAUCAGGACAGUUAUUUUUCAUAACAAGGAUUAAUAACUGAAAUUGGCAAAUGAAACCUCAAGUCAUCAUAUCAGAGUGCCAAAACCUAUGAAUAUUUAGCAAGGAUUUUAUUAUGCAGUGCUCCAAUAAAAUUAAUCUAAGGUUUUGUAAUCCAUGUAAGGGGUCUGAUUUUCAAACUGCAACUAAUCAAUUAAAAAUCUAACCUGAUAUCCUUGUUAGGGUUAUGCAUGCUAACUUUCAUAAAAUGUAAAACAGAAAGCAUGACAAAUCUAGUAGCACAUACCUCCGAGUUUUUGAGCUUCCUUGAUAAUAUGAAGUGCAAGAGUUGUCUUGCCAGAAGCUUCUUUCCCAUAGAUUUCAACCAUUCUUCCCUGCAGAGUGCAAGGCAGAUUUCUAACCAAAGUUGUCUUGAGGAUUUUUCAAAAUUCAUGGCUCAACUAAAAUGUCUACGAUCAGAUCAGGUAGACAUUCAUCACAAAUCAAUUAAUAUACAAAUGCUAGAUUUGAAGCUUCACGUUAUCUUCACAACUGUAGUUGCUAUCCCAACAAUCACAAAGGCUCAGCAUUGAUAAGCAUGCCAUAAUUUAGUUCCUUAGCAAUCCAUCACCAUGGUCCCAAAAGCAAAUGACACAACAAAGGAAUAGAAUGAAUACACCUUAAUAGCAAUCCAAAGAAUAUAACGUGGAACAAACAUGGUAGACAAAACUGAAAACCUAAUUUAAACUAACAGCCACGUUUUAUAACCAAAUCACCUUCGGUAAUCCACCAAUGCCAAGUGCAAGAUCAAGCUUCAACGAGCCUGUUGAUAUUACAGGAGCCCUUCGUGAGUUGAAAAACCGCUGCAAUGACAACAUAGACUCUCUACCAAAUUCACCAGCUAGCUGUGUGAGAGCCAAACGAAGUGCAUUAUCUUUCUGUUUUGCUUCACCAUCAUCAUGGAGUUCAUCAGGUUCAAAAUCUGAAACUUCAUCGAGCAAUAAAAAAUCAUUCUUAAACUCACUAAUCAAACCCCAAAUCCCUCACUCAGCACCAAUCAAAUAGUAUCGCGCUCUUGCAUACAAUCCUGCAAGUGAAUUUACAGAAACUGAAAAUAGCAAAAAAGUGACUGAUUACCUACAGAAGAAAGACUAUGAUCAUUCCUUCCAGUAAAAGUGGUUGCGUUUCUUCCAUUCUGCCCAAAAAAAAAAAUUGUCACCAACAAAUAAAAAAAAAUAUGACAUUAUAAUAAAGUAGAUAAAACAGAAAACCAAAUGAAAAGGUACCAAAAACCCAGUUCAAAAACAUCUUCAAUUGGUGAAAGAAAGCAAGGACUUAAGAAUCCUUGAUAUUUAGCAAGAUCAUGAGCAUAUCGUGUAUAACACAUAAUGCUACAAGCUUAAAAAUUGAAAAUAGAGCUAAAGAGAAGAAAUAGGAAGAGAAGGAACCUGAUAUAGAGAAGGGAGGAGAGAGGAAAGUCGAAAUCUUGCGAAGGAAUUGAAACGAUGUGAUUGAAUUGAAAGUACCAUUUUCCCCCUUUGUUAGGGUUUUAGGUUUAUCAGUCUGUUGAUUUUGGGGUCUCAGAUUUUAACUAUUGCUUGCCAACUGUUGUUUCUGUAAAUUUAUUCCUUUCAUUUAUUUUAUUUAUAUAUAAAAAAAAAAAGAUAUGCAAUUUUUCAUUCCUAAAACCUUCUCAAUUAUAUUUUGCAAAGGGUCUUCUAUUUUAUUUUAUUUUUAAUUUUAUGUAAGGGUCUUUUAUUCUUUACUACUAUCAUAUAAGCCCAAGCUUUUAAUUAUUAUUAUAUAUAUAUAUAUUAUUAUGAGAUUGCCUUUUUUAUAUAUAUUGGUCUUAAAUAAGUCAUGUUUAUUGAUGAAAAAAAUAGCAUAUUUAGAAAGGAAAAGGAGGAACAAUGGGAAAUUUUAUUAUUUUUUGAACUGGAUUUCGUUUUCGAACAACGUAUUCAUUAAUAAUUGCGAGCUUCGGUUCUUCAAUUGGUUCCUCGGAACCGGAGCAAGUAACUUGUUCACUAUGAGGUGAUGUUUUGUAUAUCCUCGAAGAAAUUCAAUUGUUAGAUCUAUUGAUUGAUGCCAAUAGCAUUUAUUAUAACAAAACUAAAUAAAAUGAAAAUGAAAUAGUAGAUUAUAUUUCAUUGUGAAUUGGAAUAGUAGCUUUGCUUUUAAUUUUUUAUCUUUUCACAAGCAAAUGAAUAUUUUUUUUAUUUUCUUCCACAUGACAAUUAGGUUUUUCUAAUUUUCAAAUACAAGUAAAUAGCAUUUUUAGCUUUAGAAAAACAAAAAAAAAAGCUUUAUCUUUACAGGUAUUUUGAUAUUUUUACAUAGAUAUUUUAUGUAAUUAAAAGGAUCAUGAGGAGUGUUUUAGUAGUAUUUUCAUGUUGUGUUUUGUAUUUUUUAAUUAAAAAGCUGCUGGAGCGUGUUUCACAUGCCCCAGUAAGUGAGUGGCACCCGCGCCAUUAAAAAGGAGUGUGAGACACUUUUCGAUAACCAAAAUUUCUUAUCCAUUGUAUAACAAGAUGUGCAAUUAUGCCCUCUUCCACAUAAAGUGACGCUUAUAAACAUAUCAUGAUUGGAUUAUCAUUGAUGAUCGAUUAUUUGAGUUUUUUUUUUAUCUUUUCUCUCUCAUUACAACUAUAAUGCAUUAUUGUCCUUUCUUUGUUGUUGUUUGUUUGAGUCUAGCAUGGGUUGUCAUACCCAAAAACCUUGGGUCUGGCAACCUUGUGUGAUGUCAGACCUAGGUGAUUGAGUCUAAUAUUCAUGUCUGGCUCAAGUUUAGUUAGGUUUAGUAAUGUUUCAGACCCAUGUUACUUAAAUCUGACAAACAUGACUCCUUAAUAGUAUAGGUGCCACCCAUUAGCUGAAGAAGAAAAGAAGGCAAAAGAAAUUUCUCACAAAAAGAUAAAAUGUAAAAUUAAAAGUGAAACUACUCUUACAAUUUACAUUGAAAAACUUAUUAAUGUAUAAUGAUUUCACAACACUAUUUAGCUUUUAUUUUAAUAACUAUGUUACAGAGUACGAUAUUUAUUCUCUAAUAAAUUAAGAUAAUAUAAGUAUCUUCUCUUUUGGUGAAAUACAAGCCAAUUAAGAAAAAUUAAGGAAUCGUUUGAUAUUAUUUUAAUUUAAUGUUUUUUUUUAAUUUAAUAUUAUCUUCCUUUUCUUUUACCUUUGAUUUUGUUUUUAAUUUUAACUUUUUUAAAACAAAAGAGUUGUUUGAAUGGUUAAAGAAAAGAAAACCUAGUCUCAUCGUAUAUUCGAAUAAGAAGAACAAAUGUUCUUAACAAAGCUUAUCUUUUAUUUUAUCUCGACUUAAUUUUUAAUUAUAUUGAUCUUAACCGAUUCAAUAUUAAAUUAUUUUUUAUUUUGUCUCGACUCAAUCCUUAAAGUACGGUACUUACCUUUUAUUUUGAGCUAGUUUAGUAUUGUGAUGGUCAUUAAUUUUUAAAGUAUUUUUUAAUUUAAAAAUAUAUUAAAAUAAUAAUUUAAAAAAUGUUUUUGUAAAACAAAAAUAAAUGAUCUCUUAGCCAGAUCUUUAACAGGCCCGAUGCAAAACUUACUUGGCCCAUCCUAGGAACCCUCACCUUGGCUUUCAAACUCGAUCUUGGCUGACUCUUGGAUGUUUGGGACUUGAUCUACCCAAAUUCAAGAUGUACAAGACUCGAUCCUAGCCACCCAUCAUGUCCCUGAUUUAGUCCCAGCCUAAUCUUCAUGUCUUAGAUCAGGUCUCGGUCUGACACCCACAUGCUCUAGAUAUAGUCACAACCCCUACCUUAGAGCUCCAGACCUGAUUUUAACCCGAGUUCAACGAGCUAGGAUUUAGAUCUGUUUGUUUUUGCAUUUUAAAAAUAUUUUUAAAAAAAUUUAAAUUUUUUUAUUUUUUUCUUUACUUCAAAUUAAUAUAUAUUUUUUAGUUUUUUAGAUUAUUUUAAUGCACUGAUGUCAAAAAUGAAUUUUAAAAAAUUAAAAAAAUAUAUUAUUUUAAUACAUUUCUAAAUGAAAAACACUUUAAAAAGUAACCAUAACCACACUCUCAAACACACUUAGGAAGCGUUUGGGAACGCGGUUGAAACCGCGUUCCCACAAAAUUCUUUUUUUUUUUUACUAAAAUUUAAUACGGUUUGUACGUUUUGAUGUGCUGAUGUCAAAAAUGAUUUUUAAAAAAUAAAAAAAAAUCAUUGGCAUGUAUUUUAACACGAAAAGUUAUUAAAAAAGCAACCACUACCAUACUGCCAAACAUACUCUUAAUCGAGACCUAAUCCUUAAUUACUUUGGUCAAUCUUGAUCCCAAAAGCCUUGUAUAUAGCCCCAACCCAACCCUACCUUUUCUAACUCGAUCUAGAUAUAAGGAUGGCUUAAUUCAUAAAUUUUAGGUUAAUAGUGUAAAAAACAAGUUUUGGGAACUUUUAGAAACCUUUUUUUUUCAGUGAAAACAUGUCAAUUUUUAUUUAUUGAUAAACAAAAAAAAACAGAAAUUACAAGUGGAUGAUCUAAUUCGGUAACCCUACUAAGAGCCCCAUUUUAUUGUAGUAUAACAGAAAAUCUUCUCCAUUUGGAGGCGAUUGUCAUAACAGCAACGGAAUUGUAUUCGACAUGUUCUAAUGAAGGUAAAUUAUUUAUUUAGUCCCUAUAUUUUUAACAAAGUAAUUAGUUAGUUCUUCUAUUUGAAAAGUAAUUUAUCGUAUCAAUAAAUAAAAAUUAUCUAACUUUAUCGUAUCAAUGAACAAAUUCCUUGAAGUUGAUCUAGCUAGGUUUCACCUAGAUUUAGUCUGAUUAGCUAGAUCAUGAAUUAUCUUGUUAAAUUAUCUAAAUUUAAUCAAAUCAAUAUCCAUUCAAAAGAAACUAUACCAAAGCUAGAUUACAUAUCAGCAUGGUAGGUUAUCUCCUCCACGUAGCCCAAUAUACUUUCAGCGUUAAAAAAAAAAAAUCCAAGGAUUCAUUUUAAUCUGGCUGGCCAAUUUCCGAAGAAAAAAGACUUCUAUAAUAUUUUUAAAAUCUUUAAAGUUUCGUAUUAUAUCUUUUCCUCAAUUAUCAAAUAAUAAUAAUGUUAUUAUUAUUUUUUCUUCCUUCAAAAUUAUAUCUUCCUAAAGGAGCAACUAAACAAAAUCAAACAGCAAAAAUCAACAACGACAAAUUACUAAAGAUCUGUAGAAGCAAAUAAUCAAAUGGUUAAAGCAAUGAAGAGCUUCUAGCUAAGUUCUAUUGUUCAAGGUAAAGAAAUGAUAGCUCGGAAAAAAUGAUAGAAAUACAUAGGCACAAAGAAACGACAAAUUACCUUGACUACCUUAAUAGAAGAGCAUAUAUUAUUACAUUAAAUCUAGUAAAAAAAAACAACUAAAGAAAUGGACAGCAAAAUCUGUCAUCUCAUUAAGUACCACAACAUUUGAGAAAAAUAUGAAAAAACUGCAAUCAAAUUACUACUUGAAACACGGAUUAAUGCAUUGCCCCCAUUCCCCGUUUAUGGAUGAUAAAAUUACACUGAUAAUCAGUACAUUCAAGGGCCAAGUCAUCGCAAGGCUCACCACAUGCAUGGCACGCAGGGUAAUCGUCUGUUUUUUCAACCAAAGCGAGAGGGUGAGGGUGGAUGUCGUAUGUGUAACUGCCCCCUAGCUUGAUAAAUGGAUUUUUCCCAAGAACGCAUUCUCGAUGAGCAUCAAAGUCACAUUCUUCACAACGGUAGAACCAGAGCUUUGGGUCUCUUUCUUUUUCACAAAUUUGACAGACAUAUUGGUAGUCAUUUGGAUCAAUAUAGGUGAGGAAGAGAGGAUGUUCAUCAUACCUGUGUCUCGCUUUAUCUGGCAGAGUAGCACAUUUAAAAUCCAGGUUGAAGUCACAAACAACGCACCUGAAUGUUUGAGACUCUCCACUAACACUACAGCCACUGCAAUGACGAUUCUCACUCUCCACGGCAAGAUAAAGGGGAUGCUCAUGACCACCAUGUUCAAUGGAAUCUUUUGUUAAUUUGAAGCAUCGCACGUCGAGGAAGCGAUGGCAUCUAUCGCAGUUGUAGCUGAAUCCAUAACAAUAUUGCUCACAAAUAGCACACUGGAAUGGAUCUUCCUCCCAUGUGUUCAAGAUGAGUAUCAGAGGGUGUCUGUCAUACUGCCAAUUUUUUCCUAGGCAAUCCUAUGCAGGCUUUGUCUAGAGAGAAAUUACACUUAGUGCAACUAUAAAAUGGAGUAAAAAUUGGUAACAUGCACCCGUCACACUUUGGAUCAUUGUUAAACUCGUCAAUGAGGAUUAGGUUAUGUUGAUGACUGAAAUGUUUGAUCUCUGCAAUUAUUCUUUCGUCUCCAUGCUUGAUCUCACGGACAACAUCAAAGCUAGAUUCCUUGAAUUCAUCAUUCAUAGUUAUACUUCUCUCAUCUCCAUCGCUCUCUGUAUUAGAUAGACGAUAUUGUAUACCACAAAUCACAUGUGCAACAAAGUCGCAAUCUUGGCAAUAAUAAACUCCAUAAUCUGUGUCAACUCCAUCACGACAAAUUCCACAGUACUUGUUUCUAGAGUCACAUUGUUCAAGAUAAUAGGUGUGGAUUAUUCGAGGAUGCUGGUGAAUACGCAAUUUAAUGGAGCGAGGAAACGAGAUGCAAGUUUUGUGGACUAUGAGCUGACACAUGGUGCACACGAAAGGGGAGUCAUCUCCAUCAGUGCCACAGGCAUUGCAUGUGAAAGAGACGAUCUUCAACGGAAGCGACUUUGGUAGACAAAUAAAUUGAUGUUCCUGACCUUCAACUUCCAAAAGGCACGGUGGAAGAGCACAUUUGAUAUCAAGGUUAAAAUUACAGAAAGAACAACGGUAAACAAAACUCUUGCAGGUUUUGUUGCACAAAUCACACAUCCAUUUCCUGGUAUGAUGAGCUGGUGGAUUUGCUAAUAGAUGAAGAGGGUGUUGAGGGUGCAAGCACCGCUUGAUCUCCUGGGGUAGCUCAGUACACUUUUUGUGAAGAAAGAAGUUGCAAGAUGUGCAUCGAUAGCUAGGACCCGAUAUUGGUUCAUCGCACCCAGAGCACAUAACUCCUUCAACAUGGAAUUCUUGCUCUUCAUUCGAAAUCAAUGAAUGAUCUAUGUGAGCAAAUUGAUGUGCCUGACCAUCAACUUCAAAAAAACACUGUUGAAAAGCACAUUUGAUAUGAAGAUCAAAUCUGCAGACAGAACCAUGGUAAACGAAACUCUCGCAAGUUUUAUUGCACAAAUCACAAGAGCAUCCCAAGAUAUAAUGUGACGGUGGCUUUGCCAAUAGAUGAAGAGGGUGUUUAAAAUGAAUGUGCCGCUUGAUCUCACGGGGCAGCUCGGCACAUUUCUUAUGAAGAAAGAAGUAGCAGGAGGUGCAACUGUAGCAAGGACCCCAGAUUGGUUCGUCGCAUCCAGAGCAAAUAACUAGUUCACCACUAUAUUCUAGCACUUGAUUAAUCAAGAUCAAUGGAUGAACUGGUGGCUAAAAUGUUCAACCUCCAUUUCACUCUCUCUUGAGCAGGUACAGAGGAGACUUGAGAGUUAGGAGACCAAAUUCAGUUCAAUAAAGGUAAAGUCGCUGAAAUGCAUGAAAUUGGAAAAGCCAGUAAAAUUUUUUACCAGAAACUUGACUUUUUCACUGACGGCUAAGCAAAACCAAAUAGAGAGAAAUCCAUUUAGAUCGGAGCUUACAAAGGCAUCGAUCAACUGCUGAAGAUCCAUUUUUCUUACUUCUUGCUAUCAUUCGAAGGCUAUCUGAAACAGAGUCAAAAACAAAAUUCAUUCAAAAGACUCAAAAUUCAAAGAAUCCCAGAGGGAGAAGGAGGCGUGGUCUGUCACAAAAUAGAAGAAGGUAGGAAUGGGUAGAUGAUUAAUCGAUGCAUCGGAAAUCCAUAGGUGCCUCCAUUUGUGCUGAGGAGAGUGAGUAUCUGUGGAGGAGAAGAAGCCCAAAGGUUCGGUCGAAAUAACUUUGAAGCUCUCUACAUAAUUAGAAAGGCAGUUUAUUUGUACCAUUUUGGACUUUUCCUUUUAGAUAAAACUUAAAAAAAUAAAAUAAAAAUCAACGUUGUAGACAUGUUCGAUAUCAUUAAUUUUUUUUAGUUAUAUAAUAAUAAUAAUUAAAAUUGAUAUUCAUAAGAUUAAAAUUAUGUACGAAAAUGUGAUUUUAGCCCAUAUCCUCCUUUUCUUAUUACUGUAUUUUUUUUUCAUAAAAACUUAUUUUUUUUAUUAGUGGUGUGGUUAAUUGAGCAAAAACUAAAGGCAAUUGAAAUAAAUAUACAGAAAAUUGUAAUGAUUUGAAAUAUAGAGGAAAACAUAUAUCUUUAAAAUCAAAAUUUCAUUCCCUUAUUCAUCUGUUUUUUGUUUUAUAAAAAAAUAUAUCUUUUUUAUUAGAAAUAUUUUUUAAAUAAAAAAUUACAAUAAUCUUAAAAUCAAGUUUUAAUUAAAAAAAAUCAUGAAUUUAUAAUUGUGGCGUGAAUGCAUUACAAAAUAUAAGAAUAAUAAAAUUUAAAAAGUAUCAUAUAAAAAUCACAAUAAAAAAAUAAAUAUUUUAUUUGCAUUUAAUAUUCAUGAGUAAAUAUCUUUUGAAAUUAUACAUAUUAGAUUCAUAUGUAUUUAUUCAAAAAGAAAUUGUUAAAAAAUAGUAAUAUUAUUUAAAAAUAUUGAUAUAAUCAAAUAAUUAUUUAAAUAUUACUUAAAAAAAUUUAUUUAAAAUAAUAUUAUCAUCUGCAACUUUCUCUGGUCAACAGAAGUUGCACCAGUGAUUAAAAAACCAAAGUUCAAUUGCAACCACCUUUUACUAAAAAAACAUAAAAGCAACACUUGAACAUUGAAAACCUCGAUUAACCAUAAAAUACAUUUUAAUAAGAUUAAAAACUCAAAAUCAUUAACUUAAAAAACUUGUUGAAAAUAUUGAAUUCUGCUUUUAAAAAUAAAGCCAUAGACACAAUAUUAUUUGUAUAGUCACAUAGUGUCCUUCAAUCUCCUUAGCAUUUUCCAAUUCUUAAGCUCGAAAAUCUUCAGGGACGAGGUAUUGAAUAAGGAAAAAAAUAAUAAACAAAGAGUUGUUAGUCACAUAGUGUACAGUGUCUAUAUAUAUAUAUAUAUUGUCUUAUUUUACAUUAAAAAAAACCCCGAAUAGAUUAAGAUAUUAUAUUUAUAAACUACUCAAGUAAAUCCCCAUAAUAUUUUAUUAAAAAAAUAUUCGAAGCCAAUAUAUACAUAUUCUAAUGUAGUAACCUACUACUUAAUUUUCUCUAUAAAAUUCCAUAUAUCUUUGGUGAAACACUUUUCAUUUAUAUAAGAAUUGUUGGAAAAUUGGUUAUGAUAUGGAGUAUUAAUUUAUCAAAAUUAUGGAUGAAAGCAAAAUUGAUUCUGACCAGUUUCAUUGAAUCAUUUUAAAUUUAUUGAUUCUGUAAAUUCAAUGAAUUGUAAAAGAUUUAAUUUUGCAUCUCUGCCCUUAGGUAUAAAUAGAGGUGGAAAGAGUUCAUUUUAUAUAUAUAUAUGACUCUCCUUUCUUUGCUCUUAUGCUCAACUUCCUAUAGUUUUAGGUUCUCUUAUUUUAAAGAAUUUUUUUUUGUAAUGUUUCGAGUUCAUAAGCCUUGAUUGGAAGUGUAUUUUUUAAAAGUGCUGUUGAAAUUUUAAUAGAUUAAAUACACUUAGAUUGUUUGUAUCAAUUGAUGAACAAUUUAACUUUAAUAACAAAUAAUAUAAUCCUUGAUAAUAAUUUUCUUUCUUGCAUUAUUCUGAUCUGAAAUUCUGCAAAUAAUUUUUAUUUGAUAUAUUAUUCUGCAAAUAUAUAAUUAGUUUUGCUAAACAAUUUCGAACAUUAAUAAGCUGAUUAGGGAAUAAGAAAAUCAGCUAAGGGAAAUGUACUAAACAUAACACAAUUAAAAAAAAAAUUACACGGUGAAUAAUUAUAAAAAACAUUAAAAAAUUCAUGGUGAAAACAUUGUUUAUAUGAAUUGAGAACCACUUUAAUUAUUAUUUUUUUCAUUUCUAACCUUGUUUUUGCUUUCCAUUUAACUAUUUUAAUUUGGUUUCACAAAAUAAUGUUCAUUCUAUAAAAUGAUAUUUGAAAUUAUGUGAAAAAAUUAUAUAAAUACAACAUAAAAAAAGAACACAAUCUAUUGUGUGUUGCAAUAAUUAUCCAUAAUAUUUUAUUUUUUUUUAGUUUAUUUUUUCUCACUUGAUUUUUUUUUAUUUUCAGUUUAAUCAUUUUCUUUUAAGUUAACUUGGAAUUAGGCUUGUUUUAUUUCAGUAGAUUUUAUAAGGAGCUAUUGCGAUGUUAAAAUUAAGUUUUAAUAUUGAAUUAAUGGUCAAUUUGUCUAAAAUAAAAUUUUAUUUUAUUAAUUUAAACCAAUUAAAAUUUUUAAAAUUUAAUGUCAAACUUAAACAAAUAUUCAACCUCUUUUUUAAGAGAAUAUUUUUUUUUCAAUAUUUAAAUUGAAUCAACAAAUCUUUUAUUAUUUAUUAACGCAUUAAUUUCUCAAUUUAUUUUAUAGAGCACAUAUAUAAUUUUUAGUUUGGAGUUAAAAUUUUUCUAAUACGGUAAAAGCACCGUUAACAAAGUGUUCACUUUUUUUGCAUUGAAAAAACAAAGUUACAUCUCACAGCGUAGCGGAGAAUCAAGCUAAGUAUUCUAAUGAUAAAAAUGAGGCAAGAACUCCUUAAGAAAUUUGAUAGUUAGGAAACUCCUAGGGUCUGCUAGCUGAAAAUUGUGAGCCCUUGUUAUAUACUCUGUUUUCUUCACCCACCAAGCACUGGAUUGUCUAAUGUUGUCAGCUAAUGCUGUGAAUGUGCCGGCUGAAUAUGGAAACUUUUGGUUUUUAUCUCUUCGGUAUGUAGGGAAUUUCCAGACGGUCAUCUUUCUGUCACUAUUCUGUUGCUUUCUUUACUCAGAUCCUUCUUGUCAAUUAAUUCAAUAUGGAAGAUAAUCAUUGACCAUCAACAGUUUUUUGGAGUAUUAGCGGAUUCCCCGAGAUAAAGGCUGUCCCAUAAACAUUCAAUUGGUUGAAGCUUUUCAAACUACUCUCUACAAUUCUAAGACCACCUAACAAAAGGAGAGCAAAAAUUCUGAGGGCUGAGAGAAGAAUUGAAGAUUUGUUAGUGAAGACGAGGAUGGAAGUUGCAGAGGAACAUACCCUUCACCAUUUUAGUCAUCAACAUCCUUUGGGGCGUCCCAUAGCGCCUUCCACCGGAAACAUUACCUGUGAUGGAUGCAGCCUCCGAAUAUUGCCUGGAAAGGACUACUAUAACUGCAAAACCUGCUCAUUUUUUCUUCACCGCGUAUGUUCCAAUAUGCCAAGAAAAACCCGACACCCUGCACAUCCAGAUCACUAUCUAACCCUUUUGGUUUCACCUCCAUUGGACAAUAGCAACUUCAAGUGUGCGGCUUGUGGAGAUCACAUCACUGGUUUCUGCUACAAUGUUACCGAGUCUAACAUUUACUAUCAUAUCUUAUGCUCAGUACUGCCUAUCUCGGUUAUCACCUCUUCCCAUCCUCACGCUCUCAAAAUAGAAUUUUCACCUCCAUAUGACUUCAGUUGCGAUCUAUGCAAGAAUCCAAGUUGUAAGGGUUGGUUGUAUAGGUGUAGCUUUUGCGAGUUUGAUACGCAUAUUGCUUGUGUCAUUUCCAAUAAAAAAGCAGAACCUGUGCCGCUGCUUGAUACUUUAACAAGGCAGAUCAUGGACGCCGACCGAAAGAUAGAUUAUGGAAGCCAGAGUAAUGAACUAAAGGGACCGAGCGAUUUGGUUUGACUCAUUUAGAACCAUUCUUGCCUAACAUUCCUCCAAGUCCACAAGACCGAUCUCGACAUCAGGAUCCAUCAACCCAAGUUUCUGAAGACAUGACAGUCGCAAGUUAUCAGUUCAGUGAGAUGUGUUUUUCAAUAGAUUUGCUCAAGUCUUAUCCUAGUGCUGAUCACCACCCAUAUUCUACAAAUAUGGAAGCCAGUUAUAUAAAAGAUGUUCCUAAAGUUGAAGCAAAGAUCAAGUCAGACAAUGUGGCAAUGCCACAAGGAGUCCAACAACACCGUUAUCCUAACAUGCCAGUGACCAAUCCCCUUUAUAGAGGUCCGAAUAACUGGUAUAAUGAAGCAUUCUUAGGCCAAACUGGGGAACAGAUAAUAGCUACUGGAUACGAGAGCAGGGCAGGCAUUAAAGAUCAGAGACCUAAAUCAAAAGCAUGUUUUUCUUUGGGGUCGGAGUGGCUUUCAAUCAAGAGCUUGUACUUGAGAUCUGUCGGAUAAUGUUAUGCAAAAUCAUCCUUGAAGUAAUUUAACAAAUAAAACAAGGUGUGUGAUGUUAAGAAAUCCAUGGAACUUCAUUUUUCUUUUUCUUUUUUUGAGCCUCCAAAGAAUGAAGAUGGCGAUGAACUACAGUAACUAGUUGUCUUUGCAGAGUUCUUCUCCUGUGUCUUCUUGCCCUUCUGAGGAGAUAUAGGUUCGUUGACGAAGAACAAAUCCUGAAAGGAACUUCCAUCUGUCAAUUCUAUACUUCUUUGAAAUGACAUGGCAUAGUUGGUGGUGAUUUUACUUUGUUUAUUUCGGAAACUGACUUGGAUAAGAAAACGACAGAGAACAAAGUCGAACGUAAGAUAAUUAACACAAUCAGGCCAUGGACGGCAUGAUUAAGAUAUUAUAGGUAGUAGUUAUACAAAACUACUUUGGGAUGAUGAAAACUGCCAACUACUUUUAAAGUGAUUGUUUAUGACGUUUUAUACUAUAAUUACAUUUGGCUUUUGCAGUGGUGACAGGUUAGCACUCUGUCUGUAAGGCUAGCCAGCGUGUGCAUUAGCCUCCAUUGGCUGCCAUAUGACGACAAGAGGGAAAUAAUUGUAAAAGGAAACAUCUUUCGGUUUCAUCAAUGAUUGCACGUACCUCCCGAUAUGAUUUCGGAUUAAUUUACUCGAGGCAUUGAUUUUACCUAAUCACUACAUGAAAUUGAUCAAAUGCGAGGUUCAAUUUAGCUAACACAAAAUGUUCGAUUAUUUUUUUCCUGCAAUAGUCUGAGCAUCAGAAUUGGCAGAUUCUUAGCUUUUCCGAAUCUCUACGUUAGAGGAUCACUUCAGCUGUCGCAAUACUUGUACAUGUUCUGUUCCAAGCCACUGCCGCAAUCAUUGUCGCUCCUGUAACUUUGAUGCUCAUUUAAAACUCUGAUGUAGCAAAUAUCCAGUCUAACUUGAUUCAGGAAUCCAACAGAAAUCUCAGCAGCAGCGCAGCACACCAACUGAUUAAGCCUAUAAUGUCCGUAGCUCCAUUUUUCUAAACUAAUAAAUCAUCAAACGAAUUGGGUUCUAACAAUUCUAUUGGAAUUAAUUAGCUGUAUAUCUUGUAAUUAGGAGAAUUAUUCUCCAUUCCAUAACUAUAGGAAAUCUCAUAAUUAUAGGAGAUUGUAAUCUUCUGUUUUUCCUAAACAGUACCAAUACCUUUGAUAUAAAUAGCCUCCAAUAGAAUAUGGUAUUAGAAUAUUGUUCAAUUCUAAAGAACAUGAAUCUCAAAAGAAUCCCGAAUCAAAAAACUUGUUUCUCGAAUCCAAACUCUCACCAAGAAUUUGUUGCACACUCAAAUCUUCAAAUUUCCUAACUAAUAUCCAACAGUAGCAGCUUGCAACUGAUCAACGAGCAACACCAACAACAGACUUUUUGUGCUCUAAUGAAAGACAGAACCAUCACUCAACCUGUAACAGUUUCUCAGCUACAACAGAUCAUCCAUAUCAUUAUACGAACUAGACUUAAGCUGACAUUGCCCCUUUCUUAACUAAUGGGAUGAUUCUCAAUGAUAAUUACUAUCAGAUUUAGGCUUCAGCCAUGAAAUUAUGUAUUGGUGCUAGCGGAAAGGUCGGUUAUCUCAUUGGAGCAAAGGCACAUCCAGCACUAAAAGAUCUUAAAUUCAAGAACAGAAACUAGGCCAUGAGGAAUGACAUCAUUAAGAGUCGGUUUAUUGACUCUAUGAUUCCUAAGUUAGCGAAUCGAUAUAUUGUUCUUCCUGCUGCCAAGGAUGGAUGGGGUGCAGUCUUGGCAACAUACUAUGGCAGUUCGGAUAAAAUCAAAUUUUUUGAACUAAUCAAAUCGUCAAUUCUUAUUGGCAAGUCAGAAUUGAUUUUCCCUCUCGACCUACUACAAUGCACUUGUCACUAUGAUUCGGGAAAUUGACAACGAGACUCCACCGAUAGCAGGCAUGGCUGCUGGUGUAAAACAACUGCAUGCUGCAAUUGCAUAAAUGUUUCUUAGUGGACUAGAUCUAGUCUUUGACCAAGCACACGACAAAAUGUUGAAUAAGGAGCCAUAUCUUAAGAAUAAUAAUAAUAAUAAUAUUUUAGGUUGAUAUGAUUUUUUAGCAUUAUUUAUCAAGUAGUAAAUUUCAUUAUUUUUAUUUUAUUUGAUAAAUUUAUGUAUAAAGUAAUGAUUCAAAUAAUUUUCACUUAAAAAAACAUAUUAAAAAUAAUAAAAAUCAUAUCUUAUAACUUCACUUAAUAAUUUAAAUUCAAAUUUCAUUAAAUAAAGUUAAAGCAUGCAUCUGAAACGUGAAAUUUGAGACAAGAGCAGACAUAAACACCUUUGACAAUUGGUUUUUAUAUAUCCCAUCUAGGUAUUAUUGUAAGGCAAGUGUUUUUUCUUUGUAUUCUUUGAAUAGUACAUGGGUCAUUUAUAAUCAUCACCACAAUAUAUUAACUAUAUUGCCAAUGGCAACGGCUCUCUGAGUCCAUUGUUUUAUCUAACAAACUUAUUUUGGAUAUUACUCUAGCUGUCUGAUCAUUCCUUUCUCAUAAUUUAUUUUUAAAAAGUUGAAUCACCAUAAUCCUAGCAUUUAUUGUUAUUUUUUGGCCUUUUUUAUGUUUUUUAAGACAUUCUGAUGAGACAAGCUCAUGGUUAUAGUGUUAGAAAGUCAAGAGAAAGGUUGUGAAGAAAAUACCUAGAAUGAUGGAGAAGAUUUUAAGGAAUUGAAGCAAUUGAAGAAUAAUUAAAUUAGGAAAUAACCAGAAUGAUGGAGAAGAUUUUUCAAGUUAAUAAAGGUAUUUGUCUAUAAACAAAACAACUCUAAAUACACUUUAUUCAUCAAACACAAGGCAUGAAGAACAACAAUAAUGAUAGUAUAUGUGGAUGGUAUGUUAUAUACGCAACAAUAAGGAUAUUUGUCGAGCGAAAUUGAAAUGAAGGUACUAGGUUAACUAAAGUACCUCUUAGGAGUUGAGGUUGCAAGAUCCAAAAAAGGAAUCUUUUUGUCUCAAUGAAAAUAAGUUUUAAUUGGAAUCUUCUAACAAAAACAAGAAUGGUGGCCUGUAAACUAGCUAAAAUACUUAUAUAGAUGAAUCACAAAUUAAACUAGGAAAGUACCAAGAUUAUAUUCUAACAAACAAAGGUAGUUAUUAACAUUUAGUUGGCAGAUUAAUUUAUUAGGCAUAUACAUAAUUAUAUUUUAAGUGUGGUAAGUUAAUUCAUGCAUAUGCCAGGUGAAAAAUAUAUAAAAGUUAUUUAUAUGAUAUGGAUAUACUUAAAAAAUAUUCUUAAUAGAUAUUUGUUAUUUAUAAAAAAAAUAAUGUGUAAAGUAGAAAAGAUAUGUAGAUGCUGAAUGGACAGGAGAAUAUGAGACAGGUAAAAGAUCUACCUCUAACUACUUAUAUUUGUUGGGGAGAGCCUAUUGACAUGGAGGAGUAAAAAGCAAUAUGUUGUCGUGAGAUCUAGUGCUUAAACAGAAUUCUAAGGUAUGGCUUAUGAUGUAUGUGAAUUACUAUGGAUAAAAGGAUGUUUUGGAAGACUUGAGAAACAAGAACAGAAAACUGAUGAAUUUAGAUUGUGACAACAAGAUUGCAAUUGAGAUAGCACAUGAUUCAGUCCAAGAUAUUUUCACUAUGCAUGUGAAGGUUAACCAUCACUUCAUCAAAGAAAAUCUAAUCAAAAGAUUAUUAAUGUUUUUGUUCAUUCAAUCAAAGUAUUAGUUAGAAGAUAUACUCUUCAAAAUAAUCUCAAGAAAUAUUUUAACACCUCAAUUAACAAGUUGGGAAUGAUUUAUAUCUAUGAUCCAAACUUGAGAGGAUUACAUGAUGAUCCAUGAUUUCAGGAGAUUACAACUUGUUGGAAUGAGUUGUAUAUUUUGUAAUAAAGGAGAAUUAUUCUCCUUUCCAUAACUAUAGUCUAUAGGAAAUAAUACAUAUAAUUAUCUUUUGUAUAAAUAGCCUCCUAUAGGAAAAUAAUAAAAUAUUUCUUCCUUUGAAAAAACUUUUAUAUAUAUAUAUAUAUAUAUAUAUACAUACUAGUUCAGCUUUUACCUAUCAGCCAAAUGAGUGGCUACGCAUCAGGUAUGGCAAUUAUCUUGAAUGAGUCCAGUUUCUAAACAUUAAACCGUAGGGGCAACCUUUUGCUGGGGUUUAUGGGAAGAUGAUUAUGGAUGGCUUUACUGAACAAGCAGGACAGACUCUGCUGGAAGCAUCUUGAGAGGAUUAUGGCUCCAUUAAGCUAUCCAUUAGCAACUUAUCAGGAGUGAGAUUACUGACCUCUCAUUAACCUCAAGAUUGAUAGCCCGCUAUUGUCGUCUAUGAUUAUCACACGGUCAUAUCCUCGCCAUUGCCAUUACCAUUUUCAUAACUGAAAUGAGACACUGCCUGCUAAAUAUAAAUGAAUUUCUCCUCCCCAUAAUUUCAUCUGUCAAGGAAUUAAAAAGCCGAAAGGAAAUUCUCAAGUUACAUUGAUGCUUUGGCAAGUCUAAUUAAUGUAGGAUGUUUGGAUUCAAAAUCCUUUAAAAAAUAGUCAGAGCAUGAAAGUAACUAAGCACAAAGGAAUAGUCGCUCUUCGCAUUCAUAAAUUGACUUGCACAAGCAUGAGGCUGGUCCCCACUGCAAACGUUUCUAUUUUGUGUUAAUGUGCUACCUCCCAAGUCUUCAAUCCACAUUUUCCAUUUCUGCAGCUAUGCCCUACGUUAUUUUGAUCCCCUCGUGACUGCAUUGAAUAAUAAUCAGAAGCAGCUGCAUGCUAGCGAAUUUCCUGUCACAGUUUUUUAGUAUUUUGUCAUAAAUUGACAGCAGUGCAUGCAGUAUGAUUAUUGUUCCUUCAUCUAGAAACUUGACAAGUAAAGCUUUGAACACAGCUGGUGCAAGUACCACUACAGCACAGUUGUCUUUUAAAAUGAAGAACUUUAACGACUUAUGCAAAUGCCACUAGGAAUUCUAUCAGCAGUCUGACGACUGCCUUUUAUUCUGCCUAAGCAUAAUUGACCAAUGAUCACUGCAGGCAGAACAGUCAGUGGAGAAGCCGGUCACGUUAACCUUUUUCCCUUGCAAAAUGAGCACAAAUACAAUAAGAAGGGGAAAAAUGAAGUAAAACCAUAUAAAGUGUACGUAUUCUUAGGUUAGCUCAUAACCUAACUUCCUGUAUCACUAUUCUAGGUAGAAAAAAAAAAAUCCUUUAAUUUGAUAUAUGUGCUUAAGUUGAUACAUAAUCAUCCAACACAAUCUUCCUUAAAGAGAAUCUAAUCUUAUCAACUUGCCCCCAAAUGCGAUUCACCAUAGGAACUGCAGUAAUUAAUGGAAUCCAACGAGAACAAAAGGCAAAAUGGAGUAUCAACUUUGUUGAAUUACGGCCGACAAAUGAUGUGCUUAUUGCUCCAAAUUGUAACAGUGCAUGCACUAAUUAUUUAUAGUACAAUUCAUGUGUGUGUGUGUGUUAUAAUGAGAUUAGGUCACCAUGAUUAGACCAUAACCCAAAUUUAUCUUGCCGGAAACGAUUGCUUAUAUAUCUCCAUGAGUGGCAUGAUUUCAUAAUAUAAAGUCAAAAUCAAUGAGAAUUUGAAGACAAUUCAUCUUUCUCUUCUGAUAUUUAAGGGGUGGAGAUCAUCAGAAAUGAAAUAUAAUGCAAUUGCUUUCUACACUAGCAGCAAUGGCUUUUGCUUCCAAUGUUGCUUUCUUGACAAAGAACAUUCCCUUUUAAUCCAAAAUAAUUAGAAAAUGUUAUCAUCUAUAGAAUUGCUCAAGCUAGUCUCCAACUUUAUCUCUGAUUAUCAAUGUUUUUUCUUCUUUAAGAGGUCUUCUAGUCUCAAACUAUACAAUAAGUUAAUUCUCUCUAACAUCUAAGUCCUUACUACAUCCCUUCUAAUGCUUGAAUAUGAAACAUUUUGAUUAAAAUUCCAAGUUUUAACUGUUAGAACUUCUACUUGCAAGAGAUUAUCAACAUCAUUGUUAGCUACUAAUUAAAUUUUAUCAUUAUAAAUUGUAGCAUUUUCUGUUGUUUUUAAAUUCAUACUAUCCAGUCCCUGUACAUGGGCCAAUGACUAAUUGAUUAUGACAUGCACCCCUAUAUAAGAUCCAAAAAUAAGGUAAAUUUUUCGUAAUGUAUGUUUCUUUCGUACGCACGCUAGACUUGCUUUUAAUUGGCUGGAAAUUCUUCACAAAAAAAAGUCACGUAGAAUAAGUAUAAGCUAGAAAUUUUAUAAUAUUCAAAUUAAGUUAUUGGAUAUUUACAAUAUAAAAAUAUAUAGAUAUAUAUAUAUAUAAAGAGAAAAAAUAAUCAUAUUUGAUAUUACUAAAAACGAUUCGUAGUAAUUACAGUUUGAGCAGUAUAAGAUUUCUCAGCAUAUUGCAUCAUAACGAAUUGUUAUUAAAUUUUUAUACCUUUGUUUUAGAAAAUUAAAUUUCCUCAUUGCUUUCCUUUAUGCCAGUUUUAACAAGAAUUUUUAAACUCUACCAGGUGGACUUGGGACACUGGUUUUGAUCAAAUCAUUCCGGACUUACUUUAAUUUUUUUAUAAAUUAAAAAGAAGUUUUUAUUAAAAAUAAAUAAAUAAAUAACGGGUUUCAACCGGGUCUUUCCAGUUUAAUUGGAUCACCGAGUCGACUUGGGUUUUUUACCAAGUUACUUCUGUUUUUUUCUUUUUUAAUUUUUUGAAACCCCAACCUAGUUUCAACCCCUUAUCGGCUUGGUCCUGGAUCAACCCGUCGGGUUUUAAAAUUAUAAUUUUCACUACUACAUUACAGUAUCAUUUGGGAGUAUAAUGAUUUUUGUUUUUAUGCUUUUUAAAAAAUACAUUUACCUUGAACAGUAUCAAAUUGAUUUUUUUCGUGUGUUUUUAUAAUUUUAAUAUACUAAUAUAAAAAAUAUUUUAAUAUAUUUUCAAGUAAAAAACAUUCUUCAAUGUAAUAUCAAACAUUUACUACAUCUCCCCCGAAUUUGAUCCAAUCAAAUUCAAAUUAUUUCUACACUCGUAACUUCACAUUCAUGUAGAAAAUGCAUCAAUACAAGUAUGGAUAUCUUAGUUAAAAUUCAAAAAGAAAACAUCCAAAAACCAAAUAUAUAUAUAUAUAUAUAUAUAUAUAUAUAUAUAUAUAUAACCGUUAAAAAAGAGAUGAGCAUGACAAAUAACCCGUUUAGUAUUGUGAUAAUGGUUGUUUUUUAAAUUAUUUUUUUCAUGAAACAUCGAAAUAUUUUUUUAUUUUUUAACAUUUAUUUUUUAUAUAAACAUAUUAAAAUAAUCUGAAAAAAAAAUUAAUUUGAAAUAAUUAAAAAAAUCAAUAUUUUUAAAAAAAAUUAUGAAACAUAAAAAUAAACAUAUUCACAUUAAAAUCACCUGUUUUUUUUAAUAUCCAAUGAGCUGGGCCUGUCUAGGUCAGAUGUGGGCUAAGGUGGGCUAACGUUUGAGAUGCAUAGUGGUUGAAGCUUUUCUCUUUCCUAGCUGUCAAAUCCUGUCCUCCAAAUUGCCGGGUUGUGCCUUAUUACGUAAAGGCUAAAAAUCUCUAGAUAUUUAAGUUUUUUAUCAUAUACUCUGCUUCUAUUAUAUUUUGGCCCACAAUAACCUUUCUAUUUGCAAUUUUGGUAUAUUUUGAACCCUAUAUAUGUCUAUCUUUGUUAGCGCCGGAAUAAGUAUAUGGCGUUGAUUGCGUCACGUGAAUGAUUAACUGAGAAUAUAAAUAAAAAGAUAAAGCGAUGCAUUCAUUGAAAAAAAUAAAAUAAAAAAGACCACGAACUCAUCUUUGCAAACAAAACAAAAAAAUCAUUAUUUUCCUCCACUUUCCUAAGAACCAAACAAACGAAUGAAGGAAUAAAGAACUAGUUUUCCCUUCACUCUCUCGAUACCUAAACACAGACAAACAUAAAUAAAUUAUGCUCCAAUGGAAAUCAAGAUCUACAACUCAAAACACCAUCCAAUCGGAAUUCAAACCAAAAUUAUGAUCCCAACCAUAGACUUUCUUUCUCUUUCUCUUCUUCCGUUCCGUUCUUGGCUUGGAUGGACCCUGAUGAUAAUGAUGUAGAGAGCUGGAUCGCUCUUUACAGAAGCCUAAGAACGAGCCACAGAAUUUAAUUUACGUUCCAUCAAAUGCCUUGUGGGGUUCUUCGACGUGUCAUUUUCCUCCAUUGAAGAACACAAUUAUAGCUUUGUUAUAUCUAUAUAUUGCCAUGUGACUUGCUGUGAAUUGUCCAUAUUAAAUACGUAUUUCUUGUGUCUUUGAAUGGGAAGGAAUGAUUUCGGACUUGGCCACUCUCCCAAGAGAAAAAUAAAAAAUAAAAAGAUUACUCUCUAUCUGUUCUUGUGAUUUGAUUUUGUAUGUGAAUUUCUUUUUGUAUUUUUUGUUCUUUCUUUUGUUAUUUAUCAUAAACUUUUUUUUAGAUUGUUUUGAUAUGUUGAUAACAAAAAUAAAUUUUAAAAAAUAAAUUAAAAAUAAUUUAAUAUAUUUUCAAAUAAAAAAACAUUUUAAAUAAUAAAUUCUAUCACAUUUUCAAAAAAUCCCUGAAAAUAAAAAUAAAGAUGAUUGUGACUUCCAAACAAUAAUGAGAUGGACAGAGAAGGCUAUUUUAAUUAUUGUUUUUUUGCUGGAGACGAACACCAAAUGGAGAAAAAGGAAAAGGAAAACCUUCUGCUUCCGAUGACUAAAGUCCCUGCUUAAACAUGAUUUUUUUUUUCUAGGAUUUUAUUCAAGCGUUUUUUUAUAUCUUAGAUAAAAAAAAUAAAAAAAAAACAAAAAAAAAACCAAAGAUAUUAGACGCAAUUAGAUCCAUGACCCUUCUUUUCGUCCGAGAAGAUGAUAUAUCUCUUAGGCCGAGCCCCUCAUAAUGACUUAUAUAAGGCCCAGGAAAAACCGGAUGGGGGAUUCUAAUAUAAAAAGAGUAGUAUAAUGUUACUGAUGAAGAAUACACCUUUUAAAAAAAAAAAAAAAAAGGGAUGCACAGCAGAACAUCUAUUGAUAUUAGAAAAAAAAUGUAAGUAAGAAAACCAAGCAAAAACUAAAUGUUGUUUAAUUAAAAAAAUUAACAUAAGAUUUUUUUCUGAUUCAUCCAUAUUAAUUCAUUUGAGUUAAAAUUAAAUGUCAACCAGUGAAGGGAUGUGUAUAUAUAAAGUUAAAAAAGGAUUAGGAGAUUGUUCUUAUGAGACCCAACUUGUCUAGCCUUUCCCUCUUUUCCAACCGAAAAGGCAAAUAACAUGAUUUUUUCUUUUUAAUUUUAAUACAAAUUAAGGUAGAUAACAUGUUGUUUGUUAAGGCAGAUGACAAGUUAUUUACCAACUUAGUUUCUAACUAUUGGAGAGGAGGUUAGAAAAUUAGGUUGGGUAUAUGAUGAAAAAUCAUUUUAAAACCUAUUUUCACUUAGAAAUAUUUAAAAACAUCCUUAUCAUGUCAAUAAACCAAUAAAUCAACUCAAAACAUCCCAAAAAUCAUAUAAAAUAAAAAAUCAAACAAAAAACAAAAUUCUCUCUUAAGCCCAAUCUCAUUUUUUCCAACAAUAUGAAAAGAAAAGCAUCUUAAUGAAACUUUUGUUGUUGAAUGAAACUCGUUAACAUUAAGAAUGAUUUUUUUCGUAGUUGAAAUAUAAUUAACCAAUAACUUUAUCUUUUCUUUGCCAUUUUCUAGCAACUCUCUUUCUUUUUAUUGAAAAAUAAAAAAAAAUGUUUUGAAUCAAAACAAAACUUUCAAAAAUUAUUAGGACUCCAGUAGAGUAGAAGAGGAGAAAAAUAGAUGGCAAAAAUAGAACUUUUUGUGGGAAUUCUAGUGCAGCCAUAUUAUUUUGAUGUGUUUAACAUUUUGGUCUUCUUUGUUUUAAUUGUACCUGGUAACAACAAAUUAUAAGAAAUUGAUCACUAAUUUGGUCCUAGUUAAGAUUGAGAAAAAUAGUUUGGAAAAAAAAAAAGCACCGUCACAAUCCAUAAUGAUUUAUAUUUGGGUAUACAAAGCGUAAGGCUACAAUAAAAACUUCUCGCCUUUUAGUGUUUUAUUUAAUAUUGACAUUUUAGAUUUAUAUUUUUAUGGUAAAUAGCUUGAUAUGUUUUUAUAUAUUUUUUUAAAUCAAUAUGUUUUAAUUAUAUAUGUUGUGUUGUUUUAUAGUAUUAUAUUCUUUAAUAUAUCUUUAUAUUAAGUUUUUUCAUGUAGAUUAACAUAAUUAUAUUUUUCAUUUCAAAAAUGUUAUUGAUUAAUAUAAUGAUAUUAUAUAAAAUUGCUCAUUUUUUUAAGGAAUAUUUUUUAAAAAAAUUACUCGGACAUCAAAAUCUAGAAAAAAAAAUUAAAAAAAAUUAUUUUUUCAAAAUUUUAAAAUUAUAUCAUUUUCUAGCUCGAAGACAAUUUUAAGAUGAAAAAUAUUAUUAUGUUAGAUUAGAUGAAAGAUUUUAAGAUAGAAAUAUAUUAAAAUUAUAUUAUAUAUAUAUAUAUAUAUAUAUAUAUUAAAAACGUAGAAACAUAUUAGAGAUUUAAUCAAUUAUAUAAAAAUAGAUUAAACUAUUAAACCUUUUUUUCAAUUAUGGGAGUUGAACUUAUACUAAUAAUCUCUCCUCAUUUUAAUUUAAAAGGGAUUGAGAUUAUUUUGAGGGCAUUUCACAAUUGUUUUUACAAGUUUAGUGGAUUAAUGCAUGAAUUUGUUUAUAUAUAUUAAACUAUCUCUCCAAUUGGUCUUUAAAUGCUUUUAAAUCCUUAUAUUUUAAUGUAUUUUUUCAAUACAUUCUUUAGUCAACUUUAUAACGAAAAUACCACUUAAGUUACAAAAUUAGGAAAUUAAUUUUGAAGAGUAGAAACAUGUUGUUAAGAAGGGGAAAAAUAGCCUAAAUCAAAUGAACCUUGAGAAAAUAAAUUUGAUGAAUUAGGCGUAAAAUAAUAAUAAUAAAAAUUAAUAUUGACUAGAUGAUUUAUUACAAGUUAUGAUAAAUACUCAUCAUUUUCUCAACUCGUGCCAUGUACAAUCAUAAUUUAUGAAUCCAUAUAAGUUAUUUUUUGUUGUGAAAAUAAAAAUAAAUUUAACUAAAGGACCAAAACAAUUAAAAGAAAGAGGAUCAAAAUUGAAAUAAAAAAACAAAUAAUUGUUUUAUUGAAAGGUGAAAUUAAAAAUAAAAAUAAAUUUAACAAAAGGCCUAAAAAAUCAAAAAAAGAAAUACCAAAUUGGAAAAGAUAAAACUAAAACCAAUAACACUCUUACAAAAAGAUCAAGGAAAAAAUAGAAAUAAAAAAAAUAAAGACUAAGUUGUAAAAAACAAUAGAUGACAAAUUGAGAUUGAAUGAUGAAAUUAAAAAAAAUUAUAUAAAAAGACCAAGAAAAAAAUAAAAAAUCAAAAGAGUAAGGACUGAAGUUAAAAUACCAACAAUAAAAAGAGCUGAACUGUAAUUUUUAAAGAAGAAAAGAGAUAGAAAAAAACAAGUGUCCAAUGGUGACAUACCAUGUCAUCACCUUCGACAUGCGUCGCAUUAUGAGAAAAAUAACAUGACAACGCUUUCAAUGACACAAAAAAAAGAGUGGUUUUUGCCACCUAGCGAUGAUGCACACGCUAUCUAAAAUGCAUGUGCGUACUCAUCUCACGAGCUGGUGCCUGUGCUGCACAUGGUAGCAACCUUUUGAAUUUAAUUAUUAAUUAAAUCAUGUGAAAAGAUCAAAACACCAUUGAUUCACUAUGUAAUUGCAAAAAAACCAAUGUGAAAACAUUGAAAGGCCCCUAAUGCAUGGUUUAAUUUUUAUGAUUAUAAAGGUAAACCUGUUAUUUUCCUGUAUUCAAAAUAAUUAAAAUAUAUUACUACCAUUAUUUUUAGUUUUAUAAAUUUUAAUUUGAAGAGCAAUUAGAUCAUUUUAUUAUGCUAUAAAAAUAAAAUAAAAACACAAAAAUCCCUAAUAAAUCCUAUAAUAAUUAAUGGCCUUGGAGAAAAGUUUUCAGUGCCCCCAAAACCAAGACAUUUGUUUUUCUAAGAAAGGCAAAGACACUAUUAUACUCUUACAAUGAAACGUGACAAUAAUUAGUUUGUGAAAUUGUAAUUGUAAUAUACUCCUUUUAUGAAUUUGUAUCUAAAGUAUUUUUUAAACAACAAUAAUUAGCUUGUGAAAUUGUAAUUGUAAUAUACUCGUUGUCACAAUUCACAAACUCCCACUCUAAUAAUAAUACAACCAUCUAGGUGGUGGUCCAGUGGUAAGAACCUGAGACCAAGGGGUUUGUUCCAUCUGUGGUUUCAGGUUCGAGCCCUGUGAUUACUCAUAUGAUGGCCACUGGAAGUUUACAUGGUCGUUAAUUUCAGAACCUGUGAAAUUAGUUGAGGUGCACACAAGCUGAUCCGAACACCUACGUUAAUUUUAAAAAAAAAUGCAAAAUUUAUGCAAAAGAAAGAGCAUCUUGGCUCCUCUCAAGGGAUAGAGAGCUGUAUGGGACCCGUUCCCUCUUCUCUUCAAAAGAGAGAAGUAAAGAAAGAAUGAACCAUAUUUUAGUCUAUGUGGAUCCUCCUACGCUUCACUUUAGCUCCUGUAUUUUAAAAUUUCUCAAUGUCUAACUCUAUAAUUUAUCUAAAGUUACAAUUCAUUCUUCAUCCGUAAAUAACUAAUAAAAAUUAGGCCAUAGCUACAUGAAACGGGUUUGAAGGAUGCUGUAGCAUAAACCAUUUAUGAAGGGGUGAGUUGAUAAAGAGCAAUGGUCAAAAAGUAUGCUCUUUUUAUGAUUUCACUGUUUGUUUCGGUGUUUUAAAAGUAUUUUUUAAAACAAUUGAAAAUUUUUUAUUUUUUUAUUAACUUCAAAUUAAUAUGUUUUUAGUGUUUUUAAAUUAUUUUGAUGUGUUGAUGUUAAAAAUAAUUUUUUUUUUUUUAAAAUUAUUAACAUAUAUUUUAGCAUGAAAAAUUAUUUAAAAAACAACUGUAACUAUACUAUCAAAGAAGCUCUAAUAAUCACGAACAAUAGGACAUGUCUUGUUAUUGAAAACCUUAUUCAAAAAGAAAUAACUUAGUAUAAAAUAUACGAGUUUAAAGGAUACUACAGCAUCAAUCAUCUAUGGAUAAGUGAGUUGAUAAAAAACAUGGGGUCAAGAGGGAUGCUCUCCAUGUGAUUUCUAGCUUGAAUCUCUCUGUCCACUAAUAUUAAUGGUCACGAGCUACCGGGCGUGUUUUUUUUUUAUUAAAAGCUUUGUUUGGGGAAAAAUAAUUUAGUAUGAAGCAUAAAACCGGGUUCAUGAUAUCCUACUUCCAAAAAAAAAAUGAAAAGAAAGAUGCUGCAGUGUUAUUGUAGGGCACAUCGCUAUAUCUAUAUUUUUUAUUAUGGCCUAUUUAUUUUUGUAUUUUAAAAAUAUUUUUAAAAAAUUUAAAUUUUUUUUAUUUUUUUAUUAACUUUAAAUUAAUAUGUUUAUAGUAUUUUCAAAUCAUUUUGAUGUGUUGAUAUCAAAAAUGAUUUUUAAAAAAUAAAAAAAACAUCAUUAGUAUAUUUUGACACGAAAAACUAUUUGAAAAGCAACCGCAGUGUCGGCUUCUAAAUUCAUGGAACUAAAAUAAGUAGAUAUCUUGGUUUAAAAUGUUAACAUUGUAAAAAUGAUCACAUUGAUUGAUACACUAAUAUAGCAUUGAAAACCCAACUUAUCAAGCUGUUAUAUCACUAAGUCAUUUAAUGAUAUAUGAUAUUAAAUAUGCUGAGUCUUUUUUUUUUUUUUCAUCAUAUAAUAAAGAAUUACCAUAACUAUUAAUGAAAGGGUAGUUUAUUUUCAGGUUUUUCUUUCAUCCUUUCUUAUUUUUAUUUCUUAUUUUCUUUUCAAAAUCUCAAAUUCAACAUCAGUCUAGCUACGUAAUAUUAAGGGGAUUGUAAAUAAAUUUUAAAAACAUUAUGACACCGAUAUGGAGAAAUGUUAGUACAAAAAAAGUGAAAAUGAAAUAUUAUUAGAUUGAUUAGAAAUAUAGUAGUGUACAAUUAAUAUAUAGUAGCAAAAGAGUACAAACAAAUAAAUAAAUGAUUAGAAAGACAGACAACCCGCUCCCAUCAUUUUGUAUUCUCUGUCCCUCGCUUUCACCCUGGCAGUCCCGUCCGUACCCUGUCCCCUCCUCCUCCGUGAUUCCCCUCUUACCUGCUACCCUUUUGGCCAGUCACUCGCACGUGCCAGCCCACCUGCACCACCCCCUCUAACCAUGAGGAUCACUACUACCCUCCCAAAUCCCUUGCUCUCUGUUGCGCAACAAAAUAAAAAAGUAGAGAGAGAGAGAGAGAGAGUUGUGUCCUCUGUGUGUUGUUAUUAUUAAUAAUAAAGUAUUUAUAUUUCUUUUUUCUUUUUUCUUCUUCUUGGAGUUAUUGUAUUUGUUUUUGGUAUAGGAAGUAGUGUUGGGGUGUUUGCACCCUGUUUACUAAUUCUCUCUCUCUCUCUACAUAUUUGUAAAAUUCCUCUGACCCUCACUUGAAAGAUCACUUCUUGGUUGUGGGUUUGUUUGGUUUCUUUGUCUGAUCAAAUCUUUUUAAGACACAGAGAGAGAUAGCAAAAUCUUAUAUUGCACCUAUGAGGAUCAGGAAAAGACAGGUUCCCUUACCUCUAUCUUCUCUAUCUCCUGUACCUCUCUCAGAUCCCCAGUUCCAGUCUCCUGUGGUGCAACUUCAAAUACACAAAAACCCACCUCAAAAUCUCCCUCAACAACCUCAUAGGCUUGCUUGCUAUGAUUCCCAUCCAUCUGAUCAACCAAAUCAACCGAUCGGAGGUGGCCAAGAUUGCUCUGCAGUUAGUGCUGGGGCACAACAAGAAAAGAAGGUAAGCAGUGAUUGUUAAUUUUGGUUGGUGAGAAAAAAAACACUAUACCCCCCUUUUAAUAUAUCUUGUUUUUUAGUUUAUUUGGUUGGUGGUUUAGUAGAGGAGUGCAUUUGUGUUCAGUGUUACAUGAAAAAGGCAUUUCGUUGGAUUCACCUUUUAUGGUUAAUUUUGCACCCCCAUAAGAUCACAUUAGACAGCAAGUAUGGUUGAUUGUAUCCUCUCUUCUUUUUUUGUGAUUUUAUUGUGUAGAUUAUGUUGGAGAAAGAUGAGAGAUGGAGAGAUGGAGAGAGGAGUAAUGAUACCAGGUGAGAAAGAAUUGAAGACAUAAAGUAAAAAAUCCAUGUUCUUCUCUUAUUUCAUAAAAUCUUGUACUAGAAGAGGUUGAAAAUAGAGGCCCUUGUAUGAAUUUUACCAGGAAAAAUACUGUAAUUACUAAUUAGUGGAUGGUACUGUUCAAGUGUUUUUAUUUUAUUAUUUAUCAGCUUUGGCUAGCAACCAUACCUCACCAUCUACUCUAAUCUAAUCUAGGUGCUCUCUUUUUUCUCUAUUUUGGCUAGCUAAUUUGCCCAUGCGGUGCAUGUUAUCAUGGGAUGAUGGUCCUACACAUUUCGCUCUACAUUCUUGCAUUCUUCUCUUCUUCUUACUUGCUACCUAGUAUUUGUUUCCUUGGGCUUUGUGAAUUUCAUGUGUGUGUUUGUGGAUCUUCUUGGUCUGGUUAUUUGUUUUAGGAAGGGAAGUUUCAUGGGUGCAGACAUAGAAACUAUGAAUCUUACACCAUCAAGUUGUUCCCGUCAAGGUAAAAUUCUUAUCAUGUUUCAAAACAACAAUACUAGCUAUGCCCCCACAGACUCACCACCAUGAAAGUCAUAUACAUUUUGGUAUUUGUUGUUUGAUUGCACUAUAGGAGUUGAGAGAUGGGGUGAGGGAGAGAAAGCAUAUCCAUUAAAGAGAAGAGGAAGGUUCGAAAGACCAUCAGAUGAUGAAGAAAUAAUAAUGGAGAAAGCUAAGAAAAUGAAGACAAAGAUGAACAAGAAAUGCGUGCUGCAGAAAGGAAAUAACAAAAAAGAAGAGAGUAAUGAAAUCGUCAAAGAGGGCCUUGGUGGUGCUACUAAUAAUACUAGUGUGAAAAGGAAAGCUAGAGGUGGUGCACUUAUGGAAGGAUCGAGGUGCAGUCGUGUAAAUGGGAGAGGAUGGAGGUGUUGCCAGCAAACUCUUGUGGGAUACUCACUUUGUGAGCAUCACUUGGGCAAAGGAAGGCUGAGAAGCAUGAAUAGCGUCCGAAGCCGAUCCAUGGCUCGCACUGCACCCAAGAAGGCCGAGUCCAAGCCAUUAUCGAGCUCGUCCUCAUCGGAGGAAAAAAAAACGAAACGUUUAUUAUCAGAUACCAAACUUGAUGGUGUUCCAGCUGAUGUAGAUGGAGAUGACACGAAGCCUCUAAUGAUUGCAAAGAAGAAGGUGAAGCUUGGCAUGGUCAAAGCUCGAUCGAUUAGCAGUUUGCUGGGCCUAGCAAAUAAUGACAUUGCAGUAUCAGAGAGUAGCAAGUAGAAUUGCAUGUUUAUGAAAUUAAAGUCGAGAGUCGAGGUCAUGUUGAGUACUGCAGUUUUUCCUUUUCUCUGUUUAGAGGCUCUUAACGAGAGAACAAAACGAUGUUUGAUAAAGUGUAUUUCUUAUAGCACCACCUCCAUUUUAAUGCUUAUGGUAUGAUCUUUAUAAAAAUAGAGAUGUAACGAGCCAGAAAAGGUUUAUACUAGAUUAUAAAUAGCUAAAAUAUGGGUAUUUAUUUCGGGUUUAAGGUAUAUAAUCUGCCGUAAAUGCAAACUUUGGCGAACAGUUAAAUGGUAUCAUAAGGGGGAACCACCCACAUGAGAGUGUUCUUGUUUAAUACUAUGGUUACUGUGUAGCUUUUGACCAUGGUAAACAGCAGUUGAGAUUUGGCUGCAUCACAGGGUGUUUCUUCGAGUUUAGUUUUGAGUGUGUUUUUUUAAAAAUAUAUUUUUUUAAAUUUUUAAAUUGUUUGGAUAUACUAAUAUAAAAAUUAUUUUAAAAAAUAAAAAUUAUUUUAAAAUAAAAAAUACUUUAAAAAAUAAUAUUCAAUUACACUUUCAAACAUCCCAAUAAUAAGUGGAAAUUGUUCAUGGAAAAACUGAAAGCAUUCCUUGUUUCUGUCCUCAUGCAUCAAAUAUAGCUAACUAUUCCAGAUCUUGUCCUAUUGUGAUCAAUAUCGAGAAAGAGGCAAGAACAAGGGAUUAUGACUCUGUUUGGUUUGGUUUCUUUAUAUAGCCUUUUCCUUUUGCAGCUGUGAUGGCAGCUUGCUCACUGGACUCCUUUUUCUCUACUUUGGAGCUCAAAUCGAUGUUUAAUAAAUUGGUGGCACAACAAUAAAUAAAAAAGAAUAGGCAAGAAUAAGGAUUUAUCACUCUAAUUAACAAGGACAGGGCUUUCACAAUAAUAAUCUUAGUAAAAAUACCCAUUAUGGUACAUUUAUUAUUAUUAUUAUUGAAAUUCAUUGUUAUAUUAGUUCAUCACAAAUUGUUUUUUUUUUUAAUAACCAAAGAACUAUUUCAAACUUGAAUUACUUUUGGUAACAUGUGUUCUGAAUUUGAAAUAGGAUGUAUAGUCUCUGUACACAAUAUAUAUUGAGAAAACAUCACUUCAACUUCGUCGUGAUCAUAAGAAGAUAUUUCUAUGUAUUGAACCUGAGAUCUCAUCCCAGAUGUUUACAAAAUAGAGAACAACACUAGUAAUGAGAUUUUUGUUAUGCUCUGGUUCGGACAAUUUUUUUUUUUUUGGGUAAAAAACAAAAAAUAAAUAUGCAAGUUUUUUAAAUUUAAGUUUUUUUUUAAAAUUCUAAUUAUAAAUAAGAACGUCUAUUCAACUUGUUUAGCUGCAGGUCAAAUAAUGUGUUUUUCAAUACAAAAACAUUAAUAUCUAGGUGUUAUUAAUAUAUUUUUUACAUCAAGUAAAAAAUAUAACUGUGAAACAUAAAGUCAACACUUAUGUUGUUUUUUUUUUUAAUUUGACCAUCAUUCUUUUGAUUUGUUUUUUCUUUUAUUAAAGUUAUUUUUUAUUUCAAAAAAUAAAAAAUUACUUAUCAUUAUAUAUUAGUUUUUCAAGCCCUAUAAUUGAAAAUUUUGGUUUGUCCUCCAAUUUAUUUUUUAUUUCGAUUUUCACAUUCAUUCUUUUAAUUACAAUUUCUUAAAUCCUUUUUUGAAAUGAUAUUUUUUUUCAGGUUUCAUCAUUUAAUAUUUGAUUGCAAGGAUUGAGCUUCAUAUUUUUUUUUAUUUGUAGUGCUUCUAAUCUAAUGAUUUAGUUAUAAGUUUGAAAGGUUAAUGUCAUUCAUAUUUUUUUUUUCUCUUGUUUUCUUUUAUGAUCUCAUUGUAUAUUAGUUUUUCUUAUUUUUCUUUUUAAAGAUUGUUUUUAUGAUUCUCUUAAAUUUUUUUCUAUGAGUUUAUUAUGAUCUCAUAACCUAGAUCAUGAGUUUUGAAGGUCUUUUUUUAAUAGAAGUUUGUUUUAUUUUAUUUUUGAAGAUAUUAUUUUAAUCCACUUAUAUAUAUAUAUUUUUGUUUUAUCAUCAUCUUAUAUUUGUUUUAUAAAAAAUAUAUAUAUUAUCUCAUAUAUUGCAAUCUCAACAUUUUAAAAUUACUUCAUAUUGAAUUUUUAACUUCCUAAUGUCUUUACAAUAAAAAUAUAAUUUAAGCGGGGGCUCAGAAUCUAAGGAGUUGCCUCUAGCUCGAAUAAUGAUUGGUGAAACAUGUAAAAUUUCCUAAUUGUCUACAAAGGCCGGCCAGACAGGCACCUCCACGUAUCCAGUUUUGCUACACAGGUCAACAGAGGCAUUGCAGUCUUGACUACAAUUGUAAAGCGAUGGUCUUGACAAUUAUAGACUUGAGCACUUGUUGAAAUAUCUCUCUUAAUAGUGGAAACGAAUGUAAAUGGAAGCACGGUUGCCCAAGACCGGAGAGUGCUUUGCACUGAGUCGCUGUGGACAUAUUUGUGGAUAUAUACUGGUGUCUCUGUAGUCUAGAGACCAGAAGCUGGGUGGUGUGGGGGCGGUGGCCCUGCAUGGCAUUAGAAUGUGUGCAUGCAACACUUUCUAAAUUGAUGGUUGAAAAUGCCCAGCAUGGUUUAUUUUUGUGAACUAUAUUCAGUGGAAUAUUAUAAAAUCUUCACAGCAAAUGAUAGCCCUGGAGUCCAGCCUAUCAACAGUAGCAGUCGGAAAGAGCACCGCCGUAGCACAAAUGAUAUGCACCACGCACUAAUCCAUCCCUAUCACACGUCUAAGCUAGUGUUUUUUAAAUCGGAUGAUAUUUGUAGGCCUCGGGGUUUCAUCCCCAAUAAUGUGUGUCCUGGGGGGCCUGUGCCCUCCUUAUUUCCAAUAAGAAAAAAGAGAAAAAGAGAGAUUUCUUGGCUAGUUUUCUUGGUAUUUUAACAGUGCUUGAAAUUUCAUGGAUGUUGUGUGGAUAUACUUUUGCUACGUGUAAAUCAAGCAAUUAUUCACGAUUUAGUGUUUGUGUGUGUAAUUAAGCAUCAUUUCAUUUGAAUGAGAGGAGAGGAGAGGAAGAGAAAACCUUUUGAAUUCCAAAGGUGAGUUUUUCUUUUUUCUUUUGUAGUUACAAUUCAAAAGGUGAGUUAUAUAUAUAGCAGAACGCAUUUGAAGUGUUUAUAGUUGAAAUUCAAAAUUAUAUAUAGUUGCUAAUAUUGCUGCGUACGUGCAAUCAGGUUUGAGUAUCGAUAUUAACUAAAUUUUCCAAGGCUUUGUGUGCCUCGAGCAUUAAAUGUGACAGAUUUUGAUCGAUGGAGACCUCCAAGAUAGAGAAAGCCAUUUCCACAAGUUGAUAGACUCAUCCUCUCAGCCAGCUGGCUAGGUAGAUGCAACUUAAGCCAGAUAAAGGUUAGGACUGUAAAAUUACGUAGUAAGAUCUGCAUAAAUAAUUACUUAUAAUUAACUUUCAGCUCUUAAGAUAAGGCAGACCAGCAAGAUGCAAUCAAAUGAAGACAAACAUUGCUCUAAAACAAGGUGUCGGUACACAGCCACUCUCUUGCAUAUAUAUAUAUAUAUAUAUGUGUGUGUGUGUGUGAGAGAGACACUAUUUAAUCUAAAUUAGUUGUUUCUUGAUCAAUAUUGAGUUGCCAAGAAACUUUGUCUUAAUUACUUGGCGUGGGGUGAACCGGCCAACCCAGUGGGGUGGUGUCACCAAUUGUAAAGCCAGGGGUCCCAACGGCUAGCUAGCUAGCUAGCUAUUGUGGGCAUCUUUACCCACUAAGAUAUCUAAAAUCAAUGUCGUGUAGUCAGAUAAUAUUAGCCUGAUAUCAACAAACUCAUGAUAUAAUUAGACAGACGCAUGCUUCUACAUGUAUCAGCCGAAAGGCAAGGACAGGAGUUAAUGAGUUUCUUAAUUAAGCUUGCAUGUUCCUUUUUUUAUACAGAGAAAACCAUCUUAAUUUACUAGUUAUUUGCAUUAACUGGGUGUAUAUACUGUUAAUUAAGCUACCAGCUAGCAGAACGUACAGAAGUUUACAAACUGGAGGUGCCUGAGAAUUGAGGUGAGCAUGGAGCCAGCCUGGACAUCACAGAAUGUAGAAACACAACUGAAAUUGACAUGGUCCGUUAAUCAUGAUUAAAAUCAUAAUCAUUUGAUGAUUGAUUCAACUUUCGCCCCAAGUGGACCUUUAUGCUUAAAGCUGUCUCAUCAGCCAUAUGUAUUCUUCUGUUGUCUUCAUUUUGUAUCCCAAAAUCCAUUACGCAUCUCAUUAGACCAAAACAAAAAUAGAAAAAUCGUCGUGGGACUCGCAUUUCGUAAACACUACUUUGGAAAAUUCCUUGAGCCUAUUACAUGAGUUCUUACUGAAGAGCAGUACUGGACAUUAUUUCGUCAACAAAGGGUUUGCCUUCUGACAACAUUAAAAUAACAUGUUCCGUAAUACUAUACUCGAAAUAUGUACCGUGAAUACUAAGCACUGGUUAAAUAAAAUAAGAAAAAUGCAAGUCGUAUGUUGAAUACACACACACACACACAAAGACUUUGUACUCUUAAGUCUUUGCGAGGUGACAUACUAGGUGAUGUGUACUUGUGUUGUCUGCAUAAUAUUCCAGGCUGCACUUGCACUUGGCACGAGGAAGGUCUGGAAUGCACCCGCCGCCGCCCCUAAGGCGUUAGGAUUCCCUCAGUUAAUUAACAACAUCAUCUAAGUUUGGCCUUUGAAACUCAUCGAAAGUCCUGAAAAAUAUCUUGAGUGCACAUCUAUAGCUCUAUCCGCUCUCUCUCUCUCUCUCGAUAUAUAUAUAUAUAUAUGGACACACACACACAUACACGUAUUGUAUUAACUAGCUGUUUGGAAUCAAUACUUUUUUUAUAGGCCAGCUGGAAUUCAAUACUAAACAGGCAAAGUGUGAAAGAACACAAUAAAGCCCAGAAGGACUAGAGUAUAGAAGUCAUGCCCUCCUUUCUAGCUUGUGGGGAUUGAGUUCCAAAACAUAUAUACUUAAUUAGUCAUGAGUUCGAGGUUAGUGAGAGAAACCAGGAAUCAAUACGUCUUUCUGGUAAUAAGUUGGAUUCUUCAACACAAUUCAAUAGUAAAAACACACGUUUUUAGUAGCCAUCCCCAUGAAACUAUUGUGGUCACUCUUUGGUUUAAGAAGUUAUUUCCAUAGUUAUUAAACCCGGUCCGGCCCGGCGGGUCGACCCGGUGGCUGGACCGGUUCGGGUUUAAUAAAAGACCGGCUGUGGCAACAGCCCGGCCAAACCCGGGCGACCCGGCGGGUCGACCCGGGACCCGGGUGACCCGGGCAAACCCGGACGAGACCCGGGUUUUUUUUUUAAUUUUAAAUUUGGGAUAAAAAAAAAUUUGGUUUAAAUAUUUCAACUUAAAAUGAUAACAUAAUAUCUUUUUAAUGUGGGGUUUGAAGCCCUUUCAUAUAUAUACUCUAUGUUCACAUGAAAAAAAUUAUAUUUUUUCAAUGUGGGAUUUAAAACCCAUUAGUAUAUAUACUCUAUGUUCCCAAGAAAAAAAUCAUGUUUUUUCAAUGUGGGAUAAAAAAACCUUUUGGUUUAAAUACUUCAACUUAAAGGGAUAACAUAGUAUCUUUUCAAUGUGGUAUUUGAAGCCCUUUCAUAUAUAUACUCUAUGUUCCCAUGAAAAAAGUUAUGUUUUUUCAAUGUGGGAUUUGAAACCCAUUAGUAUAUAUACUCUAUGUUCCCAAGGAAAAACUCAUGUUUUUCCAAUGUGGGAUAAAAAACCUUUUGGUUUAAAUACUUCAACUUAAAGGGAUAACAUAGUAUCUUUUCAAUGUGGGAUUUGAAGCCCUUUCAUAUAUAUACUCUAUGUUCCCAUGAAAAAAGUUAUGUUUUUUCAAUGUGGGAUUUGAAACCCAUUAGUAUAUAUACUCUAUGUUCCCAAGGAAAAAUUCAUGUUUUUCCAAUGUGGGAUAAAAAACCUUUUGGUUUAAAUACUUCAACUUAAAGGGAUAACAUAGUAUCUUUUUAAUGUGGGAUUUGAAGCCCUUUCAUAUAUAUACUCUAUGUUCCCAUGAAAAAAGUUAUGUUUUUUAAACCAAAAUGUUUUUUAUCCCACAUUGAAAAAACAUGAUUUUUUCUUUAGGAACAUAGAGUAUAUAUACUAAUGGGUUUCAAAUCCCACAUCAAAAAAACAUAACUUUUUUCAUGGGAACAUAGAGUAUAUAUAUGAAAGGGUUUCAAAUCCCACAUUGAAAAGAUACUAUGUUAUCCCUUUAAGUUGAAGUAUUUAAACCAAAAGGUUUUUUUAUCCCACAUUGGAAAAACAUGAUUUUUUCCUUGGGAACAUAGAGUAUAUAUACUAAUGGGUUUCAAAUCCCACAUUGAAAAAACAUAACUUUUUUCAUGGGAACUUUUUUCAUGGGAACAUAGAGUAUAUAUAUGAAAGGGCUUCAAAUCCCACAUUGAAAAGAUACUAUGUUAUCCCUUUAAGUUGAAGUAUUUAAACCAAAAGGUUUUUUAUCCCACAUUGAAAAAACAUGAUUUUUUCCUUAGGAACAUAGAGUAUAUAUACUAAUGGGUUUCAAAUCCCACAUUGAAAAAAUAUAAUUCAACUUAAAAUACUUCAACUUAAAAGCUUAACAUAAUAUCUUUUUAACGUGGGAUAAAAAACUUUUUAAAAUAUUAUUUUAAACUUGAUUAUUUAUAAUAUAUAUAAUCUAUAUUUACAUGAAUUUUUUCAUAUGAAAUAUUAAUUUUUUUUUAAUUAUUACGGGUUAAUCCGAGUCAACCCGAGUUGACCCGGGUUGACCCAUGAAACCCGAGACCCGGCCCCUUGGCCGGGUCAACCCCCGGGCCGGGUUUAAUAACUAUGGUUAUUUCCACUGGGGAGGGAUCGAGUUCUUGCCUAAAAAAUUCUAAAAUCUUGAACAAGUCCCAGCCCGCACAUGCAUAUAUUCUGAAUUUGCCUAGCUUUUAUGAUUCAAACUGAGACUGCAGGUGAGGUGCCCGCGAGUACUCCCGAUUACCAACCCCAUUUUGGCAUAUUCAGUACUGCGAUUUGCGAUGCUUCCAUUCGGCCAAGUACUCUGUACGAGGGGCUUCUUCUAACAAGUGAGUGAUGAAAGGCACAAAAACAUCAACUGAAGAAAGGAAUGGAUCAUUAUAUUUUAUAUGGGAUUUCAAAAACUUUGGAUGGCAGAGUUUGCAUGUUGGACUUAUUUUCCAAUCGAUCCACUCCAUCCAUAAGUUUGCAGUGGUUUCAUGUAUAGACGAAUUUCCUAGUUUUUUCCAGCUCGCCAUAAUGUAAAAUUCUCCAGAAGGGAUCAUUUCGGUUUGGAGUCAAAAGAACAUGCAUAUGCUCCUCUGCAUUGAAAAGGAAAAGGACGGCGACGAGCUUGAUAACCAUGAGGACACAAUGAAGCUUGAGAGAAGAGGGGGAGGGAAAAAAAACAAGUGGCACAAAUUCAAAGACCUUAUUGUCAAACAGUGGAACUUAAAGGUCCACAGGCUUGGAAUUGCUCUAAAUAAUGUAGAGGGGAAAAAAAAAACUUAGCUUCAUUUUCAUGGAAAAGAUGCUCUAUUCCUAGCAUCUUUUUGGGCCAUACUCGAGUCGAUUGACAGUGAAGGAUAUACAAACAGGUGAAAGAAUUUAAGAAACCCCUCGAAGAAUUUUCACCUUCAACGGAUAAAGAUGUCUAAGUCUCUCUUUCCAUCUCUUUCUCUCCAACUUUUAUUUGUUGCACCACACUAGCAAACAAUUUAUAUGCUUAUAGAAUAACGUGCAGCUUAGGUAGGGGAAUUGAAGGCCCAGCACGUGUGGCUGAGAUUGGCACCGAGCUUGUGGGCCACCGGCUACCGGGAGCUGGGACUCUGGGGCACUGCGCCAGGGUGGAAAUAUGAAUUAAUGGGUUGUGGCCAGCGUGUCCAUGGGAAUUCGGACUCGUGCUUAUUCAAAAUCAGAAACAACUAGGAUAACGCAGGCAAAAUUGAAUAAAUAAAUGAGAAUUUAGGAAAAAAUUUAUAUUAAUUAAACAUUAUAAAACUACCAUUCAAUUCAUACAACUUAAAAGCUUAAAUUGUUAAUUAAUGAGACUUUAGGAGAUGUCGUUUUAUGUCAUACGCCACUUUCGUGCUCAUAUAAUUAAAUUGUUUUUUUGGUAAUAAAAUGAUGCGUUUCCUUUGGACAUAUUCCAAGCGCAACGUUGACCUCUGUGUUUGGAUCUGCACUUAAUGUGCGGAUGCUUUCCUUCCUUGCCCCUCGCUUCUAGCUGUCAAUGGGAGCCCGUUAGCCAAACAAACCCUUCAGAAAAGGAAAGUUAGCAAACUCGAAUUUAGCUACGACAAUAGGCCGCCCAAUGACGCAUUCAUGCAAUUGAUUAAUUAUUCUUUAUGGUAUAAAAAAUAAUUAAAUACUCUCUUGAUCUGCGUUGACGGUUCUCAGUUUUUUUUUCCUUUUGGAAAUACGUUUUCUCUAGUCAAAUAUUUGAAACCACUUACGUCUCUUUUAUUUAUUCUAUUUAAAAAAAUAAAGAAAUUGGAGAAUAACAUGAAAUUGAGAAAAAAAAUUAAAUUAUAAAUACAUUAAAGAAUACAGGGGUUAAACAUAAAAUUGCUGAAGCUGUGGAUUAAUUGUUUAGUUUUGUAAAAAUAUGCACAGAUACCUCUUAAUAUCAGUUUUGAUUGACAAUAUUCUCUAAAUAAUUUAUAUUUCUAUUCUCAACCCUUAAACUAUAAAAUGCUUUGAUCCAUACUCUUUUCAUUAUAAUUUAAUCAUUUAGUUGAGCAUGUUUCCUCAUCCUCAUAAAAUAUCAAAAACCUUUAAAAAUUAGUCAAAAAAAAUAUUUUUUUUAAAAAUAAUAUCCAUCAUUGUUAAGAUAAGCACAUUGAUAAUGUAAUAAAUUAAUAAAAAAAACUAACCCUCCACAAUUUGAUGACUUAUAUAUAAAAUUUAAUAGCUAACCAAAUGAAAUAUAGCAAAUUAAAGGUCCGUAAAUCUAAACAUCCUGUGGUUCAAGAAUUGAAAUCCAAAGAAAAAAAAUUAUUCAAGAGGAUGAAUUUAAAUGUACAAUAUACUUUUAGAUGUGUGUUUUUUUAUUAUUAACGUGGGUGUUCGGGUUAGCUUGUAUAUAUCUCAACUAAUCUCAUAGACCCUGAAAUUAAUAAUUAUAUAAGUCUCUAAUAAUUCUGAAAAUUAUAAGAUUCAAAUUGAUAAUCUUUAAAAAUUAAACCUAUAAUAUAUUUAGUUGAGUUACACCCCUUAUAUUAUAUUUUAGAUUAGUUUUUAUUCCGAAAUUGGUUAAUAUGUACUUAAUUUUGGUAUGGAAACGUUUAAUUUGGAAAAUAAAAGAACACAAGGGCGCGCAGUACAAGGCCCUAUUAUACGUACGAGUCCUUACCCACCCAAUCUCCAGCUAGAUACGAAGAACCAUCUUAUGAUCCAUGUUCUCAAUAGCUCAGGCAAGAUUCGAGGACUACUCUCCGCCCUAGAGAUCAGUAGUGUCGGAGAAUGGCUCCUUGCAGCUAAAAUUGAUCCUAGCUACCUUGAAAAUGUCUUUAUAGUAUGGGUUUGGCUGAUCUUCACAUACAAUAUAUAAAGUGUCUGCUUGCAUUGACUUUUCUCCCAUAGUUAAUUACGAAAAAGAAAUUAUUGCAAUAAAGAACAAGAUUGUUACGAGUAAAAAUCGUCACGAAGAACUAGGUUCAUGAGAGGCCACGUCAGAAUAUGUAAAUUCUAGUGUCUGAAUAAAAUCCUCAAUUUACGUACGUCCAGCAAGGUGAGGAUUUCAUCAAUCCAAGUCUUCGGAGGUGUUUGGCAUUGAGGUUCAACCUGUUUUUUAAAAAAAUUUAAUUUUUUUUUUUUUGCUAAAAUUAAAUGCGGUUUGUACUUUUUAGAUCGUUUUGAUGUGCUGAUAUCAAAAAUGAUUUUUAAAAAAUAAAAAAACAUUAUUAGCAUGUUUUUCGGCACAAAAAACUAUUUGAAAAGCAACCGCUACCACACUCCCAAAACCCUCUUUCUAUAUGCUCAAGCUAGCUGAGGACACCAUCAAACUAUCAAAUUAUUAUUCUUCUACCUUUUAUAUUAUAAAAAAAAUUAUUUUAAUUAAAUGAGGUUUUUUUUUGGCUACCUAGGUUUUUUGAAAGCAAAUCUAUAAAUAUUUGUAGUCAACCGUUGAUUUUCAAUAAAUCUUCAAACAAACUUGUCAAAAAUCUUUACAACAAAUAAAUCAAAAUCAAUCCAAUAAAACUUCUUUAUUUUUAAUAGUGUAAUUUCACCAUUUAAUGAAGAAAGCCUCAACCAAUAAUUAAUUCUUGUCAUAUAUAGUUUUCACAAUCACGUUUUCUUGGUCAACACAAGCACAGUCAAAGUCCACAAUCACGUUUUUCAUAAUAUAUAUUUUUGAAAAAAAAAAUUUUAAUUUUCAGAUUAACACUUUAAAACGAUUUAUGAACACUAAAAAAUUUAAUUCAAAGUCAAAAAAACAAAUUUCAAAUAUUGCACAAACAACGUUUUGACUGCACUACAAAACUCCCCGUAAAUAUAUACAAGUAAAAUACACAUUUUUUCCAGAAAAAUCUGAAUUAAACUGAAAGUAAAAUCCAUGUGAUUCACUUAAGUAACAUAUAUUAAACCCACCAGUCAUAAUACAAAGCAUUAAGCAAAACAUUAAGAUUAGUUCAGAAACGGAAAGAAAAGAAGAGAUAACACUUGAUCAAAGAUCUAUCCAACUUCAUUUCAUUCUUCAAUAAGACUCUCAAACAGAAAAGAACUUGUUAUACUUGCACUAGCUAGGCAGAUCACCCAACACCAUCUAGUGAGUUUCCCUAGUCGUUAUUCUCAGCCACUCCAACUGCAAUGUUUGCUUAGCCCAACAAGCUACUCAUUGAUCGAGCUUUCACCACACCAAGCUUCAUCUUCCUCUUUGACAUCACCAAUGGCUUCUCCUUAUCAUCUUCAUCAUAUACAACACUAACUUUAUCAUCCAAAGAAGCCCCUUUAGUCUCUUCUUUCUUCUACGAUGAUAAUGAAUGGCUCGAUACUUCCUCAGACGCGUCCUUCUUUGGUACAAUACUGGCAAUGGAUUGGCUUCAAACACUAUUCAUACUUCUUAGCCUUCCUUUACCCAAAUGAUGUUCGCAAAGAGAGUAUCCCACAAGGGUUUGUUGACAACACCUCCAUCCUCUACCAUUAACAUGACUGCACCGUGAUCCCUCCAACAGUGCACCACCCCUAGGCUUUGCUUUUACAUUGGAACCUGCACCUUCUUUUGUUUCCUUCUCAUCUUUUUCAUUAUCACCAUUCUGUUGCACACAUUUCUGGUUCAUCUUUGUCUUUAUUUUGGUUUUCAUUUUCUUGUUUCUAUCUAUUAUCGUUUCUUCAUUCGAUCUCCUUUCAAAGCUCCCUCUUCUCUUCUUUAGUGGGAAUGCCUUCUCUCCCUCACCCCAUCUCCCAACUCCUAUAGUGCAACCAAAUACAACAACGUAAACACUGACAAUAAUUUUUUCUACUUUGAAAUGGUUUUUGAACACAUAUAAUCUUUAUCUUGAUGGGAAGAACUAGACUAUUGAAGAAUUGUAACGUGUACUCCUUCACUCAAGAAACUUCCCCUCCUAAAAAUAAACCAAACCCAGAAACCCAAAUCCACAUAAUUUACAGCGAUAAGAAAAACAAGGAAAAACCAGUAAAUAAAAAAUGAGUGCAAAUUAAAUAGAGGAAGAUGUGUAUCUAUUUUGGGGACCAGUAGCGUGGACCCAUACUAGCAUGCACCUCAUGGGUGUAUGGAGAGUGUAAAUGGACUAGAUUAGAUGGGAGAAGGUAUGAUGGCUAGCCAAAGUUCAAGUUCAUAUAAAAACACUUGCAAACAGUAUUUUCACUUACAGUAUUUUUAUUUUCUUUUCCGUAGCCAAAACAUUAAUCCAUAGGUCUCCUUAUUUUCACCUUUUUCACUACAAGAUUUAAUGAAAGAAUAGAAGAACAUGGAUUUAACUUUUUUUUCACCAUUUUCUUACCUGGUAUCAUUACUCUUCUCUCUUAGUUCUCCUCCUUUAAUCCCAUCUCCCUCUUCCAACAAAACCUACAAUAAAAUCUCAAGAAAUAUUGAUGUACUAAAUCAUAAUGUAACCUUGAUGGGUGCAAAUUGGCCAUACAAAAAAGUAGAUCCAACAAAAUUGACUAUUUAAGUGACAUUGAACCCAAGUGCACCCUCAUGUAUAAUCACUCAAUAAAACUUAGAUAAAAGGGUUGUAGUGAUUUUUUGUUUCUUUUAACUAACCAAAUUAACAGUCAGUACUGCUUACCUUCUUCUCUUCUUAUGGCCCAACACCAUGGGAGCAAUCAUCAUGACCUUUGCUUCCAUCUCCAAUCGGUUGAUUUAGGCGAUCAGAAGGCAGGUGAGGAUCAAAGUAUUCAUCUUUUUGAGGUUCUUGAAGGAGACUCUGAUGUGGGCUGUUGUGUAAUUGAAGUUGCACCACCGAAGACUGGUUAAACUGGGGAUCUAAGAGAGGUAUAGGGGAAAGGGAUGAAAGAGGCAAGGGAACCUUUUUGUUUCUAAUCCUCAUCGGUGCAAGAAAAGAAAGAUUUGAUUACUGAAGAAGGAUAGAAAGGCCAAAAGAGAAAAAUUAUAGCCUAUAGAAGUAGAAAGUAGUGAUCUUUGAAGGUCAGAUUUCACAUAUAAAACUUAGAGAAAGAGAGUGCAAAGCUACCCAAAAGUAUUACUACUACAACAACAACAACAAAUAUAAGACCAAAAAAUGAAAAUUGUUAAUUAUUAAUUAAUAUAUGCUAUGCUUUAAUAACACCACAACAACAACAACUCUCUCUCCUUGUCUUUCUCUUUCUCUCCUUGUAUAUUUCCUCACCUUCUUUCUCCAACUUUUAUUCGUUGCACCACAGAAAGGUUAGGAAUAGGAAUAGUAGUAUCUUUAUGUUUAUGGAGGUGAUGUUCGCACGUGUGAAUACAGGGAGCACGUGUGGGAAACCUGUCGAAGAGAUAGCCAGUGAGAGGGAAGAAGAGGACAGGGCAGUGACGAGGAUUGCCAGGGUGGAAUGAAAGAACACAAAAUGAUGGGAGUGGGUAGUAAGUAGUUUUAUUGUUUAUACUUUUUAGAAGAGAGGGCCCCCAACACUCGCACACACAUGAGGCUCUUAUUAACAACGACCAAGAUUCUUUCUAAUUCUUUGCCCUCAGUUCAGCUUCUUGCAAGCUUAGAUAGGGCGCUGCCCAGGUGAAGAAAUAUUUUUUAAAAAAAAAAACAUUGUCACAAUAUUGUAAAUGAAACAUUGAGCUAAAUAGAAAAAGGAUAUAUGGUGAAAUUAAUGAAUUAAUAAAUUGGUAUGCAUAUAAAGAAACUUCAACAUUGUUUAGACGUUCCUCGAAACUUAUUAAAUUAUAGUUCCAGUGUAUUUAUGAUUUUGUAUAUUAGUACCUUUUGUUUUGAAAAUUUUAAGCCGACUAGAGUCUAUUAUUGAUUCUUUCUAAAAUACCCAAAUUGUCUUUCUUAAAUUUAAUUACGUUUGAUUUUAUUUGUAAUAAAUGAUAUGAGAAAUUUGACUAGAAUUGAAGGAUGUUUUAGAAAACACAUGAAAACAAGAAAAGAAUUAAGUCACAAACAAAUAUAAAAAUAUAGAGAUUUAAUAUUAGGUUUCAAGACUAAGAAAAAUUAACUAAUUAUAUUGUUAUGAGUCAUGUACGUUUAGUAUCUCAUCAAAUGUGAUAGAGUGGAUGACAUAGUUUCUCUAAUAAUACUUGAUGAUGUUCCAAAAUUAUAUAUGCUGAGGAACAAGGUUUUUUAGUAUUUGAAUAAUGAUUAAUCAAAUGUUCAUGUUAAUAUUCCCUUUUUCAUAACUUAGAAAGUACAUAAUUGAUGGUAAAAGUUCUAAUACCUGUAGAACAGUCUUUUUUUGUAGGAUUUAAGGACUCUUCUAUGAUAACUUCAGUAACUUUAAAUGAGGAUUGUAAUAAAUAAAUAAAAAAGAGCUUUAAAUUCUAAGAACAAAAGUGUUUGUUUUUGUUUUUGUUUUUGUUUUUGUGUGAUUCAUGGAAUAUUUAUAUUCUCUGAACUUAUUGUUUUGAUGGAGUGGAGAGAUUAGAGAGUCAUCUGGUCUUAAUAGCAUUAAUGAAUGAAAAUCUCUAACACAUAAUUAAUUAGAAACAAAUAUCUCUUACAAAUUAUUAAUGAGAUGAAAAUGUAGACCAACCGGAGACCUUUUAUACAUUUACAAAUGUAGAAAGAUGAUUAUUAUUUACAUGAAUAGUUCAUGUUAAAAGUCUUAAGAUAGAACUCUGACCAAUUGGGUCUUGCAUGUGGCUGAAUCCAAGUAUAUUGGGUACGACACCUUGGCAGACCAAUGGUGUCUUGGGUUCAGAACAUGGUUGAAUCCAAGUAUAGUAGGUCUGACAACUUGUUAGAAUCACGGUGCCUCAGGCUCAACUCAUGGUUGAACUCAAAUAUACUAGGUCUGGCACUUUAUCAAAUAUGUGACGCUUUAGGCUCAACAUGUGAUUGAACCCAAGUGUAUUUAGUUUGACACCUUACCAUACACACGAUGCCUUAGGCUUAGCUCAAGGCUAAACCCAAGUAUAUUGAUCUGGCACAUUGCCAUACCCACAACGUCUUAGACUCAACAUGUGGCUGGACCUAAAUAUAUUUGGUUUGACACCUUGUCAUACAUAUAACGUUUUGGGCUCAAUUUAUGGUUGAACUCAUACACACAACACCUUGGGUUUAGUUCGUGGCUAAACCCAAGUAUAUUGGGUUUGGCAACUUACCAGAUCCACAACGCUUUAGGCUCAACAUGUGGUUGAACCCAAGUGUAUUGAGUCUGACACCUUACCAUACACACGAUGUCUUGGGCUCAAUUCGUGGUUGAACCCAUAUACACAACGCCUUGGGUUUAGUUCAUAGCUAAACUCAAGUAUAUUAGGUUUGACAUCUUACCAGAUUCACGAUGCUUUAGGCUCAACGCGUGGCUGAACCCAAGUGUAAUGAGUCUGACACCUUGCCAUACACACGACGCCUUGGGUUCAACUUGUGGGUAAACCCAAAUAUAUUGAGUUUGAUAGCUUGACAAACUCGCAAUACUUUAAGCUCAAUGUAUGAUUGAACCCAACUAUGUUGAGUCUGGCAACUUACCGCACUCAUGUUGGUUUGGGCACAAUACAUGAUUGAACCUAUGUAUAAUGGGUUUAGCAGUUUGUCAGACUAACGGCAUCUUAUGCUCAAUACAUGACUGAACCCAAAGUAUAUUAGAUCUAGAAAUUAGCCAGAUUCACGUUAACUUGAGCUGAACAUAUGGUUAGUCCAAAUAUAUUAAAUUUUAAAUUCUUUCAAAGCAUCAAAAUAUUGAAUGAAAAAAACUGACUCAUUAAUACUAUAGUAAAAACCUUGAAGGGUAUUGGAUGUUAUAGAUUGCUUGAAAAAAAAAAUAUUAGGAUGUAUGAAAUUAUGAAGACCACUAAGUUAAGAUUACUUAAAUAUUCUUGUGUCCAUAUUAAAAAUUAAUGGAUACAUAUAAAUAUACUUUUUAAGUUGCAUAGUUAAAAUUAUUAAGUCGAGAGAAUUCUUUAACAUGAAAUAAUAAAAUUAUAAAUUUUAUUUAAAAUAGAAUUAAGAUAAGUGGACCAUGUAGAGGAUAAAACUAAAAUACAUUUUGAGAUUAGAUUUAUAUUUUUUUUUUUGUGGAGGAUCUAAAUAGAAUUUUAAAUCUUAAGAAUGGAAAUUCAAAUUUUGAAUUGCAUAGAGCUCUAAUUCAACAUUUUCAAGUAUUCAUUGAUAAUUAUUGUUAUGAUUAUUUUUUCCAAAGGAAGGACCUUCAGGUCAUUCUUAAGAGAAAGAGAAGUAAACGCAAGUGGCCAACACACAAAAAAGUGACACUAUUAACUUCAACUUGAAAAGGGCAAAAAGCACCUGAAAUACCGUGCACAUACAGCAACCAAGCAAUGCAACUCUCGUUACGGUCUCCUUGCUUAGCUGGCGAGGUCGCAGGGCCAGUAGCUUCUGCUAUUCCUGUAAGAAGGUUGACAGACUGUGUUUUCAUGAACAGAUGACAAAUAGCAUUGAGAAUUUGAUGAAUCUCGCCGGAUAAAUUCUAUAAUUAGCACAAUAAACAAAAUAGUAUAGUUUAAUCGUUUUAUAUUUUCGAAGUACGACAUGAUCAAAAUAUGUUAUUUUUAACCAAUUAACUGGUUUGUAAUGGUAAAUAAAACAAGAAAAUAACAAGAAAAAUAUCAAAACUAUCCAAAUCGAGUAGGCCUUGAUAAGAUUUUUUAUAUCUAAAAAUUCUCAUUUAAUUAUGGCAGACUCGUACUGACUACUUAAAAUUAUUAAUUAUUAUAUGAAUAAUAAUUUUUUAAAAUUUUAAUUAGAGUUUAUUUUUUAGUUGACAAAUUGGACAAAAAUAUAUAUUUUGACUCGAAAAAUAAUUUUUAAAAAGAAUUUCAUAAAAUUAUGGUUGUUAUGUUAAACGAUCUAUUAAUUAAUACAAUUAAAUACAACUGAUCGAUCAAUUAAGGUAGAAGAUUAGAGUUUGACCAUGACAUGUUUUAAAAAUACGGCAUGGUUAAUCUAUGCUAUUUCACUAAUUAUUUUUUAAUCAAUAUCAAUUCGUCAAUUUUUUUAAUUUAUUAAGCUAAUUAAAAAAAAAUUAAUCCAAUCUCCCAUGACUUUGAGCUGUUUCGACUGACCGAUGAGUAGCAUUCAUUGAGUCUAAUUCAACCAUUCGAAUGGCAUGAUUACCGUAGAAAUAUAUGUAGGAUGUUUUAUAGAUUUCAAAUGUUUAAUUUAAGUUCAAUUUGUUAAACUAAUAUAUAUAUAGUAUUAAUUAAAAGUACUGUAUUAUAUAUUAUAUAUAAUACUAAAAACGUUGUGGUUUUAUAGGUUUUAUAUAAAUAGUGAAGCACUUGAACUGUUUUUUAAUUAUUAUUUUUAUUGUGUUUUUUUUUUCUAAUCCCAAAUGCACUACAAUUUUAUAUUAAUCCAAGAGAUUAUUUUAUUUAUUUUUAAUCCCUAAAGUCAAUAAAAAACAACACAAGAAAGAGGAAGUUUUUGAUUAUCACGAUUUCAACAAUUAAAAUAAUCAGAUUUAAUAUCAAAGAGUUUGAUUCAACUAGAGUAGUUAAUGAUUAUAUAUUUUUUACAUUGAAUAAAUUCAGACUUAAUAUAAAAUCAAGAGUAAUUGAACAAAUUCUCUUGAUUGUUGGCUUUAAAAUUUAAAUUCAAUAAAAAAAACAAAAACUAUAUACUUAUUUAUCAUGUCAAUCUCUUAAAAUUCAAGAUAAAUAAUUUUAAAUUCCAGUGUCAUAUGUGGAGAAAUUUUAUAGUGAUUAUAGAAUAAAUAAUAAUAUCAUAUUAGUUAUAUGCACUAGAUCUAUUUAAAAGAAAAUAAUGGAUAUAAUUAGUAGAGAGAAAUCCUAAAUAGAUAAAUUCUUGUUAUUUUUUUUUAUAAGUAAUAAGUUUUAUUUAUUUUUUAAAAAAUUAAACUCAUAAAAUAAUUAAUAAAAUAUCACUAAUUACUCCACUUACUAUAAAAUUUCUUAACUUGUGUUGAUAUCUGGUUUACAUAAACAUAAUAUUCAGUGUAAUAACUAGUAAAUUUCUUUUUUAUGUGAACAAUAGUGUAAUACAUGACAAAAUAAAAAACUAAAGUCUAAAACGAUUUCCACGAGGUCACCCAAUUUAGGACAAGGCAGCAAAGUCAACAGUACACAAGUACUUGAAAACGUGCGAAUUCUGGGCCAACAUUAGCUUGGCAGCUCAUUCCGAUAAUCAAACCACCACGCGGAUCCAUCUUUCACCCGAAUCAAUAAUGAAUUUCAGCAAAUCCAAGUAUCCAUCCCACAAUCUUUCUGUACAAUAUUCAGACCAAUUUUUGCUGGUAAAUAGGGUAUCAAAUAAUAACAAAAGCUACAGCUUUUCAAGAUCACAGAGAAUUCCAUCCAAGCACCUCCAAACUAAGACUACAGCUCUAAAUCCAGAAACAGAACUUUACAUAUGGCGAAAGAGAUCACAAUAAUGAGAAGACAGACAAAUUCUACACACACACACACGUUCCAUCUCUGCUUUCUUCUUUUUAGAUAUCUGAUGUAGAACAAGUAGCGGAAGCAUACAUGCUCAAGAGGGAUCAUCCGAAAUUCAAAGGCAACUGAAUUUCAGCAGCCGGGGUGUCGAAAGUUGGAAUGCUGCGAAACUGACUGGGUCAAUGCGUUUCGCCGUUUGCUAAAUUCCAUUGUUUCGGCCCCGAAAUUGUCAUUUUUGCCAUUUUAGAAAAGUUUUGUUUUAGUCAUAACUUUUGAUUUCCAUGUCCGAAUUGACUUUCGUCAAUUCCUGCUUGCUCAGGAUUUAUAGGCCUUUCAUAUUCUGCAUUUAUCUCAAAUUUGUCAUUUAUGGUAAAUUUAAUGUUUUAUGUUGUUUCCUUAUCCGUCAUAAGUUUAGAUUAGGGUUUUGCUUUAAAUAUCAUUGUAAAGUCUCUGGCCGGAAUUCACCUAAUGAUUAUUGAAUAAAAAAAACCUUUGAGUUUUCUGAGAGUCUCUCUCGUUUUAGAUAAUUUUACAGAAUAUUGACGUUGGUCGUAUUUCUUCACUGUUUACUGUUGCGUCAAUAUCAUGCACUGAUGUGUAUCCUUGGCAUCUACAACGCAUAAUGGUGUAAUAUGGUCCUCAUGAUUAAUCGUUCUUAUCUUAUUAUGAUCAUGAAGAAGACAUGCUGCACAACCACAUGCUUUCUUGAGUGGACCAUAAGAAAAAGAAGGACAUAAACGUAAUAGUUGAACUCCCAUUGACAAAAGGCAGAUGGGGAUGAGCUCCGAAAAGAGAGAGGCUACGGGGACCAGCUUCACGUGCACUAAGCAGUAAUUAUGGGGACUGCAUCUUAUUUGCCUGGGUCAAAUUUUAUGGGCUGGGCUUGUAUUGUUUUUAUAUUCGGGCUCUUUUCCUGGACCAAAUGGGCCCAGUACCUUUUAUUAAUUGCAAAUAAUUUAUGUUAUUGUUAGUUACAAUUUUUUCAAUGCAGAACCAAGACACUAUGCAUGCUCUUAUAAUUUACCGUAGACUUACUAUGUUAUUUUUUUUUCCCUUCUUUACGGUCAUCAAUUUUUUUUUUAACCGAUUGCAUCCUUUUGGUGCUAAAUUAAAACCCAAUUGCUUUCAUUUUGUUGGGCAAUGCAAUAUUGAUAGAAAGAGAGGAUCAAAUAAAAAGAAGGGAUAAAAUGGAUUGUUGUUUAAAAAGUCACAUGAAAAGUUCAAUUUGAUUCUCGUGCUUUUCAAGUUAUAAAUAUUCAGUCCUUUAAAUUUUUUAAAAUAUAAUUUUAGUCUAAAACUUUAUUUUUCUUAGUUUUAAGUUCCUAGUUUGACAGAGAAGAGAGUGGUUUGAUUUUGGUGGAGGAGAGAGAAUCUUAAUUAACAACAAUUCCAACCAUAAAAAAAAAAAUUAAUUUUAGUGUAAAUGAGUUUCUUUUAAUUAGAAGAGUUUCACCUAGAUGUUAUUUGUUCUUCUCCUUGCCUAAAAAUGAUAGACUUGAGCUCAAGAAGCCUUUUGAUUUACAAUUACUUUGGAUUUUUAGGCAAGUUUUUUUUGUUAUUUGAGGUCAUAUAUGAUUUUUGGGUCAGAAUAAUUCAAAAAUAGAUCUGUAGAUCAAAAAAACAUCAACCUUGAUUUACCAGCUAUCACUUUGGAUGGAAUUGAAGGAAAAGUAGAUGACGUGUCAUUUUUUUUUUUCAAAAUCAUUAUAGACAAACAAUAAGCCAUCCACCAUUUACAAAAAAACAAAAAAAAUUAGUCAACCCGACAACACGUGCUCGGGCCUUUUUUUUUUCAUCUGAGUUUUUUUGUCCUUUUUUUUUCUUUUAAUGCUAGGCUUUUAUUGAUUUUUUUAUUUGUUUUUUAAAAAAAUUUAUGAUGUUUUUUUUUAAUGUAAUACGACUAAUUUUUACUUAGUUUACAAAUAAAAUAUUAUCAUUUUUUUUUCUAAUUGUAAGGCAUUCUAUCUAUGUAGCUAUAUAUAUAUAUAUUGGGAUGGAACAAUGCUAUGCUAAGAGUUUUAUUUUUUAAUUGUCUUUUCGUUAAAUGAAACAUUAGUUUCAAGAAACAAAGUUAUUAAAUACAAUCAAGUCUAUGACUUGUGUUUUUAUAUCAAAUAUUUACAUCAAUAUAUAUCUCUCAAAUUGUCAAUUUGAUAUUUGGUUAAAUAUAAUAUAUUUUUACCUGAUUUUCACAUAAAUUAAUAAUUGUUUGUCCUAAUAUGUGUAACCUUAUAUAAUAUUGUUCCCAUCUGAUUUUAUUCAAUCUUUUUUUUAUGUGUAUGUCUAUUUCUAUUAUCAUUUGAUUAAAUUAAAAAUUAUUAAAUACAAUUAGGAACAUGAUCUAUUUUGGGAGAUCAAAUAUUUUGAAUUACAUUUGUUUCUUGAUUUUUCCAAUUUAGUAUUUAGUUAUUGUCAACAACUUUUUUAUAUAUAGUUAUUAGCACAUAUAAUUCUCAAUUUAUUUAAUUAAAUACAAUUAUCAACUUUUCAAUUUAUGAUUAAGAUUUUUUAUGUCAAAAAACACAUUGGAAAAACGUAUAUAUUAAAAAACAAUAUCUUACCUACAAUGAAAUGUGAGUCAAAUAACUAGUAUCAUAUGAUAAAAGAGUAUGGUAAUUCACUAUUUUUAUAUCUACUUUUAUUUAUAUUGGAUGCAACUUUUAAUCUUUCAUUAGGGCGGACCUUAAUUGAAGAUCUAUAUGAUUUUUUUCAUAAUCAAUUUUCAUUACAAUAAAGUAUUAAAAAAUUAAAAAAAAUUAUUUUUAUAUUUAUUAAACAAAUUUAUUCAAAGUAAUCUUAUAAAAAACUAUAAAAAUAAAUUUAAAUAUGUUUUUAAAAAUUUGAUACAAAACAAAUUAUUUAUAUUUUUAAAUUUAGGUAUGGAGAUUCAUUGAAUGAAGGAAAAAGUUCCUCUAUGCCUACCUCUAUUCGAAUAAAUUAAAGUUGGCCUCCAAGUAAAAUUACCAACUACUUUCAUAUUACAUUAUAUUUGAAGUGUAUAAUUUUUUAAUUGUGGAGUGGAUAAAAUAAUUCAGGCUUAACCGAGUCUAAAAAAAAGGCGAGGGGGGAGAGGACACAUAAAAGAAAGGAAAAGAUGAAGAACAAAAAAGAAGAAGAAAAAGGAAAGGGACCUAAUUGAUCCCAAUAAUAUUUGGCCUAAUCGAACCCAAUGAGAAAGGGAAAUGAUAGAGAAGAAAGAAGGAAAAGGGAGAAGGAUAAAAGCCCAAUUUGGCUUAUAAAAAAAAUAAGAAAAGAAAAGGAUCACCUAAAAAGAAGGGGAAAAAUACUAGAGAGAGGAAAAAACCCAACCAAACCUAGAGAAUGGAAGAAUACGAGGAAGAUAAAAGAUGGUCCAGUUGGGCCCAACAAAAAAGCCCAACUCGACAAAAAAAAAAAUGAAAGAGAAGAAGGAAGGUGUGGAAAACAAGGGAAACAAGGAAAAAAGAGAGGAAAAGAAUCAUAGGCCAAUGAAGUUACACUAGCUAGGAAGAAUUUCCUCACACAACUAAGCCAACAAAACCAAGAAAGAAAGACUACUACCAAAGGUUGAAAGCUGUUGCAUACAUCACUUGAAAAUAAAGGGUCUGCUUACAUGUAGGCACAUGUAUUACACGUUCCAAACAAUGUUUUCCCCCUUUUUUAUUUGUCUUUCAUUAUUUAAUAAGUUUUUAAUUUAGUCUUUAAGUUAGCCCAACCAAAGUAGGAGAAAGAGAAAUAACACCCCAACCAUGCCUAAAAAACCCAGCCCAACUGAACUGACCUAGAAAAGUGAGGAAAAGAAGGGAAAAAAAGAAGAGAAAAGGUGGCUAACUUAAACUGACAAACAUACUUUAAUUUUCAUCUUACAAAGUUAUUAGUACGGUGCACACCUUAACUCCUAAAAAUGUCAGCAUAACUCACACUUGAACUCUCUAAAUUAUUAGUACGAUGCCUACCUAAAAGCAUUGUCUCAUUAGUUAACAAGAAUAACACCUAUAUGAAUAACUCAUCCUGACAAGCUAAUUCUGUAGUCAUUCAUGAUGAAUUAAAUAUUCUUUAUUAUUAUUUGUGUGAAUAAGUCUGUGACCUUAUGGAUAAUAAUAAAAAUAUAGGUGAUACAAGGUAUACAAGUACUAAAGACCAUUAAGUAUUAAAAAGAAAUGAAUAACACAAUAAAUCUACACAUAAAGACCAGAACACUCAUUCUCGUACACUUUUAUUUUCCUUCUUUUAUAUAUUAUUUCUCUUAUACGUUUUGCUAACUUGGACAUUAAAGGUCCUUUAUUUUGUAUAAAAGAGUUGUUUUAUAAAAAAACAUGGAUUAUUAGCCUAAACCCAACUUAAAAAAAAAAUUCAUUAAACAAUCAUGAAGAAGCCAAGAUUUAACUAAAGUUUUUUUUUGACUUAUUAGUCAAUUUGAUUUUUGUUGAUAAAUACCCAUAAAGUAUCGACGACUGACUUACUAAAAGGUAGUGAAAGAUCAUUAAUGGUGUUGCACAUAUGCAAUAAAGGCCAAAACAAUCUAUUACAUCUUAUUCAUUUUGUUUUCAAACUAGUUAUGGACCUGUGUUGCGUUGCAAGGUUGGUUUUUUUUUUCUUCUAAAAAAAUAAUAUUUAGACGUCACAAACAUAUUUUUAAAGCAGGAAGAACAAUCCAUGACUAAGUCAUCGACCUGAUUGGGUCAAAUAAGUUGGUUCUAUUUUAAUUAGAUAAUAAAAAAAAUAUGCAAAGACAACAAAUGAAUCAAAUUUAUUAAAAAAAAAAGAUCACAAUAACUUGUGAAAAAAACAUUUUAUCAAAAUAAAAAAAUGAUAUAGCUCAAUUCUUAUUCUAUAAAAUAUAAAACGAUAAAAUUAGGUAAAACAAAAAGGACAAAAAAUCAGCCCAAUAUAACUCUGGUUAGUAUGACAAACUUAUAAUCUAGACGAUAAAGGUUGAGCUAACCUAGAUUAAUCCUCUAAAUCUACAACUCAGUUAUAAAAUCAAGAUAACACGAUAAAAAAUAGUGUUUUUAUAAGGGGUUUGAGGUUUAGUUAACAUACAAGCUGGCAUUUAAUUUUUUUUCUUUUAUAUUCGUUGUACUAUGUUAAGAAAAGUAGUUGUAUGUAAGACAUCCAUAGGGUAACAACACCAUUUUAUAAGUAAUUCUUAAAUUUUUAGUUUGCUUUUGAGAGAUCACUAGUUCGAGUCUUAUAAAUUUUAGAGUUAUUGAAGAUUUACAUGGUCAUUAACUUCAGGGCCCGUGUGAUUAGCUGAGAUAUACACAAGCUAACCCGGACACCCAUGAUAAUAAAAAAAAGUAAUUCUUAAAUUGUCAAACUUCAAAUCAAGUUUCUUCUUUUUUAAAGGUAAAAUAACGAAACAGAAAAGAAAAGAAAAGUUGGAUUGCACUCAUUUCUUCCACGCUUUUAGCUUGUUUGUCUACAGAAAAGUUGGAGGGCAUCAUUUCUGGAGCUGGAUGAUGAGCUCAACUCAUCUUCUUCGACUGGUCUGGAAAAAUAUUGUAAAAUAUGUAUACGAUGACAAUAAUAUAGGCAUUAAUAAAUAAUAUUAGAUAUAUUGGUGAAUUCGAGGCUUGGUCAACGAGCUUACUUAUUCAAAGUUUGUUAAAAAGAUUCACCUACUCUCAACAAACAAUAAUUUGCCUUUAAUAAAGCGCGAACAGCUCAACUGUUCCAGCUUGAGAGGCUUAAAAAUUAAUUAUAAUUAGUAUCACUCUUCAUAAACAUGUUCCAAUAACAUCAAAUAAAAGUUGGUCCACUAAUCACAAAUUAAAUUAGCUAAAUUGAACCAUGGACUUGUAUAUUAUAUAGUCCUAUAAAAUAACACGAAUAUAAUCAUCAUAAUUGAAGCUUUUUUAACACUCUGGUAAAAGAAAUUGAGUGUUUAAUAUAAGUUAAAUUUUAGCUUGUUCUUUGUUUUAUUUUAAAUGACACUUGUAAGUUUCAAUUGACACCUAAAAAAAGAAGAAGAAGUUGGAAUAGUAAUUUGAUAUCAUUUGUAUAUUCUCAUUCCAAGCAAAAAAGACAAAAACCUUGUGUAGGUUGUGUCAAACCUAAAGUUUAAUAUAAUAGAAUUAAUAACAAUACUAAUGCAUUGUUUGUGAACACCGUGCAAACUGUGUUUUAUAAAAAUUUUAUUUUUUUUUUGUUAAUUUUUUUAAAAAAAUAUGAAAAAACAUCAUUUUAAUACAUUUUUAUAUAAAAAACAUUUUAAAAAACAACUACAACCAUACUUCAAUGACAUUAUAUUUUUGUACGCACCAAUAUAAUAUAAUUAAUAACAAAAUAAUUUGAAGAAAUUAUCCCCUCCUUAGAUGGCAACCCUAGGUCGGCACCAAUAUUUAGUAAAAUGGAAAACAUUUCUCUUUAAUUUCUUCAAUUGUACCUUGUCCCAACAUUUAAUUAUGCUCAUCAACAUAAUUAUAUCAUCAAUUUAACAAUUUAAACAAGAAAUUCCUCAAAUCCCUAAUUCUCUCCGCCUAAAUAUCACGUUAAACUACUAAACAUGCACAAUUAAUAUUAAUUGUUCCAAAACAAAGGUUAUUACCUUAUAAUAUGAAGGAUUGAAGAAGAAAAAUGAGAAGAACUUCUUGAUUUCUCCCCUCCUUCCCUUCUCUCUCAAUUUCCCCCAAUUCUCCUCCUCCUCCUACCAAGCUUUAAACUUCCUCAAUUUUUUUUAUGUAAACAACCUCCCUAAAUCUUCGGACACUCCUUUUUAUUCUUUUAAUCAAAAGAUUUUGUGUAAUUUAUAAAGAUUUUGCAAUAAGUUUUGAUUUUUUUUCUUCCCUUCUCUUGAGCAAUGGUGACCAGCUGCUGUUGGCUUUCUUAAGAAGCCAAGUGCCCUUCUUAUAUGGUGUCAUAAAUCCCAUAAUUACCAUAUUACUUUUCAGUAAACUUUCAGGUGUUUUUCAUCCAAUCGGGUACUCCAUCUCGGUCUGUUUUGAUGGUCAACUAUACCCGAACCUAGAUUUAAUUAUCGAACACUACCCCCAUAAUUAUUUGUUAUUCCAUCACUAUAUUUAUUUUCAGGGUCUUUACAGUUCUUUUGACCCUCCACCCAAAAAAACACUUUAUAUUGAUUUUUAGGGGUAUUAAAAUCUUUUUACAUGUUCUAUUUAUCAUUUUUAAAUUGAAUAAUUUCAAAUAAUUUUUUUCUUUUUAUAUUAAAUUCACAAUAAAACGAUCAAAAUAACUUUAGAAGCAAGAAAAUUAAACUUGGCAUAAAAUGAGUAUUUUUAUAUUUUCAGUUUUUUAAUUAUUAUAAUUUAAGCUAAAGAUUAAUUUUGUAUUUAUACAAAUAUAAAUAAAUAAUAAACAAUUAAAAUAUACAAUAAAAUGAUGAAAAUACCCUUAAAUUUAAAAUAAUUAAGCUUGAGGUCAAAUGGUGUUUUUGAUUUUUCACUAUGAUUUUUUUCUAAUUGUAAAAACUAAACAUGAGCAUAUUUACUUUUGGCUAAAUAUAUAAAAAGGAAAAAAGUGGGUGCACGUGUGGUACACCCAAGGCAUGUGGAACAUGCUCGUUCCUUUCAAGCAAUGCGUGUUGCGUUCCCGGACAUUGGAAAAUGUCCUUGCACUGUGUCACCUUCUAUUUGGCGUGACGUGUGUCACUAGUGGUAGUAUGAUUUGGUGUUGGUGGGUUUUUUUUUUCCCUUCUCUCUUUCCUCCCUAAAAAAUUGCAAUUUAUUAGUGGUAUUUCAACUUCAGUCCUUAUUCUUUUUAUUUCUAAUUUUUAGUUUUGGCCUUAUUUAGAAGUUUUAUUUAUUUUCAUUUUUCAUCAUUCAAUCCCAAUUUAUCAAUUAUUAUAUUCUUCAAUGUGGUUCUUAUUUUUUAAAUUUUUAAUUUUUUUCCUUGGUAUUUUUGUAAAAGAUUUAGUAGUUCUCAAUUUUUUCAUUCAAUUCAAAUUAAUGGUAUUAUAUUUUCUAAUUUGGUUUUUAUUAUUUUGAUUUCUAAUUUUUUUUCUUGCUCUUUUUGCAAACGCUAUUAUUCAUUUCAAUUCUACCCUUUAAUUACAACGUUGUUUUUAUUUUUUAUGUCAAUUUUAAUCCUUAUUUGUUUUAACUUUCUUUCAUCCUUUUAAUAUUAUUUUUCAAUUUCACCCUUCAAUUAUAUAUAUAUAUAUAUAUAUAUAUAUUAUUUUAAUUUUGAUACUGAUUAUUUUAAUUUCUAUUUUUUAAAAUUACUUUGUAUAGCUGAAUUUUUUUUUUCAAUUCCAUCCUUCAAUAUUUCAAUGACUAGGAAUUGGACUUCAUGACUUUUUUAGAUUGGAUGCUUCAGGUCUAAUAAAUCGAGCUAUUAGUUUGAAAAAUUAGCACAAUUUUUUUUUCUGUUUUUUUUUUAUAAAAGAGCUUUAUUAUUAUUAUUUUUUUGAGUUAUUGUAAUCAUAUAAUCUAGACCGCAGUUUGGUAAGACAUCCCGAGUUGACUUAAGUCUAAUUAUUAUAGUUAAAAGUUUCUCAUGACUGGUUUUUUUUUUUUUUUAUAUCUUUUUUUGACCCAAUUUCAACAAUUGAAUAUUAUUUUUGUACACAAAAAAUAGUCGAGUUCCACAAUGAAACGCAUGCACCUAGUCUAGUUAUAGCUAUAUCCACGAACGGGUUCUAAAGCCAUAAUUGCAUUUCAAUAUAUAACUAACUAGUCAUCUCAAAUAUUUCAAUCAAGAAAAUUUUCAAAAAAAUAAAUAUACACAAUUAGGGAUGAAAUUAUGGAGAAACAUUGAAAAAAGAGUUGAAACUAGCUAAAUUAUUGAAAAUUAAAAAGCCAAGGAUCAAUUUGAAAAAAGUGCCAAUAUUGAGGGACUAUUUUCAAUGCAAUCAUGAAUGAAAAUGGUCAAAAAUGGCUAAAAAAUAAAAAUUGAAAAUCCAAGGAUUAAAUUGAAAAAGAUGCCAAUAUUGAGGGACCGUUUUAAAUUCUAUUAGGAACUAAAUUUUCCAGGAAAUUUUAAAAAAUAAAAAACAAGGACUAACUUGGAAAAUGAGGCAAACUUGGAAUACCUUUUUUUUAAAAUUAAAAUUUUUUUUGAGCUAAAAGAGCAUCUUUAACAAAAAUAAAUUAAAACGACGUUGUUUUGUAUUGAAUAAAAAAACAAAGUAACAUAAAAAUUUAUGUCAUUUUGAUGUCCAGGACCAAAAUAAUUCCUUUUUCCCUAGUGUGGUUACCUGCAAAAAUUUCUUAAAAUUAUAUCUUCUAAAAUUAAUUUAAACUACAGGUAUCGCUAUAGUCUAGUUUGAAAUAUUUCAUGUCCAAUAUGUUUCAACCAAAAACAAACGGAAUUACCAUUAGUUAUAUAAAAGACAAUACAUCAUCUUCUAAAACAAUCUUAAAGACUACUUCAGAUUCCUAAUCUCAAAAUGAAAGAGAUAAGAUAGAAGAAUAACACAACAAAGACGAGAGGGUAUAUGAAAGAAAGAAAAAAAAAGAGACAUAUUUAGUUGAUGGUGAACAAGAGGGUAUAUAAAAGCAUUUCACCCUUAUAUUUUUUUUAUGUAGCAUAUUUGAAACAAUAUAUAAAACAUUUAUUCUUUUUUAUUUCACUAUAUUAUGUACGUUUUAAUUAUUCAAUAAGUUUUCCAUAAUAAUAUUUUUUUUUCUAUCAUAAUAUGGACAAUAUAUAUUUCUAAUAUAUUAAGUAUUUUAAUUUUUAUAUAGAUUUCAAAGAAAAUAUUCAUUAAAUAAUUAUUAGUUAUUAUUUUUUUAAUUUUUCAUUUAACUUUAUAAAACAUAUUUAUUAAAUAAAUUAUAAUUUAAUUUCUAGUACUAUAAAGUAUAUAUAUAAAAAAUAUGAUUUGAUAAUUAAAUUUUUUUCAAUUUUUAUUUAGUGGAAUCAUAAGGAGAGUUUUGUUAUACUAUUAAAUUUGGGCUCAUAACCAAGAAUAUGCAUGGUUAGGUUGGGAUACAACCGAUAUGUGUAAGCUAGAAGAAUACUAGCGAUGACUUUUUGGAAAUCUAAUUAUAAUUAUUUUUUAAAGUAUUUUUUAUUUAUAAAUAUAUCAAAAUAAUAUUUAUUUUUUAUUUUUUAAAAAUAAUUUUUGAUAUCAACGCUUCAAAAUAAUAUAAAAACCACAAAAAAAAUAUUAAUUUAAAGCAAAUAAAAUAAUAAAAAAUACUCAUAUUUUUUCAAAAAUACAUUUGAAACGUAUAAACAAACAUAGCUUUUCUUAAUAGUUUUCUAAGAGACUUGCUUAAAUCUACUUUCAUGCAUUGUACACAACCUAAAAUCAUUUUUGAGCUUGUUUUUAACUCAAAAAAAAUUAUUUAAGCUGUUAGUUAAAAUUUUAAAAUAUUACUUACAUUAUUCUAUAACAUUUCAUCAUUUCCAUGCUUACUUAAGGCUUGUUUUUGGUCUAUUAACUUACCAUGAUGCUUCGUUAAAGUUAAUUUGGCAAGAUUGAUUGAAAAAAACAAAGAUUAAGUUGGCAGGCCUAGACUUUUAUUGUCAUUCAAGCAUUGCUCGUGCACACUUUUCCCUUGUUUUGAAUGUAGACAAGGACUUCCUUGGAUAGACACUACCCGUUUACAAGUCUAUAUUCGCAUCACCAUAGGCCACCACCUUUUGUUUAUUUGUUAUAUUUUAUUAGAAGCUCCAACGUUGAGUUCGACUUGCAUAAAAGAAACUAGUUUUUUUCUCCUCCUAAUUUCCAAUGUCUAAAAUCCCAAUCAUUAGGUUCAUAAAAUUUAUUUAGUCCUCGACAUCAUGCUUUAAGUUCAGUUUUCACCAAAUAAGGCUUUCAUCGUUUCCUCAAUAAUGUUUAUUGGGAUCGUUUUGUGCAGUCCAAUUUAUAACCUUCCCAAGCCAUCAAGUAAUGAACAAUUUAAAUCAUCUAAAUGCUACAAAUUUGUCAACACUUUCUUCAAUUUAAGAGCCGAAGGGAGUGUGAAGCAAUAACGAAGAAUUGCAGAGAACAAAAGGAUCAUUGAUAAGAUUGAAUUUAAAGUGAUCCAGAAGAUAUUAUUGUGAAUAUUCAUAUCAAAGAGUAGCUCUCACGUGGUUGAGGAAAACACACAAGUCAAAAGGAAGCAAAGAGUAGCUCUCACGGAAACUUAGUCCCACUAAACCCAGCCUUUACCUCACACUUUUCACUUCUACUUACCGACAAUUAUGUCUUCCACACCCAAGUUGUAAGUAAGCGGAAACACACAAGUCAAAAGGAAGCAAGAUGCAUGGAAUCAAGCACAACAGCAAUUACAAAAAAAAUCCCAACCUUCAUUAAAUUUAGACCAAAGAUGAAGAAGUAGAUGAAUGAACAUUUCCUUCAUUUUGGUUAUGCGAAAUAGAUAGUAAAAUUAAUUUAAAUGAAAUGUAUUGUUAAUUAAUUUAAUUUUUUUUUCUUAAGGGCUACAUCUCUUGGACGUGAGCUGGCCCAAUGAAACUAUUUGUAGAGAUGUAUGUGCGGAGUGAAGACCGUCAAAAGAAGGUGCAACAAUUCGUUAACAACCACGCUCAACACUUUGUGGUAUGUUUGGUAAACCAUUUUAUUUCGUAAGUUAUUAUUUUCUUGAAUUGAAUAUGAUGAUUUCUUUUUUUUAAUUUUCAGGAGGUCUAUAAUAGUUGGUUGAGAGAGAGAUAUAAGGAGGAUCCUUCGACCCAUCUGGAUUUCGAUCUAGAUUUAUGGAUGGAGGUAGGAUCGUCUAAUGGACUCGAUAAAAAUCAGAUGUACCGGCUCUCCAACUCUACGGUCAAGAACUUGUGGGCGGCCCGUAAUGUCUCAACCGUUUGGGAGCUUUCAUUCAGUAUCGAGCACCCAAUCUAAGGAGUUUGCGGCCUUGUAGCAAAAAUACGAGCGACUCUCGGCGGAUUGUGAACAACUACAUCAAAUGAUCAUGAACAUUAAAUCACAGAUAGUUGAUCCAUGUGCGCUCCUUUUUUAGCUGUUUAGUCCAAGGAACAACUAGCCUCCUCCUCCUCCUCUAGUUCUGUCAUUGUUCUAGUUUAAUUUUUUUUUGGAAACACUAAAUUUGUAAUGAAUAUUUGGAAGAAUAUUAUUUCACUUUAUUUUAUAUUUAUGAUGUUUAAUACAAUUUUAUUUGCAUAAUUGGUUUUUUUUUAUUAAUUUAUAUAAUUUUAUAUUAUUUAUUCUAAAUAAUUUUUAAAAAAAACAAUUUUUAAAACACCACCAAUGGAUUUCCAGAUGGACUUUUUCUGUCGGUAUUUUACAGAGAGUUGAAAACUAUUUACUGAAAAUAUCACAAUCACCGACACUCUAUAGACGGAAACAGUCCUUCGGUAUUUUACCAAGGGUUGAAAAAUAUUUACUGGAAAUGUCACAAUCACUGACACCUAUACUUUCAAUCAGUAUUUUACUGAGAGUUGAAAAAUAUUUACUGUAUAUGCCAUGAUCAUUGACGAAAUAUUUCCAGCAAGAAUUUUUUUUGGCACUCAUUUUAUCUGUAAAAUCAUUAGUAUUUUAUUUUAUUUUUAUUUUUUACCGAUAGAAUGUAGAAUUAUUGACAAACGCUAUGUUGAUGGACUAUUUCCUUCGAAGAUUUAGUAGGCAAAAAAUUUAACAAUAAAGUGGCAAUCUUACACCGCCAAUUUAAAUUAAUUAGCAAAACUAUUAAAUAUUAUAGGGGACUACCAUGCAUUUAGCUCCAGAAUUAUAGGCAGUGUGCUUUUUUUAGAAACACGCUUGUGUGCCCUCCGCAAUACACUUAAUCCACAAACGUCAAACAUAUGGUCAUAAUUUCAUUAAAUUUCGAAGUGUGAGCAAGUUCGGCCACCAAAUUUGUUAUCAACUCAUCAUGCUAAAUGAUAUAUCAAAGCAGAAGAAAGAAAGAAAAGAAUGUUGAGGGCAUAAUAUCAUAGAGAAAAACAAGGGGAAAAUGAAGCACCUACAUGCUAACAAUUAAAAGAAGAGAAUAAUUCGAAACUAUAUAAAUCCCUUUUGAUUUAUCUUUUUCACUCAUAUUUGUCCCAUCACCCUUCGGAAUCAUAUGCUUAAUCAUUCUCCUGAUUUCAAUAAUAAAUUAAUAUUAUUCUCGGUGUGUGUUUAUAAACGACUUGUACUGUGAUUGCAAGAGUUCAACAUCCAAGGAAAUUUUUAAAAUAUAUUCUUAUCACCGACAAUGUCUGUAAAACAUCCUUUUUUUCUUUUAAUUUUGGUUAAAAAGUAAGAUAUAAUCUUUGAUGUUUCACUCACCGAUCCUAUAGUCAACUUACCGUCACCUUUGAUUUGUCUCGUUACUAGCCACCAUGACAAGCGAUCGAUGCCAACUCAAAUAGCGAUCGCCUAUCAAUAUCAAGAACACGUCAUCUUUACUAUAUAUUUGUUUUGAUCUAAGAAUUCUUCACUGAGAUAUGUGUGCAAGAACUACCGAACCUUCCCCCUCUAAUUGCGGUGGAGUAUUAUCGAAGAAAAGUCAAUUCUUAAAUGGUGUUUGAAGUCUAAUAAUAAUAAUUUUUUAAAGUGUUUUUUAUUUUAAAAUAUAUUGAAAUAAUAUUUUUAAUUUUUAAAAAAUUAUUUUUGAUAUUAUCAUAUUAAAAUGAUCUAAAAAUAUAUAAAUUUUUUUUGUAAAAAAAACAUUUUCAAAACACAAUGCCAAACAGACCCUGCUAACAUUACUGAAUUAAGAGCAAACCACCACUCUCUGGUGAGAUUUUCAACUAAGUUCCGGGAUUGGUAUGAGAUUAAAAAAAUAGUAAUUAAUUGUUAUAAACAUAAUGGUUUCAAAAGCAAUUUUCAAAGAUAUAAAAGUUGAUUUUUAAAGAUGUCUAAUUAUAUUUAUAAAUUAAGAUGUUAAAUAUCAGUACAAGUAGAGAAAAAUAAUUAAAUUAUUAAUAAUAGAUGAGAGAUAAUUAAAAAUUUAAAGUACUACGUAUUGUUUUGAGGGGGGAAAAACAAACAAAAAACAAUGAUGAUGCUUAGUAUCCUUUCAGUAAUUAACUCCUCUUCCACAGGGGAACAACAGUAAUUUCAGCCCCAAAUCAGGAUACUACAGUGAAUUUAUUACGUGGAAAAUUAUGCUAAAAAUCCAAGUUGGCAAGAUUUUAUGGAAGAGAAUCUCAAAUUGUAUAGAACAAUUAUUGAACGUUCACCUUGAAGGGGACAUGAGCCUUGGCUCUAGUAACUAAAAGUCUUCAUGGAACAGGGUGUCUUGGCUAGCUAGAAGUAAAACAUUUGACUAUACCUAUGUUGUGUGCAAUGUUUUGUUUUAUUUAUUUAUGUUCCAUGAUUAUUUUUUUCUGAUGAAACAAUUUAAAGACUAUAUUUGUCAAGAGGAUGAAGAGGGAGAAUGAUGAAUUAAGUAAAAUGAAAUGAUAUGAAGAAAAAUGAUGAAUGAAGUAAUUGUUUAACCAAUAAAAGAGAGCAAGAAAUAGAAAAAAGAAUCAAUUUAUUCAAUCGAAAGCAUUAAUUAUUACAAAGAAAUGAGAGGAUAUUGAAAAUUAUAAGUGAAAAAGAAUUGAGUCAUUAUUCCUUUUGCAGAAAGAAAAUACACCAAACCCCUUUCCUUUUUAUCUAUCAUUUCUUCAAUUCCAAGCACACCCACAUAAAAAAUAUAUUUAUUUUUGUAUUUUAAAAAUAAAUUUUUAAAAGUAAAAAUAAAUAUAUUAUUUUAAUAUAUUUUUAAAUAAAAAAUAUUUUAAAAAAUAACGAUAAAACUCUCCAACUAAAAACAUUUAAAAUGAGGGAGGUUGACGGACGAUGCUAAGCUCACGCUAUGGAGUAGAUGGAUAGAUGACGAUGAGAGGCGUUUCACCAGGUGAAACUGAAAGGGACGGUUUUAAAGGCAGGGGUUAACCAGACAGGGGCACGCCUAACGAUUCCAAAAUUGGGUUAGUGAGAGCAGUCAAAAACUAAUUUAUAAGUACAUAACAUGUCAAUUUUCAUGACAAUUCACACUAUUUUUAAAAUAUUUUAGAUUAUUUUAAUAUGUUAAUAUUAAAAAUACUUUUUAAAAAUAAAAAAAUUUAUUUCAAUAUAUUUAUAAAUUAAAAACAUUUUAAACACUUCCAAACGGCUCAAAUCCAACCACUAAUCCAAACGCGUAGCCUGCAAUGGGUCCCGUGUUUUAUGAGUUAAUCGCUUCCAGUGAAGAUUGAUUAAUCAUAGCUAGCUGUUACAUGCAUUAAUAUAUUACUUUUUACUUGAUCUCCUUGCUUUCUUGCUUUCAAACACCUCAAGCUUUCCGGUGUGGAUGCGCUUAUGAACAAGAAGAUAAAACAGAGCUCGCGAAGAAGCCUGGGUAUAUUAAACGCGAGUUUGAAAAAAAAAACCCAUAACUUUAAAUUCAAUAGUUGGAUUAGCCUUGAUUUUUGCAAGAAGGUGCUACAAGCCAAGUUUUAUACCGAGUCAACUCGUUGUAAUCAGAAGAAGUCCAAAAAAUCUUUAAACUAGACUUAGAACAGGUUGUUUUUGUAAUGUUAAUUAUUAUUUUUUACUUAACUUUGAAUUCUUUUGAUUAAAUUGGUUUUCUACUUUUAUAUAAAUAGAUAUUUAAAAAAUUAUCUAAGUUUUCUCUACCUAAUUUUCCAUAAUUUAGGACAGUAACAUUAAGGUUAAAGAACUCUAGUUUUUACGCGUAAAACUUUCUUUAUUCUUAGAUAUAAAAAGGUUCGGGUUUUUUUUUAUUUUGAUGCUACUUUUUAAAAAGCGAAUUUAUUAUAUUUCUACGAAGAUAAAGACCUUUUCUUCUUGUUCUUGAUACUUGGGGAAUCACCUUUAUAAUAAUAUUAGAGGGAGAAAUGUGAAUAUAUUCAAAUUGAGAAGACAUUUUAAGCUGACUACUCGUUUUCUUAAAGGUUAAUCUUACUAUUAAAAAAACAGAGACUUUUCCUUGCCGAACAUGAGCUACGUAUAAUCAAUGCGACAGUUUUCUAUAUAUUGGCUAGCCAAAGUAGUCACUGAUGCACAAAACAAGAGACAGAGAAAAGCCUUUUGUUUAAUUGCUUCUUGCUCUGUUCAAGAAGAAAAACAAUGUCUCCUCCUCCUUCUACCAGUUUCUUUUCGGUGGCGAUCGUCUUGCUCGGAAUGAUGCUGCCCCUGUCGAAAGCUCAAUUAAGUGCAACUUUUUAUGCUAAUACAUGCCCCAAUGUGUCGAGCAUCGUUAGCAACGUUGUUCAGCAGGCUUUUCAAUCUGAUUCUCGGAUUGGCGCCAGCCUUAUUCGCCUCCAUUUUCACGAUUGCUUCGUCGAUGUAAUCCGAAUACCAUCAUUUAGUUUCUUCGAAGUGGUUUUUAAUUAAAACUUGACAUUAUGUUGAUGAAUAAAUUUGAUUUUGUGGACAGGGAUGUGAUGCUUCAAUUCUACUAGACAACAGUUCAAGCAUACUCAGCGAAAAACUUGCCGCUCCCAAUGUUAAUUCCAUUCGGGGUUUCGGUGUUGUUGACAACAUCAAGACUGCCUUGGAGAGUUCUUGCCCUGGUGUUGUCUCCUGCGCUGACAUUCUUGCACUUGCUGCUGAAUCAUCUGUUUCUCAGGUAAUUACUUAGUCCAUAAACUGAACCUGUUCUCGGAACUCUUCAUUUUGCUUGGUUUGGCAAGUCAAUGUGAUCUGUGUAUGCUCAGAGGUUUUCAGAAGUGAAAUAUUCUAUGAAAGGUCGAGAAAACACGAAGCCAUGACAUACUCUGCUUUUAAUGAUUCUUGUAGUCAGGAGGUCCUUCAUGGAGUGUUCUGUUGGGAAGAAGGGAUAGUCUAACAGCAAAUCAGGCUGGAGCCAAUACAUCAAUCCCUUCUCCUUUUGAAGGCCUAAGCAACAUCACUGCAAAGUUCUCUGCAGUGGGUCUAAACACCAAUGACCUUGUCGCAUUAUCAGGUAAUUAUACCUCAAAAAUCUCAAAACUGCAUCCAGAAUUCUGGAAAUCCAACACUAAUAUAUAUUUUUAUUUUAUUUUUUAAUUUCCAGGAGCGCACACAUUCGGACGUGCACAAUGUCGAACAUUUAGCAAUAGGCUGUACAAUUUUAGCAACACAGGCAACCCUGACCCAACAUUAAACACAACAUACCUGACUACUCUGCAGCAAAUAUGUCCACAAAACGGCAGCGGAACUGCUUUGGCCAACCUUGAUCCUACAACCUCAGAUACCUUCGACAAUAAUUACUUCACCAACCUACAAAACAAUCAAGGUCUUCUCCAAUCAGACCAGGAGUUAUUUUCCACAUCUGGCGCUGCCACGAUCACUUUGGUCAAUAACUUCAGCAGCAACCAAACUGCCUUCUUCCAGAGUUUUGUGCAGUCAAUUAUUAAUAUGGGUAAUAUUAGCCCAUUAACUGGGAGUAGUGGAGAGAUCAGGUCAGACUGCAAAAAAGUGAACGGAAGUUAGGUUAUGCGAUCACUACAUCGAGGAGCUAAUUGUUUUGGAAAAAUGAAACAGUCAUUAUUAUAUGAGGCAGAUGUGCUUUUAAUAAAAGAAAGAUUAAGUGUUUGUUUUAAAUUAGGGUGGCAAGUUGCAGGAAAGUUAGGGAAAAACAAGAAAUUUAUCAUUGGAACUUCUUGAGUUGUCAAAUAUUUGUUGGGGUUAGCUUUAUGAUUGCUCUUUGAAUGGUCAAAUAUUUCGUUUAUGUAUCAUUAGUGUAUCCUAAAGUCAUAUAAGACAUAAAAAAAGAAAGAAAGAUGUAUUUGAUGGAUUGAGACAGAUAUUAAUUAAUUUGGUAUAUAAAUGUAAGUAGAAAUCAAAACAAAGAGCUAUAUCACCGCAAGUAAUUGUGUACUUGAAACUACCUCCGCGUGAUUUAUAUUGCCGCAAGAGAUCAUGAUAAAGAAGGGAAAUAAUAUUAUAAUUUGCGUUUUGGAUAAAUGAAAGUUGUUAUUCACAAAUUAAUAUUAAUAAUCACUAUUAAUAUUUAACAAAGAAAUACCAAAACAAAAGGGUUUUUGUACGGUGAUAAAAAACACAGCAAACAUGUAAAUGCUAACUUUUGUUUUUCUUUGUAUAAAGAUGACAAUUUCACUAUGUAGUUUAUAAAUGAGUGAAGAGGUGAAUGGAUAGCAUAUGCUCUAAUGCCUAGUAAUAGUAAUAUUGGGAGAAGGAUGUUGUUGAUAUAGUCUUGAAAAAAUACAAGGUUUGCUAAUAGAAUUUAUAAAUUUAAUAUUAAAGAAUUGCUCUCCGGAUUACCUCCAACAAGAGAUAUAUAACACCAAAUUGACUUGAUUAUGACAAUUUCAUUUUUUUUCUUUGUAUUGAUAUCCAUAAAGAAAUGGUGGAGACCAAAACUUAGAAGGGAAAGACUUUUUUUAUCCUUGUUGUAGUUUAUAAAGGAGUUAAGGAGUGAGCAGAUACCAUAUGCCCUAAUGCCUAAUAAUAGUAAUAUUGGGAGAAGGAUGUUGUUGAUAAUAGUCUUGAAAAAGUGUAGGGUUUGCUAAUAGAAUUUAUAGAUUUGAUAUUAAAGAAUUGCCCUAAGAAUUACCUCCAACGAGAGAUAUAUAACACUAGAUUGACUUGAUUCUGACUUCUAGCUUGCCAAACAUGUUAGUAUAUAGACUAAAAAAUAAGAAGGUUGAAGAGUUGCAAAGAUAAGUGCAAUUCCAACCCUUUUGAUUCUAAAAAAGGACAAUUUAUGAUGAAUAUGUGUGGAUAACCAAGCCAUUAAUUGGAUCAUAAUGAAGCAUAUGUAUCCAAUACCACGACUAAAUGGCAUGUUGGAUAAAUUAUUGAGUUCUAAGGUGUUUUUCAAGAUUGAUCUCAAAAGCAACUAUCAUCAUAUAUAAAUAAAAUCAGGAAAUGAAUGG